RNAcentral lists this long non-coding RNA (108702 nucleotides) under Triticum aestivum (bread wheat). RNAcentral describes it as "long non-coding RNA (TAES_LNC021687)". Lineage: Eukaryota; Viridiplantae; Streptophyta; Magnoliopsida; Poales; Poaceae. The record is from RNAcentral.
UUUUUUUUUUGGUUUCUGAUGCACAAUUCUCACUAUAAUGUUCACUUAUAGUAUGUCGACAUAAUUAGUGUAAAUAUAUACUAGAUAAAACUAUUUUACAAGACAAACACAAUGAUACCAUUUAUACAUGCUAAAUUUACAUAAUUGUGUAUAUAUUAGUGAUCAAAGUUAUGCGUUAAAGACCGUGCAAAGUCAAGAGCGCCUUAUAUUUGGGAAGGAGGGAGUACAAUAGAAGCUCGAUGUUGCACACAAUGCUUAUCAUCAUACAUCAUCCCAUAUAUUGUUUAUCAUUUCACAUUCAACUUGACAUAUAUCACAAAGAUACACUCUUCAUUAAAAAUAUAUAGGGCCUAAUACCAUUUUUUAGGUUGCCUUUGACCAUUGUUUAGAGCAAUAAUAUAUGACAUGCAUGUUACACAAAGCAUACUGUCAAAUUUAUAUGUGAAAGGGGCUUCGAAUGAUAUAAUUUUGUAACAUACCUCUCAUGUAUUAUUAAUGUUACUAAUGGUCAAAGACAAUCUCAAAAAAUGUACUAGACCAUAUAUAUCAGGAUGGAGGGAGUACCAUUUUUAAUAUUUAUAUAUUAUAUGUGAUUGUCGAUAUACUAAUGGAUUAACUUGAAAUAGAAUUGUAUGUCACAUUGGAAAACUUACAACAAAGGAUGUCAGCAAAACCAGAUUGGUCACGAAACCAUGUAUAACCAUGUAUGCACACCUCGCCAUAACCUCACGGGAAACAAAAACGUGGAUUUCUCAUCUUAUACCAGGGAGGGGCGCCUUAGGAAUGAUCACAUUCAAACACGUUUGUGAUAGCAUUGAACCCGCCGUCGGCGAGGGUGGGAAGGAGAAUAAGGGGCAACACAGAUGAAAUGACAUGUGUUGAAAUCAAGGAUUUUGCCCUAUUGGGUUCUUGAGUCAUGGUUAUUAGGUCAGGGGCAUGUGGUAUUUUUUUUCUCUCCUUGCAACACACAUGCUCUUUUUCUAGUUAUUAUUUAUGAAAACACAUGAUGGGAUCCUCGCAAAAAAAAAGACACAUGAUGGGAUGAUAUACAACAACACUAAUGGACCCAGCAGACAGCGUCGUCGUUCCCCUAUCAAGGAUGUCGGCGAUGAUGUGUCGUCCUGCAUGCUGGAGCUUGAUGUUGGUGAACCAAUGCCCCAGCAGCAAUGAAGGCAAGUGCUCGGUGAGGAAGAGGCCAGCCAGCAGGUCAAUGAUCUCGUCAGCCUCGCGGUGGUAUAUAUGUCCAUUCCUCUUGCCCCUCGAACACCACCAGGCUCGUGAUGUCGUUGCUCAGCACCGCCACCUUCUUGCUGACAUACACCGCAGCAGUGUCUGCCGAGGCCGCAACGGAGCGGACUCGACCGACCACAUCAGCAAUCGAGACCGCCAUGGUGGGGUCCUUGCCAAGCUUGAGGAGGGUCAGUGGCCCAUGCCUGCGGCACAACUCCGAGAUGGUGCUGAAGAUGUGCUGGAGGUUGCCGAUGAUGGGGAGAGUCCAUGGUCCAGGAGGUAGCUGCGGCUUUCUUGGGUUGUUGCUCCUGCCGCCGGCGAGCUUGAGAAGCCAAAGAUAUAAUAGGAUGGAUAGGACUAUGAAACAUAAUGUAGCCUCCAUGGCACACAUGCAGCUAGCUUAAUUAUGCUCAGUUCGUUGCUCAACCGAGUGAUACAUAAUAUAGUGAGCUAGCAUGCGUACAUAUAGGAGGCAAGGUAUAGACGGAACAUGCGUGGAACAUGGCCGAGAGACCUUUCAAUGGGUAGAAGCCAUAGCCGUCGGCCAUGAGUGUCAGCGCAUACGUACAGACAGAGAUCAUGUUGUGAUCAAGGCCUGAUUGUGAUACGGCAGUACAAUAUUAUAGGAACCUCGAAUACACAUGUCCCCACAAUCCCACCUUCCUAUGAGGGUAUAAUACGCGAGUCCGAAUCAAACAGUGUGCAUCUUAUUCUAUAUACCUUAGAUAGUGAUCCCACUAAUUUAUUUUUACAUGCAUACAUGUCAUAUUAAAAAAUGGGAUGAAAUAAAGCCCACCUCAAUAUGCAACCAUGCAUGCGAAAAACACCCAUCGCCACAUGCUAUGCAUGAGAAAAUAUUUAUAAUUCUACUUAUAUUGAACCAAUAUUUUGUAACUAUAUAUAAAUAUUAUAAGCCGUAUGUAUUUAUUAAUUCUGAUUCACAUGUUGUUAAUCAAAAUAUUUAUAUUUCACACUAUCAAAUCUCAUUGAAAUAUAUUGCAACCGAUUUCUGCAGCAAUGCGCGUGCUAUCACCUAGUAUUCAUUAACAUGGCAAGUCAAUUUCCUACAAUCACCUAUGAUUUUAGUUAUAGAUAAUAUAAUUCCUACUUACGCAAACAGAGGAAGUUAAGACCCAAUCCUAUAUGUGGUCUAUAGCAGGGGAAAAGCGAGUCGAUAGCCCAUUGACAAACAAAACAUGAAUCAUUUCACAACACUUGCUGUUGGUUCUGUUUAGUUUCUCGGUUUAUAUAAUUUUCUAGGUUUUUGUUUUUCCUAGGUUUCAUUUUUCAAUUUCUAGUUUCCUGCUUUUUUCCUAUUUCCUAAUUCCUUCGUCUCAUAUUAAUUGACGCUCAAAUGGAUGAAUCUAGACAUAUUUCACUGCUAGAUACAUCUGUUUGAGGGUCAACUAAUAUGGGAUGAAGGGAAUGUUUUACCCUUUUAAGUUUCUUUUGAAAUUCCAUUUUAUUUACAUAUUUAGUUUUAAAUAUAUAAAUAAUUGGCCGAAAUCAUGGACAUUAUUUAUAACAUGUGAACACUAUCGACCUAUGGCCAAACUUUCUUUACGUAAAUGGAAUUUUUGUAAAAUAAAUGACCAUUUAUUAAGGGAUGUGAUUUUUUUGAUAAUUAUACAACCAUAUUGAAAAAAAUACAUGAACAAUUUAUAAAUUAGAUGAACAUUUUUUAAAUGCAUGAACACUUUUAGUUACAAGUAUAUAUUUUUAUUUUUUAAAAUAUGUGAAUACUAUGUUGUAGAUUCAUGAUUUUUUUAAAAACCUCAAAUACUUUUGAAAAUGAAACGAAGUUUUCUUAUAAUAUGACAAAAAUUGUUCAUAAAAACUUUUUUGAUUUCUCAAUUAAAUACCGAAUGCUAAAAAUGUAAAUAUACAAUAUCUAUCUCUGUUUUUUUAUAUGCACAUGUUGUGGGCUCUAUUUUUGCACGAACGUCCAGGUUUUUUUAAGCCUUGGCUCUCUUUUUGUACAAACGUCCAGGUUUUUUAGCCUCAGAUGUGUCAAGCCAGGUGGUAUCGUAUCAACAUCGAUGUGCUAAUGGGCAUGUGAGCAGCACGGGUGCUAACGCCUUCAAUAAGUGAUGUAUAUUUUGCCCCCAGUUUGAAUAGUAUAAUUCUAUAUAUCAAUAUCUGAAUUUGUGAUUGGCAUGGCCGGUCCCCUGGUUAAAAUAGUAAAAUGUGGCCAAUCCUAUUUGACGUCCCCAAAUUGAGCCGGCUCGGUCUUUGCUAUUUCCUUUGAGUUGCUACUCCAGCUUUUUAUUUUUUGCUUUUGUGCUGAAGUUUUUUUUUCCUGUUUUUCCUGCGGUUUCUUUCAUUGUGAUUCUCAGUGUUUUUUGGUGGUUUCCUAUCUUGGUUUUUGUUCCAUUUGCUGUUUCAUUUAGCAUCACUGCUGCAAGUUUUUCUGAGUUUUCUAUUGUCAUUUUUCGUUUCCACUUUUUUGGUUAUCUAUAUCGUUUUCUUACCUUUUUUUGUUUUUUGUUUUCCUUUUCUUUUCAAAAUAAACGAUGAACAUUUUUUAAUCAUAAUGCACAUUUUAUUUUAACAUUGUAAAUAUUAAUUUAAUACAAAGUGACCACUUUUUAUUACAGGAUGAGAUUUUCUUACAUGGUGGUCGGUUUUUAAUUGCACCACGAACAUUUUUUAAAAUGGCGAAACAAUUUUUUAUACAUAGUGGACGAUUUUUAAUACAUGGUAAAGAUUUUUUAAAUACGUGAUGAACAUUAAUUGGAAACCACAACGAACAAUUUAUUAUGCUUAAAUAAUUCUAGAUAAACCAUGGCAAGAAAACAACAAAAAAAAUGACCAGCACACGAAUGUACCACCAUCUCUCACAAAAGAUAGUGAGGCUGACACUGGGAAGCCACAUCGACCUGAACUGGGCCCCCGGCCCAUCAUCGCUAAAGUGUGCACCGCCUCUCAUAUAUGACGUUAAUGAGUGUUAUAUAGGUGGUCUCAUAAAAAGUGGUCUAUUGGCUGCUUCAAGAUAAUAUACAAGCUUCUGAAGUUCAUAAUUUUAUCAAAGUGGACCCAGUACGAAGGCCCACAUGAAAGGCUUUAGGGUGAGCAUAGCCAAAACUUUUCAUUAGUAGAUCUUCAGCUUGCAUAUUUUUUUCUCAAAUGGCUGUUCUAGUAUAUAUUGACAAUAUGGAAUAACUACAUUCUAGAAUUUUAUAGGGAUGCCACAUGGUUUUAGUUUUUGCGUGGUCCUAGAUGCAUAUGAGCACAUCCUUAGUGUCAUUUUUAUUUGCAAAUCACCUUAGUGAAGUAUUUGAAUAAAAUAGGAUACUUGGUUCCACAACCGAAGGGCUUGAACUUGGUGGCUUCCCACAGGAAGAUACUGGACAAAUUCAUAUGAAAACUAGAGAACAUGGAAGGUAUAUUACAUUCGUAAAAUAAGAGCGUGAAAUGUUUUUUGAAAGUACUAAUACGUUUGUACUAGUGGCUAUCAAGUUGUUCUUGCCAAUACUCCCAAUGAUGUGGAAGGAAGCAAAUCCAUCUCGAUGGUCAAGCCACCACUGAUACCAGAAUAAUGCAACCAUUUGAGCAACAUGGAAGAUGCACAUAAUGUUGACAAUUGUUGAGGAGAUUCCUGAAUGUACAACUUCCGUCAAAGAUUCCAAAGUUUCUAUGUUGACGAGCCAACUUAACGUCUUCAUAAUUGCCAAGGGAGAUGGUGUUGUCACAACUACAAGGUGGUCGGGUGUGCACAACAGGGAUAGCAUAUGAUUGUUUGCAUAUUUAUGUAUGGUUGAUGUCAUUUGUGCGUGAAGAAGAAAAUAUAUAUGAGGAAGCAAGGAAGGAAGUCAAUGGUGAGGUGGCAUGGUAAAGCAAGUGAUAUGAGUGAGGCGGUGAUCGGCUGUUGCUCUCGGGUGCCGGCCAAAGGAGGUAGAAUGAGUGGAUGGGAUGCUAAGAAAAUAGUUUUAGUGAAUCAUCUUUAAUCUUUUCUAAUAUAUUUUUCUAGUAUGGAAAUGGAAUGUGUGCCAUUCCAUUAUUUUGGUCAAUGCAACAUAUUAUUACACAAAUAAUCUCGUUCAUAAGAAUAUAUAUAUAUAUAUAUAUAUAUAUAUAUAUAUAUAUAUAUUUCCGUGUACAUGAACAUUUCUAUAUAUGUCUACAUGUCCUUGAUGCAUCCACGUGGAAUAGCUAUCAGUUGUAGGUCAGAACUUCUACCUACAGUCAUCCCAAAUUUUUCAGACAUAUCCAAUGACUCUGGACUUGCCCCACCAGGAAGCACCCAAUCAAAGUGAUAGAGCAGGUUUGCCAAAGUGAUCUCUAAGGUUGACGCGCUGAAUAGCAUCCCAGGACAUUGCCUUCGUCCAGCACCAAAGGGGGUGAAUCCAAAGUGUGUCCCAUUGUAAUCUAAGUUGUUGUUCUCAAACCUCUCUGGCAAAAAGGCUUCAGGGUGUUUCCAGUACUUUGGAUCCCUAGAAACUGCAAAGACAUUAAUUAAUAUAGUGGCGCCUUUAAGCAUCUCAUAACCCAUAAUUUUACAAUCCAUUCUGGCCAUGCGUGGGAUUAGUGGAGCUGGUAGGUGCAACCUAAGAACCUCCUUAAUGACCAUUCGCAUGUAGUGGAGGUUUCCAAGGUCACUAUUUUUUAUGAUUGUUCAAUCUUGACCUAAUACUUUUCUUAUCUCUAGUUGAGCCUUAAACAUUGUUUCAGGAUGACGGACGAGCUCUGACAUAGCCCAUUCAAAAAUUGUUCCCGUGGUAUCUGUGGCACCAGAAAAUAUAUCCUGCAAAUGAAAAUUUAGGUACGUUAAAUUAGCUCAUACUUCUAUAUGCCACACUUAUAAUGAAACAAUUUGUGAAACAAAAUCUUUCAUUUUAAAAAAUUGUAUGUGUUACUUUGAAGUGAACCAAAGGAUUUUUUUUACAUACUUUGAAGCCUAAAUCCCCUUACAAAUGAUUUGAGAACAUUUCGAGGCACUCAAGGCAAGUAACUUCUCUAGGUAUGAUAUCAUGUGAGGCCAUAUGCCUCCCCUUGGGUUACACUUGACAGAGAAAGAGGUGAAAGAUCGCAAUUGCAAAAAUGAGACAUUCAAGUUUAUGAGGAAUAUGAUUUCUGAGUGGUUUGAUCAGGAUGUUUGUUUAUUCUUAUAGAAAACAUCACCACUUUAUAGUGGACAUAGGCAUCUCUAUAGUGGCAAAAGGAAUAACAAACUUAAUAAAGCAACAUAGGUUAUCUUCAUGAGCUUUCACAAAAUUCAUAGCAGCGCAUGAUUUCCUCGAUUGCUAAUGAUGUGAUAAAACUUACAAAAACCCAUUUCAUGCUAGGAAAAUAUUGUGGAAGGGCUUAUUACUCAUGGGUUGCAUCAAAAGACAAGGGAUUCUCAAAAUUGAUUUUGGCGAGACUAAUGACAAUGUAAAGUGAAUGUUCAUUCCACAACCAAUGUUUAUGGAAUCUUUCCCUUUAUGUGAUGUCACUUGAAGGUAAAAUGUGUGCAAGGUGGGUUCUUUGGUGUGAAAAUCAAUGAUGAUAAAGAACAUUACUUCCAAGAAUAAAAAGAUCUCCAUCAAGGGUUCUUUAUUUUCACUAGUGUCGCUCAACAUUAUGGCGGAUAUGUUGGUUGCAAUAUUAAAAGAAAGAAGGAUUAAGGUCAAAGCCAUGGUGUUCCACCCAGGGGGGUCAUGAUAGAAUAUAUGUACUCAUUAUGAGGUUCAUACCCUUAUAUUGCUACACCAUGAUAAUGGAUAGACAAAUAGCAUGGCGUUCGUGUUAUGAGUUUCUUUGAAAAUACUUAACAGUAAAGAUUAUAAUUUUCCACAAGGGUGAAAUCUAUAAAGCUAACGGAUAUAAUGUGUGGACAACAUCAAUGUCUAGGUCUUUGGUUUGUCAAGUAUGUUUUUUUCCUUAUAUUAUCUUGUAUUUGGAUCUGCUACACGUGUCUUCGCAAUAGUGAUUGGAAAGCAAAAGACCGGGUUGAAUUCAUUCAAACUAUCAUUCACGUGUUUAUGAGGUCAUUUGAAUCUUAUCGAAUGUUACCACAGUUUCUGGGGGGUCAUCAAAAUUUCCGGUAACUGGUGGGUUACCAGAAAUUCUGAGCAGAAAGAAAUAAUCUUGAAAUGUAUGACAUAGAUAAUGUUAACUAAAUGGUUAAUGAUUUAAGUUUGUCAGAACAAAAGUAAUCAAUAUUCCUAUCUCGUGUCAUAUGCAAAAUUUGUGCCGUUGUUUGCAUCAGCUACCAGUAAAAAAAAGUUUCUUUUGUUAAAAAUACUCACAAAUAAGACGGCGCAUAUGCUCUCUGUGGUUAGAGGGAAUGCCAAUGAAUCAUCGUUCUGUAGUCUGAGCAGCACGUCCAGCAGGUCCUCGUCGUGGGUGCUUGAGGCGCCAUGACCAGUAGCUCGCGCGGCCUUGCGCUCCUCGAUCACGUUGGCGAUGAUGCAUUGCAUGUGGCUGUAGCUCCUCUUCAUGCACCGCGCCAGAAGCUGAGCCACCGUGCCAACCGUGACGACGGGAAGAGAUCGACGAGGCAGAAGCCGCCUAGCAGGGUGAGCACCACAUCUAGCUCGCGGAUGUACUCGUCCUGCUGUGUGAACCUGCCGCCGAACACUGCCUGCGACACGACGUUGUUGAGCUCCAUCAUCUUCUCGCUGAUGUUGAUGCUGUCGCCGGACGCCGCAGCAGUGGCGAUGUCGGCCAGGAGGUUGCCAACCUCCUCUGGCCGGAUGCUCUCCAUGCGCCUGACCUGCAUGGAGCUGAGCAGCUCCACAAUGCAGACCUUGCGCAUCUGGCGCCAGUGGUCGCAGUAGGGGGCGAAGAUGAUGCCCCUGCCGCCACAGCCGGCGAUGUCCUGCGUCGGCGUGCCCGGCCUGGUUGCGAACGCGAGGUCGUUGGUCUUCAUCACCUGCGCCACCGCCUCGGCGCUGGAGAUCACCACGGCUUCGACCUCGCCUAGCUUGAGGUGCAUCAUUGGCCCGUAUCGGCGACACAGCUGCGUGAUUUUCCGGUGUGGGACGAGGCUAACGACGUGGUGGAGGCUGCCGAUUAUCGGGAGUGUCCAUGGCCCUGGCGGCAGCUGGUGCUUCUGUGGCUUGUUCUUGCCGCCGGCGCCGGCGAGCUUGAGAAGCCAAAGGGCAAGCGGCGUGCCUAGUGCAAUGAAACACAAGCUGAACCACCCCUCCAUGGCAGGCAGCUUUGCAAGUGCAGUGGUAGUGGUACUGAUAACUUACAUGUCUGGACUCUGCAGGUAUAUAUAAAUGUAUAAAAGCAUGCAUGUUCUUUGCAGGCGACAGAGGAGCUUUCUCUCUCUGGCUGCUAAGUGAGUAUACAGUAUGAAAGUUUAGGCCGUUUUCUCUUGUCUGGCUACGAAGAUUACAAAUUGGUCUCAGCGAUGGGGUUAGUACAAAAGGCAUUACACGAAUCAAACUCCACUUUCUACAUUUCAAAUCGAUUUAGUUCUAAUUUUAUUUUCCCAGUAAAAUUUCUCUAUAGAAAAAUAUAUUUAAUGAGCUAAUAUGUAGGAGUACAACACAACCAAAAUAUAUUUAAUGAUGUAUAUAAUGGAACUAAUUUGGGAUUGUAAAUUUUGACUUAUAACAAAGCUCUGUGACUUUAAAUAAUUUAUGGCGAAGAAAGAGAGAGCGGCGUUUGGAUCCUGGCCUUAGAUGAGCCCGGGUGUGAACAGUAAAUUGGUCAAAAAUAGUAAAAAAAUACAAAAAAAUCAUUUUUUCGUGAUGAAAGAUGCUUCAGUGCGAGAUGUCCGUGCCAAAUUUGGUGAAGUUUGGACAUUUUAGGAUCUGUUUGCAAAAAACAAUCAAGCAUUUGAGGAAGUUUGAUGUUCUGCACUGUUCGGAGGUCGUUUUGUGUUUUUUGACAUGGCUCAUCGAAUGUCCAAACUUCACCAAAUUUAGCACGGGCAUCAUGAACUCAAGCAUCUUGCACAAAAAAAAACAGAAGCUAUGUGGUGAAGCUUCUGACUAUUGGUCUGGUUUGGUUUGUGACUGCAUCUUCCUUCAAAAAGCAUAGAAGUUGUUUUUUCCGCCGGACGUAUCUUUUAAUACUAAAACAUACAUGCUCUUUUUCUGGCGGCUAUGUGGCGAAGCUUCCGGCAGAGAAGGUUUCUCUAUUCUGGCUGCUAGCUGCGUAUGAAAGUUUGGGCCGCUUUCUCUUCUCUGGCUGCUAACUGAGUAUGAAAGUUUGGGCUGCUAAGAUUGCAAAUUGGUCUCCCUAGGUUAGGCUGGUCACAGUGGGGAGGAACUUAGGAGUAACAUCACACACUUCAAUACAACUUUGCUUAUGUGGCACGUAUUUAGUGAAGAGAGAGGUGCUUGUGGUAACUAGCUAAGUUACCGGAACAUCACACACUUCAAUAAACAAUGAGUCUAUAACCUAAUAAAUACAUCGUUGCAUGACACUACAUAGAUGUUCCUACCCAUUAUGGUGGUAGUAACAUAGUCUAGGGAAAUGUGAAGUUACUAGCUUAUGUUCUUGCCCAUUGUGACCAGCCUUAGACUAGCCACAAUGGAGAGUAACAUACAGUAGUAACAUACACAUAUCCCUAGACUAUGUUACUACCUCAAUAGUGGAUAGUAACAUAAGUGUGGUAACAUGCAAAGCUUCAUUUAUUAGGUUAUAGACUCAUAUUGCAUUGGGACAUGUGAUGUUACAGUAACUAGCUAAGUUACUAGUACUACAUCUCUCCUCAUUAACUCACUGCCACAUAAGCAAAUUUGCUGAGUUGGACUCGAUGUUACUACCGAAGUUACUCCCACUGUGGCUAGUCUUAGUGCAAAAGUCAUUAGAAGCAUCGAACUCCACUUUCUCCAUUUCAAAGUAAUCGAAGUUCUUGUGUUUUCCCUUGUUAAAUUUCUCUGUAGAAAAGUUCAUGAGCUAAUCAAUGUUUUAAAUAGCGGGCUAUGGAAAAUAGUGACGGGCCUCCAAAUCAGCUAUAGCGGAGCUCUAGCCGGCUAUUUAAAACUAUGGAGCUAAUACAUACAACACGACCAAAGUACAUUUGAUGAUGAUGGUAAAUUAUGCCUGAUAGCAAACCUAUGAAUUUAUAUAAUUUAGAGCGAAGAAAGAGGUCUAGUAUUGUACACUAUUUUUGUCAUCAGCAAUCUAGCCGCGAAUAAUUUAAAUUUUGUCAUACUAUCUUUAAAUUUUGUCAUCAACAAUCUAGCCGCCACCAAUUUAGUUCUCUACACCAAUAAGUCUCUACUUGUAUAUAGUUGCAUACACUAGGCAGUUCAUGAGUCAGCAGGUCCAGAGUCUUAACAGAACUUGUAGGUGGUCACAUAAAUAUACCGGGUCUCACUCCAAGCUGCACUUGCUAACAGCUUGGAGCCUGCCAUGGAGGGCUGGUUAAGUUUGUGUUCCAUAGCUCUAUGCACGCUUGUGGCCCUCUGGUUUCGCAAGCUCUCCGGGGGCAAGAGAAAGCCACAGCUGCCUCCUGGGCCAUGGACUCUUCCCUUCAUCGGCAGCCUCCACCACGUCGCCAGCAUGCUCCCGCACCGCAAGAUGAUGGAGAUGUCUUGACGGCAUGGGCUGCUGAUGCACCUUAUGCUCGGCGAGGUCCCAACGGUGAUCGUCUCCAGCGCCGAGGCGGCGGCGCUGGUGAUGAAGACCAAUGACCUUGCCUUUGCUGGCCGGCCUCGCAGCGCGACGCUGGACAUCUUCGGCUGCGGCGAGAGAGGCAUCGUCUUCGCCCCCUACGGUGACCCAUGGCGCCAGAUGCGCAAGGUCUGCACCGUGAAGCUCCUCAGCUCCAAGCAGGUGAGGCGUAUGGACGGUAUCAGGCCAGACCAGGUGGGCAGCCUUCUCCAUUAUGUCGCGGACGCGGCAUCCACGGGUGUCGUCGUCAACGUCAGCGAGAAGGUGAUGGCGCUCAGCAACGACGUGGUGUAGCGGGCGGUGUUUGGCGGCAAGUUCCCGCAGCAGGAGGAGUACCUCCGGGAGCUAGAUGAGGCGUUCGUGCUGCUAGGUGGUUUCUGCCUCGUCGACCUCUUCCCAUCAUCGCGGCUGGUGCGGUGGCUGAGCAAGGGAGAGCACCACAUGAGGAGGAGCUAUGGCCACAUCCAACGUAUCAACGCUGAUGUCAUCGAGGGGCGUAAGGCGGCGCGAGCUGCCACACAGGACGGUGCCUCCAGCACUGACGAUGAUGACUUGCUGGACGUGCUACUCAGGCUGCAGGAGAAGGACGCGUUCACAUUCCCUAUGACCACGGAGAGUAUAGGUGCCGUCUUAUUUGUGAGUAAUUUUCUUUAUGCUUCUUAUUAAUCUACCGAUGUCAUAUCAUAUCUGCAAAGUUUUAAUGCAAAAAAGCUAGCUUCAUCAUUUCAUAAAUCUAUUAGUCUCAACUUGUUUCAUAGAUUUAUAAAUGUAAAUUAUUGUAUCUGAAAUUGAUUAUUUGUUGCGUACUACUAUAUAUGUAGAAACAAUAUAUAAACAUACAUACCACAACAAUAUUUUUCAGGACAUAUUUGCAGGUGCCACACAGACCACGGGAGUUGCCUUGGAGUGGGCAAUGGCUGAGCUCGUCCGUCAUCCCGAAGCCAUGGCCAAAGCACAGCUUGAGAUCCGAGAGGUGCUAGGUCAAGGCCGAGCUGUGAUUACUAAUAGUGACCUCGCUGAACUCCACUACAUGCGGAUGAUCAUUAAGGAGGUUCUUAGACUGCAUCCACCAGGUCCUUUGAUCCCCCAUAGGGUCAGGGAAGACUGUAAAGUUAUGGGUUUUGACAUGCUUGAAGGCACCAAUGUAUACAUUAACGCGUUUGCAGUUUCGAGGGAUCCAAAUUGUUGGGAAAGUCCUGAAGAGUUUAAGCCUGAAAGGUUUGAGAACAAUAACAUGGAUUACAAUGGGACAUACUUUGAAUUCACCCCCUUCGGUGCUGGUCGGAGGCAGUGCCCUGGGAUACUUUUCGGCACGUCAACUAUGGAGAUCGCCUUGGAAAAUCUUCUCUACCACUUCGACUGGGUGCUUCCUGGCAAGGCAAGCCCGGAAUUUUUGGACAUGACCGAGAAAUAUGGGAUCAUCGUAGGAAGAAAAUAUGACCUACAAUUGAUACCUAUUUCCCGUGGAGGUUUCCAUGCCACAUAGACAUAGAUGGUCGUGCAUUGCCACAUAGAUAUGUCUGUACUUUUGUUGAUCUAUACCAAUAUGUAUCAUUGCACCAAUAAGAAUAAAAGAACCUCGUUGAACUUGCAAUAUAUUAUGGUGGAUGACGCAAACUAUUGAUUGUACCAAAACAUGAAGUUUGCACUUUUUAAAUUGCCCCUGGUGACGAUGGGUUAGUUACUGUAUUGAUGCAUGUUGUAUGGACCAAAUUUCAAACUAGUUUCAUGGUCUGAUAUCCUCCGUGUAAAAUGCAAGGACUGACCUAUAAUUUCUUCUUAUUUUUUCUUUUGGGUCCUUUUGGAAGAUGUACUGCUAGGUUUAUCAAAUGAGAUCUGGUUCCUUUGGACCGACUUUGCUAACAGUAAUGGUCUCGGCCAAGCAUUCAUGGGUGCGUCUAACGUGCAAGCAGCACUAGGUUACUGACUUGGCAUGCUGUAGGCCAAAUGUAGCUUGAUGUUUUUCUAUUCUCUGAGCUUUUGCACUGUUCACAUCUGGUUUAGUCUACGGACCAACUUUUUCUCAUAAAAUAAACUGGUUUUUUUAUUAUGAAUCAAAAGGAAAUGUGAGCCCUAUUGAUAAGAUUUUACAGAAAAACAAUUAUCUCGGUCAUUCAUUUUCUGAACGGACUACGGUAAUCUCUUGCCACAUUUUUGGGGCUAGUGGUGUAUCCACUAUACUGAGACUCUAUUACUCCAUAGUCUAUAGACCAUAAGCAAUUACUCUCUCUUUUCAGUCUGCUCUCACUUUCAGUAUCACUAAUUUGUUGUAAAAAUCCGCUAUCCUUGAACUCUGUAAUCAUCUCUGCGGGCUGCAGUGGCAACUAAUAUACAGUGUCAUCUUCCUAACUCCCACCUCAUUAAGUAUGUCGCUUUUUUUUUAGAAAAGGAGGAUGACCCCCGGCCUUUGCAUCUGGGCGAUGCAUACGGCCACUUUAUUAGUUAUUCUCACAGGACCUUACAAAGUAAUAAAGCAGUAAGACUAAAGCCGCCGUCUAAGCAACAAACUAUCGCUACACCUAUCCAGUUGAUGACGGGGCACAGAUAGCCUGGGCCGAACAGACAUAGCAGCCAAACCUAACAUCUAAGACCUGAGGUCCCAUCCAGGACGCCUGCCGGGCAUGGGUCUCACCGGUCCGGCGUGCACUCAGAGGCCGCCGCCACCAACUGCCACCGCUCCAUCUUCAGAACUGUACUGAUGCAUCAACCUUGCUCGGUCCAGCUAUCGUCGACGCCACCAAGGCGCCCAACGGCACCUCCUCCCUGCACGCAAACAGCUGAGCACGUCGCAGUCGCCACUGAUACACCUCAGCACCAUGCUGCCAAUUACCACCAGCCGACACAGCUUGAAGUCUUUGGAAGAUCUGUCGUGCGUAGCACGUGCCGACCAGGCAUGACAAGGCGUAGCACCUGUCGGUCAGGCAUGACUUGACAUCUCCACCGAAGCUCCGUGCAAGACGAAGCCGCUCCACCUCCAGCCUCUCUGAACGGGAGCACCCCAGGAAGACACAGCGAAGAGUUGAGCACCACCAUCACCAUGAGAGCCAGACCUAGCCGACCGCCAUGGCGAAGUGACACCACUAAAGAGAGAACCGCCGCCAUCAGGAACGCCAAGAACGCGCUGCAACUGUCCCACCUCCCUGCGGACCCAAAGUGGCGCCUUCAAGAAGGUGACGGAGCCGGGCACCGCCGCCACCCAACCAAAGUUGUGGGUUUUCACCCGGGUGCAGGGGGAGGACGAGGGGGAGGGAGCUGGACCUCGAAGCCGCCUUCAAGAAGGAAACAACGCCUCGAGCACCGCCGGUGUCGUGGCCGCCGCAGCCGGCCAAGAAAUUACUCCGAUCCAGAGCUCCCAACCCCACAUCCACGCAGUCAGCCACCGGAUCUGGCCGGACUGAUGAGGAAGCAGCAGCAUGGGUGCACCGUCUUUAGAUCUGGCGAAGGAGAGCGGCAGGGGAUCCCUCCACGCGGCGCCCGCAUCCAUCGCCAACUCGCCUCCCGCACGGCUGAGUAGACGCGGCCCUCAACCCCGGUGAGCGCCGCCCGCUGCCGGGACGACACCGCCCUCACCAGCAGAGGCCGCCGCCUCAAACCCUAGGCCCGAACCUGAGCGGCGUCGCGACUGAGGGCCUCGCCGCCACCCUCAUCGGCGGCCACGCGGGGGACCCGGCGCCCGUCUCCGGCGGCGGCGAGGAAAGGAAUCGAGAAGGGGGGAGGCGGACGGGGAGGUUGGUCGCCCCCGAGUCGCUCUCGAGAGGGCGGCGGGAGGGACGGGACCUACGUAGUUGGCCGCCCUAAGUAUGUCGCUUAGUGACGCAUCUUAAGUCACAUGGCUUUCUUGUUACUCCCUCCUGUCCCUUUUAGUCCGCAUAUAAGUUUUGUCCGAAUCAAAAUAUCUCUACCUUGACUAAACUUAUAAAAAAAGUAUUAACAUUCACAAUGUCAAAUCAACAUUGUUAGAUUCAUUAUGAAAUGUAGUUUCAUAAUAUAUAUAUUUGGUAUUGUAGAUGUUGAUACUUUUUAAUAUAAAUUUGGCCAAACUUUGCAAAGUUUGACUUGAGACAAAUCUAAUAUGGGGAGUAAAAAGGACCUGAGGAAGUACUUAAUCGCAUAGGCCCAACACUUGUUAUCUCUCUCUCUCUCUCUCUCUCUCUCUCUCUCUCUCUCUCUCUCUCUCUCUCUCUCUCUCUCCUUUCUUGUUUAAUUGUCCACCAAGCUGAUAGUGCUGCUCAAUGCAUCAUGGGCAGACCACUAACAGACAGUAUGCUACCACUUAUCAUAUUUUAAUUCUAUCUUUCUUUGUUUAGAUCUAUGGUAAAAUGUGAUUGCUAGGUUGGGUUGGUGGACAUGGAACAAGAUAUCUAUGGCCCUAACUCAAAGAAGGCGCAUUCAAAUAUUUAUGUACUUCUUGUGUCAAAGCACACCUAUAUUUCUCAACAAAUUUAUUAAAUCUUUUACUUGCCACCGCAAAUGACUAUUUGAAUGGUGACUGCCGUGUCAAUCUUAAUACCAUACUAUUGAGUGGUGACUGCCGUGUGAUGUUUUCAUCCGUAUAUCUAAAUAAAACAUUAUAGUUGAAUGUGACUCCGCCGGCUGCUAACAAAGCAACAAACAUGAAUGCAUCCGCGCAAUUAUUGAACAGAUUGUCUUGAACUCGCGUGCAUCCCACCAACAUUUGUCCGGCUGCUAACAUGCGCCAUGCAUGCAUCUAAUGCGUGUCACACCCACAGAGUACGUGCAAGAUAUAUCUGAUUACUAUAGCUAUGCAUUGUCACGCCCAUGAUUGAUCUGUGCCUUUCUGGUAAUCUAGCCUUGCAAAGUUUUGGUUCGAGCGGCUGUUGUGAAACAACUAUGCAAUCUAGGCAGCAUUGCCUUUGGCCUAGUAUCAAUCCUACGAAGAUAACGCUAAAACUUGUUAAAAGAAAGCACUAUCGUACUCGAACUAUGACGUAAAACCUACAUAUUCCAUUAAACUAAUAAAUCAGGCAAAACAUUGAUUACUAACUGAACUACAAGACCUAAAAAAUAGCAAAAGAAAGCUACAUUUUAGUUAUGAAUGCUAGCUACCAGGAAUUUGUUGUUUUAAUUGAUUUUUAAUUUUGUCACAUACUCUAUCAGAUUUACAGGAAUACAUAUGAUGUUUUUGAUAUUGCGCCGACGUUAGAAGUCAAUUUGACGCCUAGUUUUGCCUCCUACGUAUAUGCAUAAUGUUCGGUCAUAGAUAAUUUUAUUUAGGGCUAGUUUGGUUACUAUCCUGGACACCACGCCUGAAGAAUAUUGCUGCCUGGGAAUUUGCUCUUUCGUGCCUGGUCAGGCAAGCUAGGCAGAGAUGCGUUUGGUUCGUACCUGGACUGGUGUACUCGUAUUAAGGAAUAAAUGUCCGCACAAAAACUAAAGACAGUCCUAUUGCUUGGCACAAGUCCCUAUACUAGUGUUAGAGGCUAGGCAGCUAUUAGCCGGUGCGCAGGCCCCGGAAGUCGGAAGCCUGGUAGGCUAAUGAAGAUGCCUGGUUAUCCAGGCCCGGGCAUUACGAUCUUUUCCAGGAACUAAACAAACUCCGCCCAGGAAGAUCACAUGCGUGCACCAGGCCAGGCUUGAAACAACGAGGACGCAAACCAAACUGAUCCUUAGAGCUUUCUAGUGGCACAACACAGAGUCUUUUCCUAUUCUUUUUCCUCACAUCCUCACCAUGGGUUCGAGUGUAGGCUGCCUGGUAGUUGUCCUUUAUUUCUCUUCUUUUUCCCCGCUUAGACCCGUGGCCAUCUGAAUAGGAGUUAGCUCACCCUCGCGAGGCCAAAUUUAGAUUCAUUGCGCAAUGUGAUUGCUAGCUUUGUUUGGCAGAGAUGGAGGAUUAUCCUGUCAACUUAAAGGAGGCCCUUACGAAUAAUUUAUGUUCCUCUUGUGUCUGAACGCAACUACAUUUCCAAAGGUAGCAACACAUUAAAUUACUCAUAUACAAUUAAUUAGGAUGGUACAAAGUGUGCGGGCACGCAGGGAGGUGAGACAUGUCUAUCUAAUCUAAUGGUUGACGUCCGACAGUCCGGUGACGUUUUCGACCAUAUAUAUUAUCCUCUAAUAAUACAUUGUAGUUGAAGGUGACUCCUAUCGGCUGCUAAAAAUGGAGUAUGAAUGCACGCAUGGAUCUUGAACUAGUGGGGCACAACAUAAAGAUGUCAUGGCCUGUAUACUAAAAAUGAUUCAACCGGCUGCUAACAUUCCUAGUGAAGAGCAGAUCUUAAAGUCGAUCUAGUGGACGUCGCACCGAAUUCCCAGUAUGCACAAGAUCAUAUACCAGAUUCCUCCUGCUGCUACUUGACGGUGAGAAACGUAAAUGCAUGCAUGCGUUGAGUGGUCACAGCUACGUAAAGAUAGGCCUGAUUGUCACACUCACGAUGGUAUGUGCCGUAUACUAUUCCAACUGGUGCGACUGCUAUGAAAAGUGGAUGCAAUCUAGACGAUGUUGUCUUUGACAAAGUAUCAAUCAUAUAUAUAAAGAUAACAAUAACACAUGUGGCAAGAGAAGCAGUGCACAAAGUACACCGCGUACAUGUCCUUUUCCUUGUAGCCUGUUUGUGAUCUCAUAAUUAAGCACCACACGUCCAAACGAAAAGAAACCCACCUACUCGGCCUAUGCUGAGAAACUGGCACAUUGCAUUAUGCUGAUAAACCAAACAAAAGAACGGUUACCAAACGAUAGAUGAAGUAAUUUUCACAAACACAACCACAACAGACAUGCAAAAUAGGAACCAGUACCAAAUUACCUGCACAACGGCUUCAUCUUAGAGAAAACUAAAACUUUUGAAUUCCUGCUCCAAUAGUUCUGUAGGAGACAAAAUCUGCUAAAUCGAGGGUGAAGAAAAGCCCCGUCAUGGUUACGCCAUGUCAAAGUUUCCCUCUUUCCAUCCCUUUCUCUGCACCCAAACCGGUCGAAUGGCUGAGCCAGACCAGCCUAAGUCUCACCGACCCGUCCCAUGGACUCGCAAUGGCUUAAGCUGCACCAGGUUGCACCUUCACCUGACUCGUGCACCAGCAAUGGUUGCCCUCAUAUAGAUACGCUUAGGGGCAAGUAUUUGAAGGAGGCGGCGACAACUAUGGAGAAAAUGAACAUAGAUAAAUCAUCUCCAAUACGUGAUUUAAAAUAUAGUAGAGGCGCAAGGAAAAUGCUCUUUAUGACAUUUUGACAUAAAAACGGUGCUCCAACAGCUGCCCAAUCUCUAUAUUUUUGUGGUCCUAAUUAGAGGCAGACCUAAAAUACACCCUCUUGUGCUGCAAAUAUACAACACCAUGCGCAAGUCUCGCGAAACAAAAACGCAGCUGCGUGCAGUCAAACCACCAUCCGGAACAUUCCCUUAGGUAAACAUGCAAAAAUGCCUCCCCUCCCACUCCGCUGCUGCUACCAAAUCAGUUCGUAUCCGGACGCUUCUGGCCAAAGACGCCACCACUGUACUGCCUCGAAGUCAUAUCCACCGCGCCCUCUGUCGCUCGGACUGCCGCACCACCGCAACUACUGAAUGGCAACGAGCCGUCGUACCGACCAAUACAAAUCGCCGGUCCUACCGCCUCACCUCCCGACUGCCGGAUCAACCGGCCCAGGCGGUAAAUCCUCAACUAUGCCUUAGUCUCGAGAGAAUCGGCCGCCACCGCUGCCGAGCCAACGAUGCUAUAAGAUCCAUGAGUGACUGCUAUAAGAUCCAUGAAACUUCAAUGCUAUGAAACAUCGCUGCAAUCUGCGGGCCGUUGUCUUUGACCAUGGAUAAAUGUUCCCGAAGGUACCUCAUGUGUGUGCUUGUCUUUUUAUUUAGCAAAAAAUGUUUCAUCUUCAUCUUCAGCAAAUAAAAACUCUUGAAUUCCCGCCCCAUCUGGAAUAGGGCACAAAGUUUAUUCAACACACCAUGAACGAAAAUCACUACCAUGGUUUACUAGACCACAUAAUCCUGAAAACCAAAUCAACAUAGAAGGACAAAUUAAGGAGAAGGAGAACUAGUAUUUCGCAAGGCGCUGGUGUUGUUGACAUAGUCAAGAAAAAAAGACCUCAAAGAAGAGCUAUAAUAUUUGCAUCUCCCAACCUCACGACAUAGUAGAGGCGAUGGAUCAUAGGUAAAAACAGUUAAGAUCUUGGACCGGGCAGCUAUGGUUAGGUAGGGGGAGUUGCCGUCAAGCUAUGAUACUUUAAUAACAUGGAAUAAUGAUGGUAAUGAAUGCAAGCCCUAAUUUAUUAGUGUUAGCUAUCUAGAGUUCUUUUGUACUCCCUGGGUCUCUAAUGGUGGAGCAGGCACAUGUGACUACCUAUCAUUCCUCUGCAGGAAGCGGCAGCAAGCACCACACACAGUUCAAUCAUGGAGUAGAAUAGCAACAUUUUCUAUGUACUCAUUUUUCAGUUUAUAAGGCCCCCAUGUACUGAUUAAUCAUCAAUUCGACCAACAUAAUGCUAGGAUUAUAUCACAAGAAAAAUAUUCCAUAGAAAACUUCUAAAGAUAUACCAUUUAUGAUAUACAUUUGGUGUUACUUUGAUUAAAUGAUUAAUUUAGGGAUACACUUGGGCCUUAUAAAUCGAAAGAGGGACUAUCUAGUAUAAUUCGCCUGGCUGCUAAUACGCAUCAUGCAUUCAUCUUAAACUCGAUGUAGUAUAAUCGAAAAAUGAUGUACAAUGGAUUAUUGGCUCUAUGCAUAAGAGACCUGCAUGCAUGAUGAGUGAUCACAACAAUUGGCAUAAGUGUUUUGCUGACUAUACCUUGUCACGCCAAUUGCAUGCGUUGAGCUAACUCUGUAAUGCUCCGGGUGCGGCUGCUAUGAGAUGCAAUCUAGCGGCUGCCAUGGUCUUUGACCAACGAUCCAUCCUAUGAAGAUAAAUAUAAUACAUGCGACAAGAAAUACAUUACUGAAAGUAAACAUUGAUUUAACUUUGGCAGGUCCAUUAUUUUUCUUUGUACAUUCUACACAAAUUAAAAUAGUUUUGAAUUAUUAUUUUUACAUGCUCUAUCAUGUUUAAAUUAGUUUGAUAUUUUGGAUUACAACACAAGUUUAAUGUAAAUUUGGCAACCAGUUUUUCUCUAUUAAGUAUAUGUACAACGAACAACUGCACCCAGAAAGGGCUGGAAUAUUCUGAUCUGAGGUACAUCUGAACAGCCAAAAAAUAAGAUACAUAUUCAAGUUUCAAAAUAAAUGAAUACAAAACAUUCAUGUAUAUAGAGGAUGGUUACAAGUAUGUGGAUGUAAAUUCUGAACAUAAACAUGAGAAUACUAUGUGACAUAUAAAAACCAGACAUAAUGGCUAAGGAACAAUGCAAGUCACAAGUAUAGCAAGCUAAAAUAGAUUUCUCCACGUUGAAAAUUGAUGCUUUUAUGCCCGUCAAUCGGGUGAGUCUAAAGGCACUACAUGAUAAUCAACUGGAAGGUAGGUAGAUUAGGUAGUGCAUGCAGUCACCUUUAUAGUUCGGCCGGCCGGCUGCUAACGAUGAGAAAUAUGCAUGGACCUGCCAUUGCGUGGACAUUAUUUAAAGGCCUCACGCACACAUUCUCCUUCCUACCCAAACAAAGCUAUCUAUAGCCCAAGCUACUAAAUCUUUGAAGCAAAGAAGCAACGGUUAAUUUCCAUGGCGUCCGGCAAUGCUGCUACUCCUGCGUUCAGCUACGAGCCCUCACUAUGGAUCGACUUCUUUGCUGGAUAUGAGCCACCGCCAUUACAGGUAUACAAUAAAAGCUAACAAUUUAUGGCACAAAAUGUCACCAUGCACAAAGGUAUUUAUUUCUAACUAUUGUAUGCAUAUUUGUACUAGUAUCUACUACUCCGGCCAACGUUAGGCCAGCCCAAGAGGUGCCAAAAUGUACACCAUGCACCCACUACUUGCAGGCCCAAGUAGGAACACAUUUCUAAUUACCAUCCAUGCUCCUCUAGAGAUCCAUGUCAACCGGUUGCUUAUCGUGUGUACAUCACUAGUCAACACUUCUUAUAGUAUCUGAAUAUGUGUAUAGACUUUAUAUUUCACAUAUCCAGCGGCACAGAUUUGUCAUAUUCAGAUGUCUACUUUGUAUAUCAUCAACACCAUUCAUAGUCAUAAGUAAAUCGUCUUGUGUAACUCCAUGCUUGAGCGGAAGCAACUUGAAACCACAUGCAUGCUUUUGAAAUUAAAUAUGCUGGCCAUGACCGACACCCUUAAAAGAUACAUGUGGGUAGCCUUUGGUUGGCAUAUGUUGGAAAGUUGGGCUCAGUGAAAGGGUAUAUGGUUAUUCUACACAGUCAUGUACUUUUGGUCCAUUUUCUUUCACUCGAGAUACGAGUUGUUCGAUUUGUUUUCAACUAUUUUUGGUUUUGGCGACCAUUUUUUUUACCUAGCUAACCCUGGUCCCUUUUGGUUAAUUAAAAAUGUUCAAUGCUUGCAUUGCAGAAAUCCAAGGAGUGGAUGACGCUUAGGGCAAAAAAACUGAAGGAAGACAUAUGUAUGUUGUUUAAAACCAGCAAUGACACAGUGGUAAAAAUGUCCUUAGUGGAUACACUACAACAUCUCGGAAUCGCUCACCUCUUUGAAGACCAAAUUAAUACCGCUAUGAGGCAAAUCCUGAAGAGUGAAUUUAGUAACUACAACCUCUAUGAAGUUGCCCUUCGGUUUCGCUUGCUGAGGGAACAUGGACACUGGGUAUCUCCAGGUAUAUAUAAUCCUAACAAUUUUUUCUUGUUAUACAUAGUUGGUUAUGAAAAAUUAUGAAAGAAAAAUCAUGACGUGCAAAUUUUUAACUGGCUAAGAAAUUGAGUUAUCAAUAUUAGAUUGGUAACCUUAUUUGUAAAAUAUUUCAUAAUAUGGAUGACAUGUCUACAACAAUAGAAGCUCCAUUGACAAUGUGGUCACGAGAACACCAACAUUUAUUUAUCGAUUUACAGAUGUUUUCAAUCGAUUCAAAAGUGAAGAUGGAAGCUUCAUCAAUGAUAUAACAAAUGAACCCAGGACACUAUUAUGUCUAUACAAUGCAUCUCAUCUUCUAAUUCAUGGUGAGCCAGCACUCGAAGAAGCCAUAACUUUUGCAAGGCGUUAUCUUGAGUCAUGUAGUGGUAGUUUAAAGACCCCACUAGCUCAACAAGUCCAACUGCCCUUCACAUACCAAUGCCAAGGACAAAUAAGAGGGUGGAAAUGCUACAUUAUAUCCUAGAGUACGAACAAGAGGAGCAUAACCCGAUCCUACUGGAGCUUGCCAAAUUGGAUUUCAACCUUCAGCAAAAUGUUCACUUGAAGGAGCUCAAAGCUAUUACCAGGUAUGUUAUAUAUCUUUCUCAUAUAAACAGAAGAGAUAACCCAGUAAUGAUUCAUGGGUGGUUGCCCUCGCAUACUACAUCUUCAAACAAACAAAAAACCAAAAGUCUAGUUACUACUACAUUUCUAGUACUUAACGUCAUUGAAAUUAAGAGCUUACGUGGUUGCCUUUUUUGAUCAAUAUGAGAAUGCAUAUUCACUAAUGGUUCAUGAUGCUUCAGUGUUUCAUUAGUUUCUGUGCAUUAUAGGAUAAUGACAUACAUGGUGUAGUGAUAGAGGAAUGCACAUGCUUUUAGUAAUAAUUGACCAUUGUUCUUUUAUCUCUUAAUGGGGCUAGCGAUGUUAUAUUCUAUGUGGACUAUAUAUUUACUAGUUCAGAUAACAUUGCUUAAUUAAUUCACAGGUGGUGGAAACAUUUUUCCGGAUAUAUCGAGCUAAGCUUUAUCCGCGAUCGUGUGGUGGAGGGUUAUACAUGGGCCUCUGUGUUGUACUAUGACACAAAAUUUGAGCUCACUCGAAGUAUGAUCACAAAGAUGAUUGUACUAAUUACCACAUUAGAUGACAUAUAUGACAACCAUGCCACCCUAGAGGACAGUUGGAAGCUACAUGAAGCAAUACAAAGGUGAGAUUGAUUUAGCUCUACAUUUUAUCUCUCAAAUUGUCAAUGCAUCUAAUGUAUAUUCCACUAAGAUAGCGAUUCCAUAUCAUAUCAAUAUGUCCUUAGAAUUACUCGCAACCACAGUCAAUAAAUAUGUGCGCAACGUGAUUUUUCCAUGAUGUUCAAAGUGAUAAAGUAAUUACGAACAUGUAUGUACUGGAUAAUAACUAUUUUUAGUAUUUAAGAAGAAGUAAUUGAACACCCUGCAUUGUCUUGACCAUAAGAGUGCAAUUCUAACAAGAAAAAAAUGGUAUACAAAUAAUGCUUCAAACCAGGAGCAUAUUACUAUUCUUUGGAUAAUCACCCUGUCCAGAGGUGGACGAGCUGAAUCCGAUGGUGAACUAUUGAUUUUCCCGGUGCCCCCCACCCCCCUCCCCGCGCGCGGGCAGAUCCACAGCUAAAAUUCCAUGUUGUUACGAAUUUUUCAUAAGUCUUAACAUAAUAGCACUCAUUGGUACAUACAAGUAAUGAGCUAAUGCUCACUACUAUCUAGUUACAAUUGCAAUUUCAAAUGAAUAUGUGAUGCAUGAUUAGAUUGUUAUUUUAUUAAAACAAACAUAUAUGUCGCCAUAAUAAGAGGUGGAUGAAAGAAAACCUAAAUGCAGUAACGAAUGAGAUAUAUUGCCUAUAAUGAAAUCUUGAUGUCAUGUUACACUAUUUCCCUCAUGGAGCAAAGUGAAACUAGUGGUUCUUAAUGUGUUGAAGAAAGACGAAGAGUACAGAAAAAUAAAAGGCUAGGUUAACAUACAAACAAAGAAUUGUCAAACUACGAUAACUUGUCUUAAGAUUGUUUUUGUGAAAUGGCCUUCAAGAUGGGAUAAGAGCGCCGCUUUUCUCCUGCCGGAGUAUUUGAAGAAUUUCUAUAUGGAGAUGCUGAGGACAUUUGAGAAUAUUGAGGCUGAAAUGCCAGCCAAUACGAACUACGAUAUAGCACACCUGAAAAAAGCGGUAAGUUCAUGUACCCUUUUCUGUCUUGUAAAAAACAACAUAUCACUCUGUGUGUGUGUGUGUAUGGUUGUGCAUCUCUCUCUCUCUCUCUCAUUAAUUUUGGGAUUACAUCUCUUUGUUUGUGUGCAGGUCCAAAAUAACGUGACUGGUUACCUGCAAGAAGCGAAAUGGUCACACGGGAACCACAAGCCAAGCUUUGUAGAUCAGGUCAAGUUGACUAGUCUGAACAUUGGUGUGCCAACGAUAUGUGUGAGUAUGAUGUCUGGAAUGAGUGAUGCAAUGAUGAAGACAACACUCAAAUGGGCUGCUAGUGUCCCAGAUGUCGUCAUAUCAGUCGGGAAGAUUUCCCGUUUCAUGAAUGAUAUCGGUGCAUUUGAGGUAUAUAUAUAAUAUUUCAAAAUUAUUUUUUGCAUGCAUGUUACUUGCUCCUUUCACACAUGUAAGAAGCUCAAGUUCAAGCAUGUUGAGAUAUAAUUUUGACCAACAAUCUGAGUGCUAAAAUGUGAUUUAUUUGACAAAAAAAUCAUAGUAUGGAUUAUAUUUCAAAUUAUUUUUUAGCACUGUCAUUUUUGUGAUGCUACCUUAACUUGAUUGGUUUAUUCUGUAUAAAUUUGUACACAUCAAAAUGUGUGGGCACCUAUGGAAAAAGGGGGCAGGGCUCAGUUACCAAGUUUGUACUAUCAUUGUGAGUGCAUGCAAGAUUAUUAAAUUGAUACAUACUUACAUAAAGAUGAUUAUUGAUGUCAUCAUACAGCGUCGUAAAUGCAAGGGGGAUCUGGAAAGCACUAUAGAGUGUUACAUCAAUGAGUACAACGUGACAAGUGAAGUGGCCAUUACCAAAAUUGUUGCCCUGAUAGAACAAGAAUGGAAGACCCUGAACCAAGCUCGCUUUGAAAAUCAUCUUCUCCCUGCAUUGCAGCAGUUCAUUAGCUUAGUGAUUAGCACAACAUUUUUCUAUGGUAACAGAAAUGAUAUAUACACGCACAACACACAUAUGCAGUGGACUAUUGAGAGGCUCUUCCUGAAGAAUAUGUAAGCCUUGGCCCAAUUCAUCGUGUAUUUGUUCCCUAGUUUUCACCAUAGGAAGGGAAAUGGUGAUAAGCAUGCAUGUGAUUCACUGAUAAUUUGUGAAAUGCAACAGUGCAAGGAAGUUGUAGUAGUGCAUUUUAUUAUGUCAAGGACUAAAACUUUAUCUCGACUAAAACUUUAUCUUAUGUAAAGGACUAAACAUAUCGAGGUAUGUUCGAGUUCGUCAGAGAUUGAAAGAGCUGUGCAUAUAUCAAACUUGACUACUCAUGGAUAAGCUUGCUCAUACUUUUUUACAUAGAGAUAUUAUUUGACAUAGCCAAUGUCAGUCAGAAUAAGAUGAAAAAUAAUCUGAUAGUCCAACAAGAGCAAUGCAAACAUGUACAGAGGUACAGACAAGACAACAGAGCAACAAAAACAUUCUGGUUCAAUAAAGGUGCUCUAUAUAAUUAUUACUAUAUACAUUCCAUGUGUAUAUCAAAAUAGCUUUGAAGCGUGGCCAUAGAAAUCCCAGCAGCUGAAGGUCAAACUUUCUGCUUAUGGUGAUCCCAAAUUUCUUAUACAUGUUCAGUGUCUCUUCAAUUGGCUCGUUGGUAAUUAGCACCAGCCAAAUUGGUGGAGAAGAUUUGCCAAGACAAUCUUUACGGUGGUCAUGCUGAACAGCGCCGAAAGAGGUGAAUUCAAAAUGUGUCCCAUAAUAAUCCAUAUUAUUCUCAAACCUCUCCGGCUUGAACGAUCCCUCGCUCGCUUUCAGAGUCAAUUGGCACAAUCCAGGUUAUGAGCUCAACGAAAAAAGGAUUUUGUGAGAUUGCUUGCAAAACCGCCUUGCGAGCGUCAGCGUUAGCGUACACUACAAGAAAUAAGUCAACUUAUGACCAACACUAGUGGUCACUGAAAGGUCACAAAUUUCCAUUUAUGACCUUUUUGUGACCAAAAACAGAAGGUCAAAAGCUGGCCGUCGUAAACUGACUAUAGCGACCUUUCUUCUGGAAUGGUCAAAGACGUUACGACCAAAAUAUUCCUACUGUGGCGUUUUGGUCACUAGAAACCUCCCCCAGGCCACGUAGGCAUCCAGCGUGGCAAGCUGAUGUGGCACAAGAUUCAGCCCGGUCCAAUUCGAUUUUCUACAUGGGCCAAGCCCAACAAUUCAGCCUAUUUGUGUUUUUUUUCAUCAAUUUUUGGUCAGGAUCAUGGGCCAAGCCCAAUAUGGCAGCCUUUUUUAUUGUUGGGCCACGGCCAUUUUGGCUAAACAAUUUCAUUUCUUUUUUAUUAAAUGGGUCCACUAGUCAGAUGGGUCCCAAUUGUUAGGUUCUGGUAACAGGUUUCCAUUUGUCAGGUAAGUAGGUCCCAUCUAUCAGACUCAUAUUCUUCAUAUUUCAUGCAGUAUUUAGAUUCACAGAGACAAAAAACACACAUAAUACUUAAACAAGAGCAACCAGAUCACAUAAUACAAUACUUUACAAGCUCCAUCCGUGCCAUUGCAAAGGGCCAUGUAUAAUACAAUACUUUACAAGCUCUACAAGUGUAACAUAGUACUACUUCACAAGCUCCUGGACUGGCUGGACUCUCUCAUAUUUCUAUGCAACUUCAACAGGACAAAAACUUUGGUAGUCAGGGCUGGAACCAUAAUCAGAUGAACAACACGCUGGACUCGCUCGACGGCGAUAGUCAGGGCUGAGACCAAACAAAACAGCAACAUGGCUUCCUCUGUCAUCCUGUUACAUGAAUCAGAAAAGAAUGAGAAAAACUGGGGCAAAUAUAUUAUGAACAGACCAUUCAAGAACAGACCAUUCAACAUUCAGCUAGUACCAUGCUUUUUGUUGUCGAGCUAGUUAAAAUGAGAUAGUAGUUCAUAUAAGAAACAGAGACACAAUAUGAAUAUGCAUGGCACAUAUGCAGGUUGUGCAAAAAACUGCACUACAACACAUUGCACCUAAAACAAAAUACCAUUCUACUAUCACGACCAUACAUUCAACUGGUAAAAUCUAACAAUACUCGUCAGCACACGCAUACUAAACUUCACAAAGGCAGGAGAGAAUAAAGGGAACCAAAGAAGAUACCUAUGGAUGAUAGUGUCGACGAUGAUCUGGAUUGAGUUAGCAUUGAUGAGGAAGUGGAUGGUGUCCAUGGUGUGCUUUAGAUGCACACAGCCAUGAGCUUCUUGCCGGUGUUGCAUCCGUUCGCUCAAUGAUGGGUACCAAUGCAUCCAAGUAGAAUAAAACCACCAACAUUAACCUAAAGCAGAGCAAGUGUACAGCAAGUGUGAAUGUGAUACAGUAAAAAAUUGCAUGCUAUGUACAUCAAGUUAAAAGGCACAAGUUAUACAGUAACCUAAAGCAGAGCAAGUGUACAUCAAGUUGAUAAAAAAAUGCCCAGUCAUGGCAUUUGAUUUCACAAGAGAAGAAUGUGUAAGGUGCAAUGUUGUGUACACUUUGUAAUUCUAUAAUAAUUUGUAGUGCACUGCGGCUAGAAGCCAGAGUACACUUGAAGCUACGAACUACGCAACAAGCCGGAAACUCCAACAACAAGAAGCAGAGUUGAGUUCCUAGCCAUCAGACUAGACUGGAACUCCCAGCAUUUGCCUCUUAAAUUUUUAUAUAAAGUGAAAAUUCCCAGCAAGGUAGAUAGUGAUCAACUUGCUGUACAACAAGUGCAGAGCAGCUACACAAGAAAAAUACAAGCCCACUGAUACUAGUUGUGCACUUGUUUCUUUCGUUCACCACUGAUCUGGUCUGUAGUGAAACUGAAAGCACGGCCAAAAGAAGUUAAAAAAUGUUAUUAGUUGUAAGAGGAUAUAGAUGCCACUAGAUCUCAGAACAAUAUCAGAUCAGGUUGUUGAAGACGUUGAUGACGAUGUUGUCGUUGGUGACGGCGUCGAUCUGCGGCCCCGGGAACUGCAUGUUGAUCAGGAUCCCCUGCACCGCCGCCAACAUCAGCCCAAGAACAGAGCAAGAGGAAGAGUGCAAUGCGGUGGGUUUCCAUGGCCGGGCUUCAUCCCGUCGCUUGUCGCUGUUCCUCCUGUCCUACCUGCAGAGACAAAGACGGGUGUGAGAGGGAGGGGGAGAUUGAUCCACCUGUAGUACUAGGAUUACGCAGCAACUAGUAGCAGAACUAGCAAGAAAUAACCAAAUUGAGUGUACAGCAAUAUCAUAUGAAUCCGCAACACAAUCAAGCAACAGAUGGGUAGAAGAACAGCUGCUGCAUAAACCGUGAACUCCAGGUGGAGAAAUAACCCUUUUCAUGAGUAUACUAAGCACUAAUAUGGGUUACAACUAGUUGAUAACUGACACCGUGUAGACCAUGAUGUGAGUAUACUAAGCACUCAUAUGAGUAUUACCAAGGACUUCCAUGACAUUAUUACCUCAAAGACAUACUGGAAAAUUAAAACUGCACUGUUUAUGCCUCUGAUCACAUAAAAGCAGCUACCUCCCUUAACAAAUUCACAUCACUGUCAGUUUUGUGAUAUUGAUGCAUAAAUAGCUCUAAGAUCAAGUUAAUAAAUCUAUUUAGAAUGUAGUGUGUGCAGCAAGAAACUUGAUUGAGAAACCAUGCUCUAUCUAGGCAUAAUACUCCUGAUUGAGAAAUUUGCACGGUUUCCAAAUUCCUCGUCCUGCACACGAGUAGCUACAAAUCCACCUGAAAGCUAGAUAGCGCGACUUGCAGCAACCAAAACUAGGGAGCAGAUGCCGUGUGUCUAGUAAGAAGAGGAGGAGCACGGAGACGAGGCCGUACCUUGGAGGCGCUCGCGGGGCUUCUCAAGGGCCUCGCGGAGGAACUGGUCGACCUACGUGACCGGAUCGUCCCCGCGCGCGGGGUCCUGCUCCUGCGGUCGUCAGCGAGGUCGGGCGAGGAGGAGACCCGGCGCGCAGCGGGGAGGGCCGAGGGGGAGGUGGUGGAGGAGGAGAGGAGCAGGCGGCUCAUGGCCCCAUCGAGGCCGGCCGUCUCCCACGAGUCCGGCGCCGCGGCAGCAGCAGCCGUCGCGUCCUCCUCCAUGCCUGCUGUGCGCGGACCGAUCUGCUCGCGGCUGGCGAACUAGAAGCCGGUGAGGCGGCCGGCGGGGGAAGCGGCCAUCGGGGGUCGGGGCUCGACGGCGAGAUCUGGGGAGGCGCGCGGCGGGGGGCGAGCAAGCGAGCUGGCUAGGGUUUGGUCCUCUGGUCUGGAUUUGCGGGGUGAGGUGGGGAAGAGGAGAGGGUGAGGGAGGGAGGGCACCGCCGCCGGCGACGGGAAGCAAGAGAGAGGGAGGCGGCGUCUAUUUGGAUCGGGGAGAGAGAGAGGGAGGGAGGCGGCGUCGAUCUGGAUCGGAGAGAGAGAGAGGAUCUGAAUCGGGGGCGGGAGGUAGGUGGCGGCUACGAGUGGAUCUGAAUCGGGGGAAAGAGGGCAGAGGAGUGGAGUUACGGUUUGGGUUGGCCCGAUGAGGAGUGGAGUGAGAGACGUUGGAUUCGCCUGGUAUGGACGGUUCAGAUCACAUAGAGUGGGGUGAUCCGUGAGAAGUUUUCUGAUUGGUCCGAGAAAUCUGUGAUUUAAAAUAAUUUCCAAGUACUAAAGAUAGAGCUAUUUUGUGAAGCAACUAUCAAAAAUAUUUUGCAAAAGGGCAUUAUACAAAUUUUCUCUCAAGCUGGACCACAUUUUAUGGAUGAGCACCAAUUUGUAUGCAUUUCUGAUCUUUCUAGCUAUUUUUAAUCAUUUUUUGAGUGUCCCAACUGAGGACCUAUAAUAUAUUUGUUGCAAAAUUGGACCAAAUCAUUUUUCUAAAAUACUAGGCCAUAUUUAAUUCAGAAUUGACCAAAUUAUUGGGUGUAAAAAGUUUUGAUCCACCUCUGGUGAAAAAGACAAAUUUUCGCCGAUUCAGCUGGAAGCGGGUCAAAUUUGAACUGCGGAUGCCUCAUAGUUUGCUAUUUAUUUUUUACAAAAAUCAAUUAUAGGUACAAAAGUAUCUAUUUAAUCAGAGAAACACCAAAAAAAUUCCAAGAUUUAACCACUAGCUAGGAACGGUCAUUCCCGCCAUUUUGACCGCAUUUUGAAACGGGCAUAAAAAAUUCAAAAAAAAAUCAAAAAAUUGGGAAACCUUCGCUUUGUGUCAUUAUAUGUGGCCAAGUUCCCAGGAAAAAUAACAAACUUGUAAUACGACAAUUAUUUUAAAAAAGUGUUCUCAGAAAUGAGCUAUCAUAUCUGAAGAUUCAUGGCUUUCAAGCCAAAUGAUCAAUCCUAUGGCCACAUUCAUGGCAUAGUUUGUUCAAAUGAUCUCAUAUGUGCACAAGGAUGCAUAUUGCAAUGGCAAACAAUGUUGCCUAAGGGAGUUUUCAUUUUCUUUGGACGAAAAAACCAUUUUCCAUUUUUUGAGUGCCCAACAGGAGGUUUUUUUGUGAAGGACCUCCCAAAUAAUUGUUGCCAAAUUGGACCAAAACAUUUUUAUAAAAUACUAGGCCAUAUUUAAUGCACAAUAGACAAAAUGGUUGGGUGAAAAAAGUUUUGAUCCACCUCUGAUGAAAAAGACAAAUUGUCGUCGAUUCAGCUGGAAACAGGUCAAAUUUGAACUGUAGCUGCCUCAUAGUUUGCUCUUUAUUUUUUCCACAAAUCAUUUCUAGGUACAUAAGUAUCUAUUUAAUCAUAGAAACACCAAAAAAAUUCCAAGAUUCAACCACUAGCUAGGAACGGUCAAGCCCGCCGUUUUGACCGCAUUUUCAAACGGGCAUAAAAAAUUCAAAAAAAAUCAAAAAAUUGGAAAACCUUUGCAUUGUGUCAUUAUAUGUGACCAAGUUUCCAGGAAAAAUAAUAAACAUGUAAUACGGUAAUUAUUUUAAAAAAGUGUUCUCAGAAAUGAGCUAUCAAGUGUGAAGAUUCAUGGCUUUCAAGCCAAAUGAUCAAUCUUAUGGCCACAUUCAUGGCAUAGUUUGUUCAAAUGAUCUCAUAUUGUGCACAAGGGUGCAUAUUGGAAUAGCAAACAAUGUUGCCUAAGGAAGUUUUCAUUUUCGUUGGACGAAAAAACCAUUUUCCAUUUUUCAAGUGCCCCAAAGGAGGUUUUUUUGUGAAGGAACUACCAAAUAAUUGUUGCAAAAUUGGACCAAAUCAUUUUUAUAAAAUACUAGGCCAUAUUUAAUGCACAAUUGACAAAAUGGUCUGGUGUAAAAUUUUUUGAUCCACCUCUCAUGAAAAAGGCAAAUUUCUGCCGAUUCAGUUGGAAGCGAGUCAAAUUUGAACUGCAGCUGCCUCAUAGUUUGCUAUUUAUUUUUCCAAAAAUCAUUUCUAGUUACAUAAGGACCUAUUUAAUCAUAAAUACAUGGUUUGGUGGCAAUACGUCGAGGUUUGGGCGGUGGCCGAGGGCCCCAACUCUAGAGCGCGUAAACUCGCAUGCCCGCCGCGUGGUCACCGCGUGACCGUGGCGUUGCCAUGUGUUCUGGGCGGCCUAGGCAUGUCUAGUGGGUUGGGCACUCCCCAGGUUGGUGCUAGGAAGAAAAUUACAACAUAAGAUUCUCAUGAGGAGACCAAUCGAUGCUUAAACAUGAAUUAGCAGCCAAGUGUUUGAUUAGCGGUACGGGAAAUGUACAUGGCUAAUGGGUGUGAGUUUUGGCUAAGGAUGAUCAGUUACUAAGAAGACCGUUUUCACAAAUUUUCAGCUCAAAAGGAGGAGCCUAGGUGGUACUUGCUUUGCAAACCACCACACUGGACAUAAAUACGAAUGUUGAAGCUCGGCUCAACAUAAUGAAUGGAUUGAGCUGGCAUUUGGUGGAGGAUGGUUAUUUGGGCAUAGGAAAGCAUUGUAGAAAAUGGAUACUAUUUGGACAUGCCAAAGUGGUACUUCCUUCACAAACUGUUACUCUGAACAGAAUAGGAAAAUGAAUAUUUUUGAAUUAUUUUUGAACUAGGCAAGGAAGGUUUUUACAUAUUUGACGAAGGUAUGACCCAAAGAAUUUAUGAGAUUUUUUUGGGAAUUUUGGGAAUGACAGAAAUAUAGGUUGCUUCACAACCCAGGGCAAAAACUGCCACAUGGACAUGACACAUAGGCAAAACUGAUGAGGUGGCGCCUAGUCAUAGCAACCGACCACAAUUUACAAGGCUAUGACCAUCUAUAUUGGUCGUUAACAACUAGAAAUAAGGCAGCGGACUAGCACUGUUAGCUUUAUGACCAUUUCAUGUAAGGAAAUUAUGACCUUUCUGACCAAAAUGGUCGCAAUGGUUUAGGGUUUGGAGCCCCUCGAACAGCUUUUGACCAAUUGGUCUCAAAUGGUCAUAAAUCUAUGACCAAUUCUUCCAGGGUCACUGACAGAAGGUCAUAAGUUGACAUAUUUCUUGUAGUGGUAAGCUCCUUCUCCCGAUGGAUAUUUUUUGCGCAUCUCCAAUGGCGCCUUGGCCCUAUUUUCUUCUUCGUCUAUUGGGGAGUAACUUAGGAUCUCGGGAAAUUAUAAAAAACAAUAAUGAAGAUAUUAGUGCCUGUAGGCAUGUCAUUGCCCAUGAUUUCACAGUCCUCUCUAGUCUCUCUUGCGACAAGCAGGAGAGUAGGAGGAUGCAACCUAAACACCUCCUUGAUGACCGUAAGCAUGUAGUAAAGCUCACUGAGAUCGGUACUCUUCAUGAUAUACCAAUCUUGGCCUGGCUCUUCCCGGACCUAUAGAUGUGCCUUAGCCAUAGCGUCAGUGUUAUUUUGGAAACAACGACAUAGAAUCAGGGUCGGUCCUGAGAUUUUGAGGGCCCGGGGCGAAACUAAAACUCGGGGCCCCUUAUAGUAUAACUAUCGUAACAAUAAUAAUCAAUAUCUUUACGGUAUCUGCCAUCCUCCAUUUCUCACUAUCCUAAAUGUGAGAUAGAUUAUGGUAAUGCAAAAAAGAUCGGCUCCGCAAUUUGCAGGAAUAUCCCUUAUUCUCUCCAAGGCAGCUACAACCCUUCCCCAUAUCAUACCAACAAAUAAAGGGAAUAUACACUGGGUGAAACCUAACAUAUUNNNNNNNNNNNNNNNNNNNNNNNNNNNNNNNNNNNNNNNNNNNNNNNNNNNNNNNNNNNNNNNNNNNNNNNNNNNNNNNNNNNNNNNNNNNNNNNNNNNNNNNNNNNNNNNNNNNNNNNNNNNNNNNNNNNNNNNNNNNNNNNNNNNNNNNNNNNNNNNNNNNNNNNNNNNNNNNNNNNNNNNNNNNNNNNNNNNNNNNNNNNNNNNNNNNNNNNNNNNNNNNNNNNNNNNNNNNNNNNNNNNNNNNNNNNNNNNNNNNNNNNNNNNNNNNNNNNNNNNNNNNNNNNNNNNNNNNNNNNNNNNNNNNNNNNNNNNNNNNNNNNNNNNNNNNNNNNNNNNNNNNNNNNNNNNNNNNNNNNNNNNNNNNNNNNNNNNNNNNNNNNNNNNNNNNNNNNNNNNNNNNNNNNNNNNNNNNNNNNNNNNNNNNNNNNNNNNNNNNNNNNNNNNNUUUUGUUCCAUCCAAAACCAAUUCAUAUGAAAUAAUUUAUACCCACAAAUACACGUAAUGGUGAAAAUAAAAAUACAUCAUACGUUGAGCAGUGCUCAAUCUAGGCAUCAUGUAUGCAAAGAUAAAUUACAUAAUUAGCUGAUAGGGAAUACUAGUAAUUAAAACCUGGGAUCUGUUGGAGGAUGCGGUCUGGAUUGGAUGUAUGUCUACGCUUGGCGACGACGGACGACAUCUCCAGUGGAGAUUGGGGAGCGGAGGUCGCCGAUAAAACGGCGACUCGCGAUUAGGAUCGCGAUCCUCUUGGAGAAGCGAACUCGCGAUUAGAUCUGACCAUCUCGGAAGGGAAUAAUUAGGCAUCCAAACAGGCAUGCGGUCAAAGCUACAACUACGAGCUACACAUCGGAUGAGGAGUCGAGGAACGAGCCGCUGUGUGCCUUAGGCUAGACACAGCCUGCGUCUCCAUGUUCAGCCCAUGCCCUAGUGCGUAGUGGGCUUAGCCUAGCUGGCUAAUGUAUACGUACCCUGGGUGGGGGCCCCUGCAUCCUGGGGGCCCGGGGCGGCCGCCCCCUCUGCCCCCCCUCAGGGCCGGCCCUGCAUAGAAUGUAGAAGGGAAUGGCUAGUGGUAAGUCGACUAAAUUUUCAGUUAUGUUCUUUUGAUUUCGUUUCAGCCAUGGGAUGGAAAACAGGCGGUGCAGAUUACUUCUUCAUCCUCCAGACAACUUUCUUCUUCUCCAUCCAACAGCCAGAUGGACCACCGGCCCAACCGUCGACCACCACCACCCGCGGCCAGCGGCGCUCCCGCUCAGCCUCACCGCCCCGCCCACCCCUCAUCCUCCUCCCACCGACAUGCUGCUGCCCCUCGCCAUCCCUCCAGCCCUGGCAAUGACCAUUUUUUUCUCUGGCGAACUUGCACCACCGCCGUGCUGCCACCCCUACCUCCCCCCUUCAUCAACGAUAGAUGAUGGGGUAGCCUCCUAGGGAGCUCCUUCCUUCACUCCGGCGAGUCAGAAGCUGCUUCUUCCUUCCCUCUGGCACCUGCUUCCUUCUAGCGAAAAUCGAACAAACCAAAUUGGAUUUUCAGGCGACUGAUGUUUAGCUAUUAUGAAUGUGAAAAGACAAAUAAAGAGUGGCUUGACAAGCAAGAAUAACCAUUCAAAAAAGUACACAUCCGAUCGAUCUCACAUAUUAUAAUAUCUAUAGGAGUAGCGUUGCAUCCAUCUGUAUUAACUAACCUGCAUCUACCCGUUAUAAUGACCUGACAAACCAGCAAAGGUAUAGCUAAGACAGUCUGGCCAUUCUGCACCAUGUUGAGAAUGAUGUAUAGGCCAAUUUAUAGCCCACACUUUAGAGCCUUACUUAAUUCUUCGGUGUCCCACAUCCUUCACGCAUGUUCAUACACUUGCGUCAUGGAUAAUGGAUAUGCAUGUGAUGUGUCCUAUCCCUUCCCUGCCACAAGCGUGACAUUAACCUAGUAAACAAAAUAGAAUUUAUUAAGACGAUCACUUUGGUUUAUUUGUUGCUAUUUUUAUCCUUGUAGAAUUCAGGAUGUUUAUUUUGAGAAACAAAGCUCAUUUGUAUACUUUGUUAUAACACAAUUAUUAUUUUCUUCUUCCUCUUCUAUCACGAAUUCACCUACCUCCAUUGUUGACAUGGUCAGAUUUUAGGGCGACAUGCUGACAGCUAUGCCUUCUUUCGCAUUGACAUGACCGUCAACUCGACAAGCAGAGAUUGUUGACAUGGUUUCAUCUGCCAUCGGUGUUGUACACAACAAAACUUGAACAAGUGUAUUGGAGCUAGUUUCAUCUGCCACACAUCAUGUAUCCUACUGCAUAAGGUUUUGCAUGGAUAUAAACAGGGAGCAUCGCACAUUAUGGGGUAGCUAAGCUACAAACAUUAAUAUAUGCUUUUGUAUCCAGAUUUAUUAAUUUAAAAUAUCUUACUAUUUAUGUAAAUAACAUGUACAUUAUUGGUCUUGGAUUAUUUCUAAAGGUAGGAGCAUGAGUUAAUUGGUGGAUUUACAAAUGUUAAAGGGAAUUAUAAAUAUGCAUAACAUUCAUCAUGCAUAUAUUACUUUUCCCUAUUGACAAAGUGUUUUUAAUGGUUAACAAUCUUAAUGAUCUUUAUAAUAAUGUUCAAAAAAGAAAUACCUAGCCUGCUCAAGUGCAUGAGUUGAGGAAUUGCCGACUUAACCACAACUAUUACGGCAUUAACGGAUAACAUAAUCAUGUAUUCCAUUUGUUCUUUAUGCCGGGAACCGCCCAUCACCCAAACUAGUAAAGCCUCUAUCUCACCUCCGCCUACGACGUAGCGGCUUUGUUGCCUGCUCCGACUUAUUCCUGGCAAGCCCUCGCCGGGGACGCUCCGUCUCGGUUCGACAAUCUGCGUACGGGGGAGGACUCGACUGACGCUCAAAAAACAUUCAUAGGGUUCCUUAUUAGCAAACACGGUACAACCAAGAGACUUUGAUCAGCCCAGCUAAUUAACUAGUUUUGAUCUCUGUCCUUUCAAGCUCUAGGUGAGCACGCAAUGGCCGCUUCAUGACAGUGAAGAACUCAACAUGAGGUCGGAGAUCAACGGCACGUUCACCUUCUCCCUCCCUCCACCGGAACUCCCUCACAAGGUUGGCGGUGAAGUAGCUUAAGUGCAGCAUUGCGACACCCCUACCAGGGCACAUCCUCCGACCACCGCCGAAAGGCAUCAUUUUGAUCGUGCCGUCGGUUCCUUGGGAUGCAUCCUUGUAGGACAGGAACCGUUGUGGCUUGAACUUGUCAGGGUUAUCCCACGCUGUCAUGUCUCGUGCUAUAGCAGCCAGUGGGAAGUACACUUUUGUGCCCACUAGAAUAGGCUGGCCAUUGUGAACCACAUGAUCCUCUUCCAUCACCUGCCUGAACGCAAAAGACGUCGGCGGAUGCAGCCGGAGUGCCUCCAUGAUCACAGCAUGCAGGUACUCCAGCUUUCCAAGAACAACCUCGCUGACUUCCUCGGCGUCCGCACCCACGAUGGCAUUGAUCUCCUUCCGGACGGUCUCCUGUAUGUCGGGACGCUUCACCAAGUUGGCCAUGAUCCACUGCAGCGCUGAUGCUGUUGUUUCAGUUCCAGCACCAAGGAACUCGGAGCACAUGCCGACGAGUUCACCAUCGGACUGCCUUCUCCGAUGCCGCCUUGGGUCCUGACUGUGGUCGUCCGGCACCGUGAGAUCGAUGAGUGUGUCCACAUACACCGGCGUCUCGCUGGGUCGCCGGUGCCGGCCGCGACGGGAGUUGAUGAGUGGUAGGUACGUCUCCUCCUGCUGCUGUCGCAAGGCGGCUAGCUUCUUCCACCGAUUACGAUAAAUGAGCCUGGUCAGUGCGGGGAGCUUCGCGUGCGCGAACACGCGCGCCGUAGAUAGGGACUUGACGAGGUCACUCUGAGCGUCGGCCAUGGCACGGACGCGGUUAUUGUUGAUGUUGUCGCCGAAACACAUGUUGGCCACCAGGCCAAACAUAGCGUAGCGGAUGCUCUCCGCCGCGUGAACCACGCCGUUUUUCCUCUGCUCGGCGAGGUCCACGACAAGACCAUGUAGUGCACGGCGGCGCGCUGACGCGUGCCGGUGGAGCUGCGUUGGGUGGAGGACCUCCGAUGUGAGGUUGUGACGAAUGGCGCGCCAGUGCUCACCGUAGGGAGCGGAGGUGAUGUUCUGGUAUUGACGGUGCGAGAGGAUGGCGCUGGGAGAAAUGGACGGUGGGCGGUUGGAGAAGGAGCCGCCGGCGCUGCCGCGCACGAGAAGGCUGUGCGCCGUCUCAUGGUCGGUGACAAAGAUACUAGCGGGCUGCGGCUUCCACACCGUGGAGAGCUCCGGCGCUAGAACCAACUUGGCCGUCGUGAGGAGGGCUUUGAUGGGGGAGGCAUGGAGGAGGAUGAAGAAAAGGAGAAGCAAGGGAAGCAGGAUGAGGAGGAGCAGGUCUGCCAUGUCUUGAUAGACUGAGCCGCGUCUGCCAUAUUUAGGCACGCAUGGCACGGGGUAGUUGAGCUCCAUCGAUUCCAUUAUAAUGCGAUUUUUGGCAGAUACAGGGGGAUGGGAUGGUAUUUAUUACACCUUUAUUGGUCAUGCAUGGAAGGUUGUGAAAUUAAGUAUCGCCAACUUUGGCCGUAGGCCGAAAAAAUGAUAAUUUCAACUUUCGAGUAGGGUUUAUUAGUCCCUUUCAUAUUUUGAGUCAAAAUUUAAUUACAUAUUUGACUAGCAAAUUGUCAAUGCAUGUCACAAGAAAUUAUAUUGUUGGAUUCAUAUUUGAAUGUACUUUUUAAUGAUACCAUUUCUGCUAUGUAUAACUUAUAUUUUAUUAGUUAUUAAAAUCAUGAUAAAAAAUUGAUCCAAAAUACAAGGAUGACUUAUAAACCAGGACAGAGAUAGUACCAAGAAUUCCGUACAUGGACACAGCGUGAAAUAUUGUGAUUGAUCGCUUGCAAGCUGAUCGACAAGUAGCUGAACGCCCUGAUGGUCGUCAUUUAUUACUUGGUCCCGGCUAGAUAGCCACAUGUUGCCAUUCAUGAGGCUGUUAUGGUACUUCUUCCGGUGCUUUUUACUUUCGCAUAUUGGAUUUGUGUGAAGUCAAAUUUUGAUCAAAACUUCACAAUUAUUCCAUCAUCGAAAUUGCCUAGUUGGCAUGGUACUAGCUAUGAUAAUCCCACUAUGACCAGCCCUAAGCGCGGACGGUGCAUUAACUCUCACCUUGUUCCUUAUUACUUGACAUGAAUCAAAGAAUCAACUAAUAAGAAACGUGGGGUUUGUAUGCUUUCAAUGACUUGAAACUACCUAGCAGGGCAUGCAAUAGUCAGUUCAUUGCAUGUAAUGUUAUUAAUUAGCAAAUAAACAUUAAAUACUCUCAUUUUCCCCUCCACCUUUGUCACGGUGCACAACCUAAUACCUCUUUCAAUGCAUAUGUGCUUAGAUGAGGUGCUAAGUGCAUUGAAUAAUUAUCAACUCUCGGCGUCGGCCAUGGCACAGACGUGGCGAUUGACGAUGCCGUCGCCGAAACACAUGUUGGCCACCAGGCCAAACAUAGCGUAGCGGAUGCUCUCCUCCGCGUGGACCACGCCGUUUUUCCUCUGCUCGGCGAGGUCCACGAGGAGACCAUGAAGUGCACAGCAGCGCGCCGACGCGUGCCGGUGGAGCCGCGCUGGGUCGAGGACCUCCGAUAUGAGAUUGCUUAGACGGUGGCUUUGGUCUUACUGUUGUACGACUUUGUAAGAUUUUGUGUUAGUAAUUAAUAAUAUGACCGUAUGCAUCGUCCAGAUGCAGAGGCCGGUGUAUUCCUCUUUUUUUCUAAAAAAAAGGCAGCCGGAAAAGAUGGUAGCUCACAAACUUUGACCGUGCAACUUGCUAGUAACCAGAUUAGUUUUAUAGAUAUAGCCUGUUCCACUAAUGAAAGUGCUUCGUUCUAUUAGAUCUCACACAUGUCCUGAUACGGAGUACAAUAUUACAGGAACCUCAAAUACACAUGUCCCCACAACCCCACCUUCCUAUGAGGGUAUAACGCGUGAGUCCGAACCGAACAGGGUGCACCUUAUCUACUAGAUAGGAAGUGCGGCUUGCCGCACCCCCCAGCCCAAACUCAUCCAGCCCCCUAUACAUGAUCAUGACCUAUCCUUAAAAUUUCUCAAAAGAACCAAAUGUACGGAGAAUGCAAUGCGCGGCUAUGCAAUGGAUGAUUCAACUGAAGUUGCCAUGUUCCAUCCAAUUAGUUCAGCAUGCCAAAUCCAGAACUAUGCUUAAUCACUCAAUGAAUUAUCACAUUUAUCUAUGUUUUAAGCAUGCAUUUUUAUACAUCUAAGCUCAAAACCAAACCCAAACUUCAUACCAUAUAAUCAAGCCAUAGUCAUCACCCACGACAAUAAUUUUACAAUGGAUAGAAGUCUAAUAUACCGAAAGCAGAGCAGUAUAAGAAACUUAUAUGGUUCGGCUAUGGGAUAACAUCAGACUACAUAUAUAUUAGAGAUAGUUUGCUCUGACUUUCUUGUCGCCUGACUCCUCUGUGCGUUGUAAAAACCUGUUGAUGGACAUAUCCAUUGAGCGUGCCAUAAGGACAUCAUCACAGCAAGAAGAUGGUUCUUUUACUUACCCUUGUGAACAACAAGAUUUAGUCAUCCAGCAAAUGAGUAACACCUGUUACUACUACCUGUGUAAGUGAAUAUGUUGAAUACUCGUGUAAGUAAACCACAGAAGUCAGAAGUUGAUAAUGCACAAAAACAUGAUUAUAAUACCAGCACAAAUAGUUUGGUGAUGUCAACGCAGCAAUACAAAAAUUUCAUGUAGUUCUGAUAGGCCAUGUAGUUCUUGAUAGGCAGAAGCUACCAUAGUUCUUGGCAUGUAAGUUUAUAAAUCGAGGGACAUACGCAAACAUGGCUUCAUCUCUUAAUCCUGAAAUACAGAGAACUUUUAUGGUCUGGUUAUAAAACACCAUUUAUCAUGAAGAACAUGCCUAGCUUUAAUUUGAGAUCUGAUGUGCAAAUAGAUUAGCAGCAUUAGUAUGUGAAUUAUAUACCUUUUGAAAUUUCAAACAGGCAAGAAUAUAGAUCUUGACAGUGAUGCAUGCAAUACAUGAACUAAAUUAGUUCUAGAAUAAGAUUAGCCUUAAUAAGGAGACUUCUAGUUCCAUUGAAGGUGCUAAGACCUUCGAUUAAGAAAUAUUAGUCCUAGUAUACUGGAAAGGCUUUUUUUUAAUGUAUUUCAUUGAAAGAAUGACUAAGAAGGCUAGCUUGAGAUGCAAACUUUGAAGAAUUAUACUAUAUAACAUAAAUACAAAACACGAUAUGAACCAUUAAUUUCUGCUAUGUGAUGGGAAGCACCAAUUUUGAAGAUAUGGGAAUGUUCGAUUGAAAAUCAUAUACUGUUGUUAUAAUGUAAUGAGCUAAAACAUAUGCAAUUACAGGUAUUAAUUAUAUAUACACAUCUAAAACUAUGACAAGAGCAGCAAAAUGAACAGCUCCCGAAAACAAAUAACAAAAAGGUUGAUUCAAGACCUUGUUGGCAGCUUCGCCUCGAGACCAUGAAGCAUAAGCAACUAAUCGUAGAAGUAGACUCAAAAUCGGUUCCUAGGCUCAAAAUGCAGGGCUGGCAACUACUCACUUAGGCCCGAAGUAGUUGUCUAUGUUGUUGGGUCAUGGACAGUAAGGCGGUUUAUUGUGAGUCUUCUGCUUACCCAUAGUUGAAGCAAACUGCAAGAUCAAAGUGAACAUGUGUGAGAACCCAUGUAUGAUAGGGUUGUGAAAGGAAACAUGCGUAAAAUGUGGCUGAAGCAAACUACAAGAUCAAAGUGAACAUGUGUGAGAUAUAAUUUAUAGUCUAGAGGUAAGUUGGACAAAUCAUAUGUCAUGAUUCAUUUUAACUCAGCUGAAUCUCCAAGAAAAUAUGCACCAAGUAAACUAAAUGGAACUCAAGUUUUAUAUUUUGACCAACUGAUCUGCACUGAUCAUAAUAUCUUGUUAAUUCAUUUAUCCAAAUUAAUGGAAUUGUCUUUAAAUUAAAAUAUCAAUGACAAGGUUACAUAAUCACUAAAUUUAUACACAUCAGAAAAACAAAAUACCACAGAUGGUAGAGCAUUAUUUAAGUUCAUAGUUGAUCAUCAAAUAUCAUGGACAUUACUUAAUAUUUCCUUGUGUUUAUUUUAGUAAGAAUAUACGUAAUAAAAGAUAUUUUGCCUCGGCUAGUAAGCAAUAAGUUUCUCAGCAGUAGAGAAGUUUCAACCAAUGUGAAGGUAGAAAAUAGAGCAAAGGCAAUCAGUACAUGCAAAACAUAUAAAACUCUUUACCUUCAGAAAUUGCCUCAUUGGUUGUAUCCUUAAAGAAGUGGAAAAAAAUAAAUCUUUGGUGCAAUCAAAUGACCAAAUAGAAAAGGCCUACACAAGAGAACAUUGUAUUAGAAAUAAAUAUGAUCCAUAUGGUACCAACAAUCUGUAAGCACUAAGAAUAAAUGCUAAAGAACAUUCAGUCAGAACACAUCGUUUAUUCAUGCGCAUCACAUGACAAUAACAGGACAAAGGAAGCAUUCACCCUAAAUAAAUAAAUCAGAAAGCAACAUUUAGUCGUGUAAUACUGCAAUAAGCAUCACUAAAAAUAAAUCAAAUCAGAAAGUAGCUUCAGUUAUGUAAUACUGUAGUAAGCAUCACUGAAAACCGAUAAAUAGGAAAUACAUAAAUACAUACAUGCAUAUGAACCUAUUAAAACCAAGUUGAUGCUAGCAUGGCUAUCCGUUAACUUUACAUCAUUUAAGAAAACAUAUGAAUAUUACCAGUUCAAGAGAACAACAGCUUUAUCACCAAUGCACAGUGUAAUGCAUGUAUCAUACCAAUGACGAUAGCCAAUGACUAAAGAAGAACUCCCCAGGAAAUGUUAUAUGCAUUACUCUUAGUAGCUGCCCAUGGGAAAUAGCUAAGCUUGUGUAAAACAGGAAGAUUUCAUAUAUAAAGCUGGAGCAUUUGAUCACAUAAAACAGGGUUGAUUGUACUUUUUUUCAAAAUGGAGAGAGAGAGAGAGAUCCUUUAUUACAAUUGUUCAUCCCUUUAAUGGAUCGUUUGAGCAAAUGUAUUUGAUAAGAUAAUAUAAAAUAUUAACAAACAUACUAACAUUCUAUCAUCUUAUGAGCAUCUCCUCAAACAUCCUAUGGGCUGCUAAAAGGAUCACAUGUACAAAGUAACAGAGGGACACACCAGGCAAUGGCCUUUGUCACACACACAGACAGAGAGAGGAGGGAGAGGGACACACCAGGCAAUGGCCUUUGUCGCCCACUUCUGGUGCCGCGAGCUAGUCAAAGGCUUGUUGCUGCUGCUGCGGAGCCCGUCAUCGGGCGCACUACAGAAUCGGAGGCAGACAGCCUCAGCUCGUGCUCCUCCUGCUAGAGGAGAAGGGGUGGGGAGAUGUGGACAGGAGGGCGGGUCGCGACAAUGGAGAUGGCGUGCUCUACCUGGAUCUUCUCCUCUGCUCCGGCCAUUGACGCACCCUCUGCAGGGUCGGAGCAGGGGAGCAAGAAGGAUGUGUCAGUGCAUAGAUACCUGAAAAACACUUACAUUGUCAGUUCACAACUAUCCCAUACGCGAAAAACUUCAAGUAAAACAACCACCAACAAACAAUAUAAGUAAACUAACUGCAAGACACUUUCGAUCGAGGACACAAAAAUGUUCAGGCACACCUACAUCCAACAUGAGCUUUCUGACUGCUCAUGAAACAAAUAGUAUACAACCCGUUUGUCCAAUUUCUUAUUCAUAAUUUGGAUGCCACUCUAGAGUAAGAAAGUUCUACACAGUAAUGAUCGUGGCAACGAAGGCCCCCGUAAAUAAUUUCAGAUUUGAGACCCGUGGAGUUAACACUCCCAACAUUCCAACACAUAAGUUCUUGUAGGAGGGUCAAAGGAAGAGAACAGUCAUCAAUCUGACCCUUUUAGAUGUCUUAAGACUCUUCCCAUCAUGGCCAAGAGUAAGGAAGGUGUGCAUAAAUAACAUAUGCAGCAGCAUAUAAGGUCAGGUUAGUGUAAGCUAACUUCUCUACUUGGAGUUUUGCAUUUUGACUCGCUUCCACCAGUGCCUUGACUGUAGAGUCUGCAUCACAUAUAGUUGCCUCCGCAUCUUGAAACUUGGAUAUAAGAGUAAAAGCUCAAAUGAUUUCUGCUGUGCAAGAAUUUUGGUCUCUGAGAACUCAGAUUCAAGUGCCUGAAAGAAUGAUCAUAGUUGAAACAAGGGAUGAAGAUUGACAAACUCAAGAAAGUAAAUGUAACAUCCAUAUGCAAAUACAAACUCAGCCGCUUCUACACAAAAAAUUAAUAACAAAAUCCAUCAUGCCUUUGCAGGGUAGAAGUAUAGUGGUGCAUGGACUCAAGCAGAUGCACCUUCACACAAUCCACAUUUAACCACUGGGUACAAGAUUUUUCUAUCUAUCGAUGAAUUGAGAUGCAAAACUUCUGCAAGUUCUCAAAAAGAAUCCACCUGACUAUUACUUUUUGCAAAUUAAUAGCACACCCCUGCAUGUACAUUUUGUGUAAGAGCCUUGUUACUGGAAACAUAAACAAGUCUACUGUAUUAUUUAUAUCCUGCCGAGGUAGAAACAAGUCGACAACCGAUGCUCAUUUUAUUGUACAAACCCAAUUGAAGCAUAGUCUGCUUUUCUGAAAACCAACAAAAGAUACAGACAAAGGUUUUCCAUGGAUGCCUAAUGGCCUUUAACUAUGUUGGGCAUUUAAAAGUGUUACCUCUAUUUCUUUAUGCCAUGAAACAAGUGAUGUUGCAGCAUCAUUGCCCUUUCCCUGCAUCUUUAUUUCCAUUUCUUCCACUCUACCUUCAUAGGUAGGUUUGUUGAUCAAUCAUCUGCGACUUCAAUGGAAAUCAUGCAGCAAGACUCAUCAAGAAAUAAUCAUCAGUAUAUUCUCGCAAUAUCAAGUCUACAACAAGUAAUAAAGAAAAAAACUUGAACAAACAGAGGAUGCAAGAGGGAGGAGGGAGAGGGUGAGGUAAGAGAAAGGGAGGGAGGAAGGAGGGAGGAGUGGUCGCUACCUGCCUCUCCACGGGUCGCCGGCGUAGCUUCGGGCGGCGGAGUUUCUACGCGAGAGCGGCUGCUCCAGGGAGGGAUGCGCUGCUGGGCGGGAGCGGCUCCUCCACGGAGGGAGGAGCUGCUGGGCAUCUGUACCGGAGGCGGGGCAGCGGAGGCAUCGGCCGGAAAGGCGCGCCACGGUGGCGGGCUGGCGGUGGUUGUAGGCACACCGUGACCCCAUCCAGAUCGAGGGGGGAGAGGCCUCCCCCCUCGCUCGCGGCCCCGUCCCAGUCAGCUGCGCGUCGUGGCCCCAGAAGACGCGAAGGUGGAGUAAACUGGGGGAGAGGCGCGGGAUCUCGGGCUCGAUGUGCGUGAUCUCGACGUCAGCGCCGUCCUCCUCGCGCUCCGGGGGCGGGCGGUGGUUCUCCUUCUCGCCCCUACGCACGGGCGUGCAGUGUAGUGGCGGCCGGCUGGGCGGAGGAGAUGACGGCGGCGUGGGACUGGACCUGGACGGCGGAGGAGCAGGGAGGCGCAGGCGGAUCUAGGGUUUGGAGGGAGGGAGAGAGGCGAGGCGGGAGGAAGAGGAGAGGGUGCGGCGCGAGUGGGGGAGGAGUGACAACCCCACGCUCACCCUGUCGAAUUGGAUAUUUUUCCAGCUAUGUGAAAUGACGGAAAUGCCCUCGGUGGGUCACAGAAAUAACAAGCGGUGGCACACUGGAAUAUGCACUAUUCAUUGUAGCAGUGUCGAGUUUUGAUCUGAUGGCACGGAUCAUCUGGGAGCGAGAUCGGACGGCCAAAAACGCAUCCAAAAAAUGAUCCGACGGCCGACAGUGGCUAAGCUCUGAGAACGCUCAUGUUCUCCCUAGAUACCUAUUCCUGGAUAUACCUUAGAGAGUGAUUCCCACUAAUUUAUUUGUACAUGCAUGCAUCUCAAAUAGGAUGAGAUAAAGCCCACCUCAACAUGCAACCAUGUAUGCAAAGCACCCACCGCCACAUGCAACCAUGCAUGAGAAAAUAUUUAUAAUUCUACUUAUAUUGAUCAAAUAUUUUUCAACUAUAUAUAAAUAUAAUAAGUUGUAUUUAUUUUUUAAUUCUGAUUCACAUGUUGUUAAUCAAAAUAUUUAUAUUUUACACUAUCAAAUCACAUUGAAAUAUAUUGCCACCGAUUUUUGCAGCAAUGCGCGUGCUAUCACCUAGUAUUCAUUAACAUGGCAAGUCAAUUUCCUACAAUAACCUAUGAUUUUAGUUAUAGAUAAUAUAAUGCCUACUUACACAAACAGAGAAAGUUAAAACCCAAUCCUAUAUGCGGUCUAUAGCAGGGGAAAAGCGAGUCGAUCGCUCAUUGACAAACAAAACAUGAAUCAUUUCGCAACGCUUGCUGUUGGUUCUGUUUAGUUUCUCGGUUUUUAUAAUUUUCUAGUUUUUUGUUUUUCCUAGGUUUCAUUUUUCAAUUUCUAGUUUCCCGCUUUUUUUCUUAUUUCCUAAUUCCUUCGUCUCAUAUUAAUUGACGCUCAAAUGGAUGUAUCUAGACAUAUUUCAGUGCUAGAUACAUUCGUUUGACGGUCAAUUAAUAUGGGAUGAAGGGAAUGUUUUACCCCUUUUAAGUCUCUUUUGAAAUUCCAUUUUAUUUAUAUAUUUAGUUUUAAAUAUGUAAAUAAUUGGCCGAUAUCAUGGACAUUAACAUGUGAACACUAUCGACCUAUGGCCAAAUUUCUUUACGGAAAUGCAAUUUUUGUAUAAUAAAUGACCAUUUAUUAAGGGAUGUGGACAUCUUUUAUAAUUACACAGCCAUAUUGAAAAAAAUACGUGAACACUUUGUUAAUUAGAUGAACAUUUAAUAAAUGCAUGAACACUUUUAGUUACAAGUAUAUAUAUAUUUUUAAUAUGUGAAUCCUUUGUUGUAGAUUCAUGAUUUUUUUAAAACCCUCAAAUACUUUUGAAAAUGAAAUGAAGUUUUCUUAUAAUAUGACAAAAGUUGUUCGUAAAAACUAUUUUGACUUCCUCAAUUCAAUACCGAAUGCUAAAAAUGUAAAUAUAUAAUAUAUAUCUCUGUUUUUUUAUAUGCACAUGUUGUGGGCUCUCUUUUUGCAUGAACGUCCAGGUUUUUUUAAGCCUUGGCUCUCUUUUUGUACAAACGUCCAGGUUUUUUAGCCUCAGAUGUGUCAAGCCAGGUGGUAUCCCCCGGUUAAAAUAGUAAAAUGUGGCCAAUCCUAUUUGACGUCCGCAAAUUGAGCCAACUCGAUCUUUUCUUGUUUCCAUUGAGUUGCUGCUCCAGCUUUUUGUUUUUUGCUUUUGUGCUGAAGGUUUUUUCCUGUUUUUCCUGCGGUUUCUUUCAUUGUGAUUCUCAGCGUUUUUUGGUGGUUUCCUAUUGUGGUUUUUGUUUCAGAUAUUUCCUGCUGUUUCAUUUAGCAUCACUGCUGCAUGUUUUUCUGAGUUUUCUGUUGUCGUUUUUCGUUUCCACUCUUUUGGUUAUCUAUAUCGGUUUCUUACCUUUUUCUUUUUUUCCUUUUUCCUUUUCUUUUUAAAGUAAACGAUGAACAUUUUUAAUCAUAGUGCACAUUUUGUAUUAAGAUUAUAAACAUUAAUUUAAUACAAAGUGAACAUUUUUUAUUACAGGAUGAGAUUUUUUUUACAUGGUGAUCAAUUUUUAAUUGCACCACGAACAUUUGUUAAAAAUGGCGAAACAAUUUUUUAUACACAGUGGAUGAUUUUUAAUACAUGGCAAAUAUUUUUUAAAUACGUGAUGAACAUUAAUUGGAAACCACAACGAACAACUUGUUAUGCUUAAAUAAUUCUAGAAAAACCGUGGCAAGAAAAACCACAGAAAAAUGACCAACACAUGAAAGUAGUACCAUCUCUCAUAAAGGAUAGUGAGGCUGACACUGGGAAGCCACAUCGACCUGAACUGGGUCCCCAGCCCAUCAUCACUAAAGUGUGCGCCGCCUCUCAUAUAUGACGUUAAUGAGCGUUAUAUAGGAGGUCUCGGAAAAAGUGGUCUAUUGGCUGCUUCAAGAUAAUAAACAAGCUUCCGAAGUUCAUAAUUUUAUCAAAGUGGACACAGUACGAAGGCCCACAUGAAAGGCUUUAGGGCGAGCAUGGCCAAAAGUUUUCAUUAGUAGAUCUUCAGCUUGCAUAAUUUUUCUCAAAUGGCUAUUCUAGUAUUGACAAUAUGGAAUAACUAUAUUCUAGAAUUUUAUAGGGAUUCCACAUGGUUUUAUUUUGUGCAUGGUCCUAGAUACAUAUGAGCACAUCCUUAGUGUCAUUUUUAUUUGCAAAUCACCUUUGUAAAGUAUUUGAAGAAAAUAUGAUACUUGGUUCCACAACCGAAGGGGUUGAACUUGGUGGCUUCCUACAGGAAGACACUGGACAAAUUAAUAUGGAAACUAGAGAACAUGGAAGGUAUAUUACAUUCGUAAAAUAAGAGCGUGAAAUGUGUUUUUGAAAAUACUAAUACGUUUGUGCUAGUGGCUAUCAAGUUGUUCUUGACAAUACUCCCAAUGAUGUCGAAGGAAGCAAAUCCAUCUCGAUGGUCAAGCCACCACUGAUACCAGAAUAAUCCAACCAUUUGAGCAACAUGGAACAUGCACAUAAUGUUGACAAUUGUUUAGGAGAUUCCUGAAUGUACAACUUCCAUCAAAGAUUCCAAAGUUUCUAUGCCGACGAGCCAACUUAACAUCUUCAUAAUUGCCAAGGGAGAUGGUGUUGUCACAACUACAAGGUGGUCGGGUGUUCACAACAUGGAUAGAGACAUAUGAUUGUCUGCAUAUUUAAGUUUGGUUGAUUUCAUUUGUGCGUGGAGAAGAAAAUAGAUAUGAGGAAGGAAGGAAGGAAGUCAUUGUUGAGGUGGCAUGGUAAAGCAAGUGAUAUGAGUGAGGCAGUGAUUGACUGUUGCUAUCGGGUGCCGGCCAAAGGAGGUAGAAUGGGUGGAUGGGAUGCCAAGAAAAUAGUUUUAGUGAAUCAUCUUUAAUUUUUCCUAAUAUAUUUUUCUAGUACAAAAAUGGAAUGUGUGUCACUCCAUUAUUUUGGUCAAUGCAACAUAUUAUUACACAAAUAAUCUCGUUCAUAUACAUAUAUUUCCAUAUGCAUGAACAUCUCUAUAUAUGUCUACAUGUCCUUGAUGCAUCCACGUGGAAUAGCUAUCAGUUGUAGGUCAGAACUUCUGCCUACAGUCAUCCCGUAUUUUUCAGACAUAUCCAAUGACUCUGGACUUGCCCCACCAGGAAGCACCCAAUCAAAGUGACAGAGCAAGUUUGCUAAAGUGAUCUCUAAGGUUGACGCGCCUAAUAGCAUCCCAGGACAUUGCCUUCGUCAAGCACCAAAGGGGGUGAAUUCAAAGUGUGUCCCAUUGUAAUCUAAGUUGGUGUUCUCAAACCUCUUUGGAAAAAAGGCUUCAAGGUGUUUCCAGUACUUUGGAUCCCUAAAAACUGCAAAGACAUUAAUUAAUAUAGUGGCGCCUUUAAGCAGCUCAUAGCCCAUAAUUUUACAAUCCAUUCUGGCCAUGAGUGGGAUUAGUGCAGCUGGUAGGUGCAUCCUAAGAACCUCCUUAAUGACCAUUCGCAUGUAGUGGAGGUUUCCAAGCACUAGUAGAAAACAGGGCUAUAGUUCGUGCCUGGCCAGCCCAUUAGUCCCGGUUCAUCAAGAACCAGGACCAAUGGGGAGUAUUAGUCCCAGUUCAUGAGCCCAGGGGGCCAGCCUGGGCCUCUCGGGCAUUGGUCCUGGUUCGUCUGGACCCAUUUGUCUCGGCUCUAGGCACGAACCGGGACCAAUGGACCUUGCUCCUGGCCCACAUCCAUUGGUACCGGUUCAUGCCUUGAACCGCUAUAGAAGGGGGGGCUUUAGUUCUGGUUCAUGCCACGAACCGGGACAACUAAUUUGCCUAUAUAUACCCAUCGCCACGGCAGAGCACUCCACAGUGCUCUGUUUUUCAAUCCGGCAAGGAGAGGUCAUUUGGGUCCUCUAGUUCACCUCCUAUGCACAUGAGGUGUUCGAUAAAAUGCCCGAGCCACACUAGUUAAGCUUUCUCCUCUCGAAGCUCGACCUCGGAUCUCCAUUUUUUCCGAGAUUUGUCUAGAUUUAGCGGUCUGUCACACCCCGUCCCCGUUUUCACUGCCGUUGAUCGCCCGCGCCGAUCUCGUCGCGGGCACCACCGUGGUGAGCCUCUUGUUCUUAUCUUCUUUCUGAUACUUGUCUGAUUUUCUUACUUUAGAUAGAUAUUUCUCUGAUUUUCUUACUUUUGAAACACAUAAUUAUAUAUAAUGCUCGCAGAUGAACCGACAAUCAAUGUAUGGUGACAGACACACCUACGAGUACAUUAAGGGCAUGCAUAAUUUUCUCGAAGUGGCUGAGGCAAAUAAGCAGAAUGGUUUUAUGUGUUGUCCAUGCACUAAAUGUGGGAAUAUGAAGUCUUACUCUGACCGGAAAAUCCUUCACACCCACCUGCUUUACAAGAGUUUCAUGCCACACUAUAAUGUUUGGACGAGGCACGAAGAAAUAGGGGUUAUGAUGGAAGACGGCGAAGAAGAAGAGGACGAUGACAACUAUGUGCCCCCUGAAUACGGUGAUGCUGCAACGGGGGGAGCUGCUGAAGAUCAAGAGGAACCAGACAAUGUGCCCGAUGAUGCUGCAACGGGGGAAGCUGCUGAAGAUCAAGAGGAACUAGAUGAUAUGCCCGAUUAUGAUCUCCACCUGGUCAUUGUCGAUGAAAGGAUGCAAUGCGAAAGUCAAAAGGAGAAGCUGAAGUUCGAUCGCAUGUUAGAGGAUCACAAAAAAAUUGCGAAGAUGGCAACACAAAGCUGGGUACCAUACUGGAAUUGCUGCAGUGGAAUGCAGAGAAUGAUGUGCCUGACAGAGGAUUUGAGAAGCUACUGCAAAUAUUGAAGAAGAAGCUUCCAAAGGAUAAUGAAUUGCCCGACAGUACGUACGCAGCAAAGAAGGUCGUAUGCCCUCUAGGAUUGGAGGUGCAGAAGAUACAUGCAUGCCUUAAUGACUGCAUCCUCUACCGCGGUGCGUACGAGGAUUUGAACGCAUGCCCGGUAUGCGGUGCAUUGCGGUAUAAGAUCAGAUGAGAUGACCCUAGUGAUGUUGACGGCGAGCCCCACAGGAAGAGAGUUCCUGCGAAGGUGAUGUGAUAUGCUCCUAUAAUACCACGUUUGAAACGACUGUUCAGAAACAAAGAGCAUGCCAAGUUGUUGCGAUGGCACAGUGAGGACCGUAAGAAAUACGGGAAGUUGAGAGCACCCGCUGACGGGUGGCAGUGGAGAAAACUUGAGAGAGAGUACUGGGCUGAGUUUGCACGUGACCCAAGGAACGUAUGGUUUGGUUUAAGCACGGAUGGCAUUAAUCCUUUCGGGGAACAAAGCAGCAAUCACAACACCUGGCCCGUGACUCUAUGUAUGUAUAACCUUCCUCCUUGGAUGUGCAUGAAGCCGAAGUUCAUUAUGAUGCCAGUUCACAUCCAAGGCCCUAAGCAACCCGGCAACGACAUUGAUGUGUACCUAAGGCCAUUAGUUGAAGAAGUUUUACAGCUGUGGAAUGGAAACAGUGUACGUGCGAGGGAUGAGCACAAACAGGAGGAAUUUAACCUGCACGAGUUGCUUUUUGUAACCAUCAACGAUUGUCCCGCUCUUAGUAACCUUUCAGGACAAAAAACAAGGGAUACCACGCAUGCACGCACUGUUUAGCUGACACCAAAAGUAUAUACCUGGGAAGCUGCAGGAAGAAUGUGUACCUGGGCCAUCGUCGAUUUCUUCCGACCAACCAUCAAUGUCGAAAGAAAGGCAAGCAUUUCAAAGGCGAGGCAGAUCACCGGAAGAAGCCCGCCAUUCGUACCGGUGAUCACGUACUUGCUAUGGUCAAUGAUUUACACGUAAUCUUUGGAAAGGGUCCCGUCGGACUAGCUAUUCCAAGUGACGCUGAGGAACACGCACCCACGCAUGCUCAGCAACAACGUCGUGUCGCGGGCAGUGUUCGGCGGCAGGUUCACGUAGCAGGACGAGUACAUCCACGAGCUAGACGUGGUGCUCACCUUGCUAGGCGGCUUCUGCCUCAUCGACCUCUUCCCGUCGUCGCGGUUGGCGCGGUGGCUCAGCUUCGGCGCGCGGCGCAUGAAGAGGAGGUACAGCCACAUGCAAUGCAUCAUCGCCAACGUGAUCGAGGAGCGCAAGGCCUUGCGAGCUGCUGGUGAUGGCGCCUCAAGCACCCACGACGAGGAACUGCUGGACGUGCUGCUCAGGCUACAGAACGAUGAUUUGUUGGCAUUCCCUCUAACCACAGAGAGCAUAUGCGCCGUCUUAUUCGUGAGUAUUUUUAACAAAAGAAACUUUUUUUACUGCUAGCUGAUGCAAACAACGGCACAAAUUUUGCAUAUGACUCGAGAUAGGAAAGAUUGAUUACUUUUGUUCCGACAAACUUAAAUCAUUAACCAUUUAGUUAACAUUAUCUAUGUCAUACAUUUCAAGAUUAUUUCUUUUUCUGGUAACCCACCAGUUACCGGAAGUUUUGAUGACCCCCAGAAACUGUGGUAACAUUCGAUAAGAUUCAAAUGACCUCAUAAACAUGUGAAUGAUAGUGUGAAUGAAUUCAACCCGGUCUUUUGCUUUCCAAUCACUAUUGCGAAGACACGUGUAGCAAAUCCAAAUACAAGAUAAUAUAAGGAAAAAAAUCAUACUUGACAAACCAAAGACCUAGACAUUGAUUUUGUCCACACAUUAUAUCCGUUAGCUUUAUAGAUUUCACCCUUGUGGAAAAUUAUAAUCUUUACUGUUAAGUAUUUUCAAAGAAACUCAUAACACGAACGCCAUGCUAUUUGUCUAUCCAUUAUCAUGGUGUAGCAAUAUAAGGGUAUGAACCUCAUAAUGAGUACAUAUAUUCUAUCAUGACCCCCCUGGGUGGAACACCAUGGCUUUGACCUUAAUCCUUCUUUCUUUUAAUAUUGCAACCAACAUAUCCGCCAUAAUGUUGAGCGACACUAAUGAAAAUAAAGAACCCUUGAUGGAGAUCUUUUUAUUCUUGGAAGUAAUGUUCUUUAUCAUCAUUGAUUUUCACACCAAAGAACCCACCUUGCACACAUUUUACCUUCAAGUGACAUCAGAUAAAGGGAAAGAUUCCAUAAACAUUGGUCGUGGAAUGAACAUUCACUUUACAUUGUCAUCAGUCUUGCCAAAAUCAAUUUUGAGAAUCCCUUGUCUUUUGAUGCAACCCAUGAGUAAUAAGCCCUUCCACAAUAUUUUCCUAGCAUGAAAUGGGUUUUUGUAAGUUUUAUCACAUCAUUAACAAUCGAGGAAAUCAUGCGCUGCUAUGAAUUUUGUGAAAGCUCAUGAAGAUAACCUAUGUUGCUUUAUUAAGUUUGUUAUUCCUUUUGCCACUAUAGAGAUGCCUAUGUCGACUAUAAAGUGGUGAUGUUUUCUAUAAGAAUAAACAAACAUCCUGAUCAAACCACUCAGAAAUCAUAUUCCUCAUAAACUUGAAUGUCUCAUUUUUGCAAUUGUGAUCUUUCACCUCUUUCUCUGUCAAGUGUAACCCGAGGGGAGGCAUAUGGCCUCACAUGAUAUCAUACCUAGAGAAGUUACUUUCCUUGAGUGCCUCGAAAUGUUCUCAAAUCAUUUGUAAGGGGAUUUAGGCUUCAAAGUAUGUAAAAAAAUCCUUUAGUUCACUUCAAAAUACCACAUACAAUUUUUUCAAAUGAAAGAUUUUGUUUCACAAAUUGUUUCAUUAUAAGUGCGGCAUAUAGAAGUAUGAGAUAAUUUAACGUACCUUAAUUUUCAUUUGCAGGAUAUAUUUUCUGGUGCCACAGAUACGACGGGAACAACUUUGGAAUGGGCUAUGUUAGAGCUCGUCCGUCAUCCAGAAACAAUGUUUAAGGCUCAACUAGAUAUAAGAAAAUUAUUAGGUCAAGAUCAAACAAUCAUAAAAAAUAGUAACCUUGGAAACCUCCACUACAUGCGAAUGGUCAUUAAGGAGGUUCUUAGGUUGCACCUACCAGCUCCAGUAAUCCCACGGAUGGCCAGAAUGGAUUGUACACUUAUGGGUUAUGAGAUGCUUAAAGGCGCCACUAUAUUAAUUAAUGUCUUUGCAGUUUCUAGGGAUCCAAAGUACUGGAAACAUUCUGAAGCCUUUUUGCCAGAGAGGUUUGAGAACAACAACUUAGAUUACAAUGGGACACAUUUUGAAUUCACCCCCUUUGGUGCUGGACGAAGGCAAUGUCCUGGGAUGCUAUUCGGCGCGUCAACCUUAGAGAUCACUUUGGCAAACCUGCUCUAUCACUUUGAUUGGGUGCUUNNNNNNNNNNNNNNNNNNNNNNNNNNNNNNNNNNNNNNNNNNNNNNNNNNNNNNNNNNNNNNNNNNNNNNNNNNNNNNNNNNNNNNNNNNNNNNNNNNNNNNNNNNNNNNNNNNNNNNNNNNNNNNNNNNNNNNNNNNNNNNNNNNNNNNNNNNNNNNNNNNNNNNNNNNNNNNNNNNNNNNNNNNNNNNNNNNNNNNNNNNNNNNNNNNNNNNNNNNNNNNNNNNNNNNNNNNNNNNNNNNNNNNNNNNNNNNNNNNNNNNNNNNNNNNNNNNNNNNNNNNNNNNNNNNNNNNNNNNNNNNNNNCCAGAGUCAUUGGAUAUGUCUGAAAAAUUCGGGAUGAAUGUAGGUAGAAGUUCUGACCUACAACUGAUAGCUAUUCCACGUGGGUGCAUCAUGGACAUGUAGGCAUAUAUAGAAAUGUUCAUGCACACAGAAAUAUAUAUAUCCUUAUGAACGAGAUUAUUUGUGUAAUAAUAUGUUGCAUUGACCAAAAUAAUGGAAUGGCACACAUUCCAUUUCUGUACUAGAAAAAUAUAUUAGAAAGGAUUAAAGAUGAUUCACUAAAACUAUUUUCUUGGCAUCCCAUCCACUCAUUCUACCUCCUUUGGCCGGCACCCGAUAGCAACAGCCGAUCACUGCCUCACUCAUAUCACUUGCUUUACCAUGCCACCUCACCAUUGACUUCCUUCCUUGCUUCCUCAUAUCUAUUUUGUUCUCCACGCACAAAUGACAUCAACCAUACUUAAAUAUGCAGACAAUCAUAUGCUAUCCCUGUUGUGCACACCUGACCACCUUGUAGUUGUGACAACACCAUCUCCCUUGGCAAUUAUGAAGAUGUUAAGUUGGCUCAUCAACAUAGAAAUUUUGGAAUCUUUGAUGCAAGUUGUACAUUCAGGAAUCUCCUCAACAAUUGUCAACAUUAUGUGCAUCUUCCAUGUUGCUCAAAUGGUUGGAUUAUUCUGGUACCAGUGGUGGCUUGACCAUCGAGAUGGAUUUGCUUCCUUCCACAUCAUUGGGAGUAUUGGCAAGAACAACUUGAUAGCCACUAGCACAAACGUAUUAGUACUUACAAAAAACAUUUCACGCUCUUAUUUUACGAAUGUAAUAUACCUUCCAUGUUCUAUAGUUUUCAUAUGAAUUUGUCCAGUAUCUUCCUGUGGGAAGCCACCAAGUUCAACCCCUUCGGUUGUGGAACCAAGUGUCCUAUUUUCUUCAAAUACUUUACAAAGGUGAUUUGCAAAUAAAAAUGACACUAAGGAUGUGCUCACAUGCAUCUAGGACCACGCAAAAACUAAAACCAUGUGGCAUUCCUAUAAAAUUCUAGAAUGUAGUUAUUCCAUAUUGUCAAUAUAUACUAGAACAACCAUUUGAGAAAAAAAUAUGCAAGCUGAAGAUCUACUAAUGAAAAGUUUUGGCUAUGCUCACCCUAAAGCCUUUCAUGUGGGCCAUCAUACUGGGUCCACUUUGAUAAAAUUAUGAACUUCAGAAGCUUGUAUAUUAUCAUGAAGCAGCCAAUAGACCACUUUUUAUGAGACCACCUAUAUAACGCUCAUUAACGUCAUAUAUGAGAGGCGGCGCACACUUUAGCGAUGAUGGGCCGGGGGCCCAGUUCAGGUCGAUGUGGCUUCCCAGUGUCAGCCUCACUAUCUUUUGUGAGAGAUGGUGGUACAUUCGUGUGUUGGUCAUUUUUUUGUGGUCUUCUUGCCAUGGUUUUUCUAGAAUUAUUUAAGCAUAAUAAAUUGUUCAUUGUGGUUUCCAAUUAAUGUUCAUCACGUAUUCAAAAAAUCUUUACCAUGUAUUAAAAAUCGUCCACUGUGUAUAAAAAAUUGUUUCGCCAUUUAAGAAACCGAUCACCAUGUAAGAAAAUUUCAUCCUGUAAUAAAAAUGGUCACUUUGUAUUAAAUUAAUAUUUACAAUGUUAAAAUAAAAUGUGCACUAUGAUUAAAAAAUGUUCAUCAUUUAUUUUAAAAAGAAAAGGAAAAAGAAAAAACAGAAAAAGGUAAGAAACCGAUAGAGAUAACCAAAAAAGUGGAAAUGAAAAACGACAACAGAAAACUCAGAAAAACUUGCAGCAGUGAUGCUAAAUGAAACAGCAGGAAAAAACUGGAACAAAAACCAAAAAACGCUGAGAAUCACAAUGAAAGAAAUCGCAGGAAAAACAGGAAAAAAAAACUUCAGCACAAAAGCAAAAAAUAAAAAGCUGGAGUAGCAACUCAAAGGAAAUAGCAAAGACCGAGCCGGCUCAAUUUGGGGACGUCAAAUAGGAUUGGCCACAUUUAACUAUUUUAACCGGGGGACCGGCCAUGCCAAUCACAAAUCCAGAUAUUGAUAUAUAGAAUUAUACGAUUCUAACUGGAGGCAAAAUAUACAUCACUUAUUGCAGGCGUUAGCACCCGUGCUGCUCACAUGCCCAUUAGCACAUCGAUGUUGAUACGAUGCCACCUGGCUUGACACAUCUGAGGCUAAAAAACAUGGACGUUUGUACAAAAAGAGAGCCAAGGCUUAAAAAAACCUGGACGUUCGUGCAAAAAGGGAGCCCACAACAUGUGCAUAUAAAAAAACAGAGAUAGAUAUUGUAUAUUUACAUUUUUAGCAUUAGGUAUUUACUUGAGAAAUCAAAAAAAGUUUAUAUGAACAACUUUUGUCAUAUUAUAAGAAAACUUCGUUUCAUUUUCAAAAGUAUGAGGUUUUUAAAAAAGUAUCUUCUCUCUCUCUCUCUCUCUCUCUCUCUCUCUCUCUCUCUCUCUCUCUAUUUAGGCUCUCACAGCCACAGAUUGAGUAAUCAUGCUCAUCAAGAAUUUGUACUAUGGAUAAAUCGUCCUAAUCAGGUGCUGAAACAAAAAAAAAUCUGAAAUAAAGAGCAUCAGAUUUUUAGCAAACGUCCCCUGAAACAUGCACCUUUCAUCAUGUUUCUCAAGAGAAGUUAAUUAUGAUUUUGUGAGUACAUUAAGCAUGAACAAAGCAUGGUAGUAAUAGAGCGUGGCAACAAAUCUCUUGGUCUGAACUAGCACAAGCAGUUGGGCGUAGUUGAGUGGCAAACAGAUCAUCGGACCGCCCCGACAACACAACAUGUCAAAAGAGUAGGGGUAGAACAUGUACGCAGCAACAAGUAGUCGACGGGAAGCUCACCUGCAGUGAGGCGGUCCGGGCGAUGGACGUAUGAGGCAAAACAACUCAUGGAAAUAGGAGGGAUCUGCGCUGACCGAGCAAUUGCGGCCUCGGGUUGGGGACAGUCAUAAUGCAUUUAGUUCUUCACGGGAGAGAAAAAAAUUAGAUUGCAUACUUAGGGCAUACCAUUCAAACACCAGUAACUUUGAGAAUUAUUGCAUGAAUCAGUAUGUAAAAGUAUAAUUUAUUUUUAUCUCAAGGAGUAGCAUAAACUAAAUAGUGUAAAACCGAGAUGGGAUACCAACAAUAAAAAUCAUUCCCAUGCAUUAUUACAUACCCCAUCCACAAUGUUUUGAAAAUGAAAAAUAAUGGAAUUAAAAAUAUAAUCCAACAGACCUAACUGACGAUGUACCUCAAUCCCCAUCCACACAAUAGGGGACACAUGCCACUCCGGAACCGCAACAUAACGGAAUUUCAUCAAGUCCAAAAGCUAGAGUUAUAAUGGCGAGUAGAAGCUCAACAAACAAAAGAAGUCAUGCCUACUACUAGCCAUCCAACAAGCAUUCUUACUCUCCUAUGUGACCAUAAAAGGAAAAAAAAAUCUAAAACCCAAAGCACCAACUACCACCAGAAAGAUAGAGAUAUUAUUAAAGCCAAAUGGACUUCACAGCUACUAGCUAUUUAGAGCAAGUGUUAGAGCACUGACAUGAAAAAGAAUAUGAGAUCAAUAUGACUAAUUAAAAAAUGGACAAGAGAACUCUCAGCUUAAAAUACCAUUAGUCAAGCAGGCUUUACAACUACAUGCUAUUAAGAGCAGGUGUAAGAGCGCUGACAAGAACACAACAUGAGUUCAACAGGUGUAAGAGCGCUGAUAGAAGAUGAACAUACAAAAAGAAGGUCAUGCACAAUUUCUGAUUCUUUUUAAAAUAUUUGGUUCUCACCGUCCAGACGCAACACAAUUUUAAGUAAGUGGAAAGAAAUAAUCCACACUGGUUGCAUGUUGAAUAGCAUGUACAAGAAUCAAAUAGAAGUGCAUGCUAGCAACAAGGAUAGAGGGAUCGGAUCAACUAGAAAUAAAAAAGUCAACAAUUCCCUAGACAGUCUCUGAGUACAAGGGGGCAACCAACAAUGGAAGAAUUUUUCAUUUUGGCCUCAAGGUAUCUCAACCUUCAAUUCAAAAAGGCCCAUAUCAAGAAAAUCGGCUUUUUACGCUAUCAUGUUAAAAAAGGGGUACUUAAAGCACCCACAGGCGAUGUUGAGGGUUCUAUUCUAUAAAUCAUGUUCUCAAAUUUGGUGAUUAUGAGCACCAGGAUAUGAUUCACCGGUAUAUUUUCUAUCACCUAACUAGCGCUUGUAGCAGAACUGUUAUCUACUUGAACCUUGUACAAAAACUAGUGUGGUUGCAUCAUGAUAGUGUGUCACCCUUAAGGCCGCAUGGAAAAACAAACAAAAUUACAGGUGAAAAAUAACAUAUACAUCCACUUCUUGUUUUUCUCAUCAUUUGACUUAUGUCAACGAUACCAAAAGUGAAAAAAAUAAUGAGAAUCAAUAUUUAUGUUUUGCACAUAAAGAUGAACAAGGACACUGAACUAAAAAUAUGGUAAAAAGAUGAGCAUAAACUACCCACACUUUUAAAAUGAUUCAGAAAACAAGCACAAGAUGAAACCAAGAACUAUAUAUGUGAGGACAUCAUUUUUAUCUCCAACAAGCCUGCUUAUUCUCUUAUGUAAUCAUCAUAUGGAAAAAAAGUAAUUCAAUCUCAAACCCAAAGCACCCACUGCCACCAAAAGAUAGGGAUUUUAUUAAGACCAAAAGAUAGGGAUUUUUAUCAAGGCCAAAUAUACUUCUGGCUACAAUCUUUUUAGAGAAAGUGUUAGAGCGAUGACAUGAACGCGGUAUGAGAUCAACAUGACCAAUUAGUAGAUGGACAACACAAAUCUUGACUAAACACACCAUUAAUCAACUAGGCUAAAAAUUGCUCAUUACAACUAAAGGGUUGAUAAAGAGUUAGGCUACUUCAACACAUUCAGACUAUUUUUGUUGUCUCGGUUUUACUAUUAAUUUCUAGUGAGAAAUAAGGUUAUAUACGCCCGCAAGGGCAAACCAUCCUUUACGCAUUUGUAUGUAUUGAAUUGUACAUACACAGAAAUUUGUUUGUAUGUUCCAUACUGCAAUGUACUUACACUACUUUACUUUCUUUGGGGCGGAACAUAGGUCAGAGUAAUUGUUAUUCGUUCCAAACACUGCUCGGCCAGUUCGCUAGCAGUGCGUGUGUGCAAAUUGUUUCCUAGCUGACCUCUUGAUUUUAUAUCCAUGCUGGACUGGUGUUUUGGGAGUUACUUAUUUUUCUUAUGAAAUUCGUCUCAUGAGUUUUGUGGUGUAGUCCACACGCAACCUCCAUGUUUCAGAAUUUACUUUCAGGAGUUUUUUGGUUGUAGUCUGCAUGCAACCUUUGGACUUAAGAACUUUUUUUUCUUGUUGUAGUCUACGUGCAACCUUCAAGUUUCAGAAUUUACAUCCGGAGUUUUUUUGGUGUAGUCUGCAUGUAACUUUAAGGUUUCAAAAUUUACCUCCGGACUUUUCUGGCUAUAGUCUGCACGCGACCUUCACUUUUGAGAAUGCGAUUAUGUCAGCUUCAUCUGGGUCUGCACUACAAAGAGAACAACCUUACUAUGUAAGAUUUAUAAACCUGUUCAAGAAAAAAAAUUAACUUUUUGUCCCAAAUGCAACCCAGCCAGAAAGCUGGAGUUGCUCCACGCAGUAGAAAAUGCCCACUGUUUAAUUUUCAUAAUAAUAGAAAGGGCACUAUACGUAUAUGUUGGUUUGCAAGGUAUAGAAAAUGCCUCCUCCUUAUCAAAUUUGUAAUGCACAAGAGAAGAUCAUGGUUGGGACGUGUUAUUUAUGCAACCAGAGCCUGCUUAUCCAUUGGAAAAACAUACUAAUAAUCUUUUUAUUUAUGCAACCGGAUCAUUUGUUGCACCCUCACAAAAUCCAUCACCUCGCUAACAGGCUUCCACGAGCAUAUAUGUCGCCCGGUUAUUAAAAAAAGAGAAAAGAGAUACGUGAUGCCUCCCACUCAGACCCAACAAUACCCCUGCCUCCCACCCCUCUUGGCCCCCAACAUCAUCCAUGAAAGCAAACUGAAAAAUGAGUAUGAUGCAGAUUGAGAAAUGCCUGAUGCUAUUGAGCAUAGCAACAAGAUAGAAGGAGAAUACAACCAUGAAAUGCAGAUUGGAGAAAAAAAUAUUGAAUGAUGAAAAUUCAAACAUAGUUACAGACAUAAUACUAAAAACUGAUUACUAAUAAUGAUUAUGUACAAUUAUGUUACUCAUUAGAGGACAGAUAAUAAACAUACUAAAUGACCUAAUGUCCACCAGCAACAUCAAGAUGCGCAAUUACACAAAAAUUAACUAUAGUGAUGGCACCUUGUUCUUUUCCAAGAAUCGAUAGUUCUUAUUCUAUCGUGAAGACGUGUUAGUACCUUGUUCUUUCCUGAAAGGUAAAAAACAAAUCAAUACUGAGCAGAUAUUUUACAAUGUGAUAUUUUAUAAAAAAAACUUUUGUAUUUACAAAAAUACAGAGCAAAUCUUGGAUGAAAAAUGUCUAAUAAUCAUCAUGGGGAGAAAGAGGAACAGAGAGGGUAGCUCCACAAAUUGUAGUGGCAAGAAAAAUAAAAACACAAAAACUGGCACAAUUUAUAAGAUGAUAAAGAGCCAAAAAUAAGAUUAAAAUGAUUUAUCUUCUCUUGCUAGUCUCCUCCGUCCAUCCGGAAAUACUCCACUUGUCGGAGGAAUGGAUGUAUCUAGAUGUAUUUUAGUUAUAGAUGCAUUCAUUUUUAUGCAUUUGUCAGUAUUUCCAGACGGUGGGAGUACUAAAUAAGAGUGAGAAAACUAAAGAGAGACUAGCUAAGAAGAAAUUAUGAAGAUUGAAAGUAGGAACCUAAGAGACCGAGAAAGAGAGACUGAACAAAAGAAUGAGAAAAUAAAGAGUGAACUGAUGUAAAUGAGAACCAGAGAAAAUAGAAAAAAGAAUGAGAUACUCAAGGAAUUGGAAAAACUAAAAAAUGGAAGAAUGAGGAUAAAGAAACUGAUAAAAACACUAACCAAAUACUAAAUGACAAAGACCUAUGAGGAACAUGACUGAAGAAGUAUGUGAAUCAUGUCACACCCUCCCUGUUUAAAGAAACAUGACUGAUAACUGAUACAAAACAGAAAAGAUGAACUUAUAAUAAGAACUAAACCCACACGCUCAUAUAGAAUGACUGAAAAUUGAAUGAAAUAAAUUAAACAUAAAAUGAACUAUAAUAAGAAACUGAAAAUGAGUGUGAUAAAAAAACUAAAGAUACUCAAUCCGAACAAUGAUAAUACACUGCCAUUAAUGAACACUGAAAAUAAAAACUUAAAACUGAUGAUGAAUGACGAACGAUGGAACUAAUGACUAAAUGAAGAUAUCUAACGGGAGAAUGAAGACUAAAGGUGAAAAUAAGACUGAUACAUAGGCUAGGAAAUACUAAAACAGAGAAAAAUGAAAAGUAAAUAGAAUGAAAGUACAACACACUCAAUAUGACUGAAAGAAGAAUACUGAAGAAAUAUGAAUGAGAAAAUUAAUGAGUAAUGAAGAAAGAACACUGAAUAGUGACUGAAGAAAUACAUCUGAGAGAUAAAAAAAGAGACACCGCAAGGGAACAAAAAAAUUGUUCAUCCGUGGAUGCAGUGCUUUCCAUACAAUUAUCGUCGUUUGACAAACCAUCAUCAUGAUCAUAAUUGGGUACGUAGCAUCCACAUGAGGACAUCUGCCCCAAAGAAUCCACAACCCUGCUGCUACCAAAAAGAUGAAAGAAAACAAUAAACUCACAUGCAGGGGUGCGAGUGAGAUUUCAACUAACACUGACUAAAACCAAAAAAAAUGCACACAUGGAAAACAAAAGAAUGUUGAGAUUCUGAAUCCUUCACUGCAAGUGUCAAAUAAUUCAGUUAGAAAAAUAGAUAGUGUCUGUUCCGGGUUUGCGAAAAAAAUAAGAAGUGCCAAAAACAAUAAAAACUACUCUUGAAAAAUCUUUUCACUACUCUUUGCACUGCCGCAAAAACACGAACCCCACCAUGCUGAGAAUAAAAAAAAGUAGUGAGCUGCUACACACAUCUGUACUGACCACAGAAACCCUACAUCUGGAAUGACUUGACUGCCCCAUCAUAACAAAUGGAAUUAAAACAUGCAUGAUAGUUGGGAUUUCGCAGUUCCAGCAUAAGCACACUUGCCUAAGUUGGGACAAAGACCACAGCUAGUCCCAAUUCUGAUGGUUCAGAUCCAAAAAAUGGUCAGACAUGAUACAUUCAGAAGUAUAAGGAUCACAAUCCUAAAAUUCCUUUCAUAUUGGGAUCUUCUAACUACCCAAAAAUGGGAGUAGCAGGCAGGACGUGGAACAGCAACGAUGGUACAUACAUACAUAAAACAAAGCACACACUCUGUAACUCUGUCCUUAUUGCUAAUCUUCUUCUUACCCAAUGGAGCUUCAGAUCCCCAUAACUAAGCUCGAUUUCACACCAUAAUCUAAAAAAAACAAAUCUAAUAUAUAUGCAAAAUUUUGCCAUAACACAGUACCUCAGAAGACCAAAAGUCCCUUGCGAAUAUAAAUGUGCCGACCUCCAUGGCAGGAACAAAAUCAACACAGAUGGCCUGAAUGAACUGACGCUGAGCAAGCCAACUCGGGGGAGGCAAUGAAAAGCCGGGGAGGAGGAUGUUGGAAACGCUGGCCGUAACUUACGCCAGCCCAUAUGGGCGACGGCUGGUUCCAGCCUCCCCGCCUGCUGCUGACAAACCCCGACAGGAGAGCUCCGCCAACCUGCUCUCCGUACCACCCUUUCUCCUUCCUCCCUCUGAUCCCCGGUAGCUGGUCACGCUUCAUGGCUGGGACGCGGGUGCACUGCUCGUCAACACGGGAUCCGUGCCCUACCACCCCCCGGUAGGUGAGAGGGAGUAAGGGCAACAUUUCUAUGGCUUCUGCUUGAAAUGUUGACCUCACUGUUACAGCUUUAAAACCAAAACAUGAAGCCAUAGAAAGACAUGAGUAACAUCGAAACGAUGAAUCGAUCAAAUGUUGAUGUGCUGCCUUUUCUGAAGCACACACGUGCCUCGUAGGACAAGGACAUACCUGUGUAUUGAUCUUGCCAGGCUUACGGUUUUUAGCGUUGCUGCUUGUCCAGCGACUUGCUGUUCAUAUCUUGUGUUUGGAUGCCUAGUAGAGACAUCAACAUCAUCACUACAGCAAGUUCGGACACAAAAGAGAAGCCAUCAGUUGGUGUGGCAAGAUUUCUAUGAAGAAGAAGAAAACAAGAUUAGAUCAAGAAACAACUAUCAGUUGGCGUGGCAAGAUUUCUAUCAAAAAGAAGAAAAAAUAUUAGAUCAAGAAACAGCACGCAUGCUCUUACAUAUAAGGCGGAUCAACGAGUGCUAGGCGGCAGGCACAUGCAUGGCCGGCAAACCAUGAUCGGCCUAAGGGCCACCACGCACAGCUGCGCCGGGCAUGUCAACUGGUCUUAACUCGCUUCGCAUCUCUUGCGCGGCAGCGUGGUGCUAGCCGGACAACACAUCGGCGUGGGCAUGGCACAACCCUGGGCUGCCGGUGGAUGUACAUGACGCUGCUUAGAUCCACCGUCGCCAUCUACAACAUGGAGAUUGGGGAGAGGGAAGGAGGAGGAAGGUGUGGGGCGGGGCGGGGCCGGGCUGGUCGAGAUCAAGGGGGCGUCCAUUUAUAGAGGAGAGGAGAGGAGAGGGGGGUCGUGGGCAGCGAUGAGAUGACUGAGCCGGGGACGCGGGGAGGCAUCGGAUGGGAGUGUGAUCCGCGUGAGGCGUGUGGAUUGGAUCGCAUGCGGAGCGGGGGAGGAAGGGAGGGAGGCGGCGCGUGGAUGCAUGGGGUAGUUAAAUGCGGUGUCGAUUGAAGGUUUCCAGGAGGAGGAAGCAUGCGUCGGUUUGGGAAGAGGAUAGAAUUAAUGGGUGCCUAGUUUCAAGGAGGAAGACGAGGGAAUCAAGGGAGGCUCUCUUGAAGGAAGGAAGGAAAGAGGUGUAUUCAUCCAGCCGUGGAAAACGCUAGCUGCAUGCAGUAAUUAUUCCUUUAAUUUCCUUCCUUGUCGCCAGAUUGACGCAUACGCGCGACGGAUUCCCUCUCUGACUCUCUCUAUGGUAUGGUAUGAUAUGUACAGCACAAACGAUUUAGUCCCAGCGCUCUCAGAAAUUACGCCAGCCACGUAAAGGUAGCCAGGCACUUUCCAUGCGUUCAAAUGAUUUAGUAUCAAGUUUCCUAGUGUCCCUCAAUUUGUAAGAUUUUAUUAUGUAUGCAGUAACUUCUUCCCAUUUGCUCGUGUCAGUUUUUAUUUUUUUAGGGAAUUUGCUCGUGUCUGUAUCUUUAUUUUUAUCUGUUUGAAGGAAUUUGCUCAUCUAAGACAAGACUCGUUCUCUAUAUAGCCAGGUGGGUUUUUUCUGUUCACAAUUUGAUUUUCUCAUGUAAGAUAAGACACCAGGUUUGCAAGUGCAUUCCUAGCAUAAAAGGUUUUUCUGUUCACAAUUUGAUUUUCUCACGUAAGAUAAGACACCAGGUUUGCAAGUGCAUUCCUAGCAUAAAAACACCGGCUCCAAUCCAAUUACCAGGUUGGCAAGUUUCAAAGUCCCUGCAUUGAACAUUUUUUCAUAACUUGUUAGAUUAUAAUUGAAAAAACCCAGAGAACACUCAUUCAUUCUUGACACCGACAAACUCGGUACUCUCCUCUCCUAGGGCAAUGAAAAUUUUCUUGUUGUACCAUACAAAACACCGACAAACAGCUCAGGAAUUCCUUGAUGCAAUGAAUAAUAUGAUCAACUUAACUCUUGAUGCAGUUAACCCAGAAAGAAAAUUCCCAUAACGAUGCACAUCAUUUCACAUCCCAACCUUCACAAUGAAGAUGUUACUUCCACCAGAUUUGAUCAAACAGGAACACGCAUGCAUCAACUACUUCUCAGAUGAGGUGAUAAAAAACAUCUCGAGUCCACUACACAUCCCAGGAAGCACAGGUACUUCGCGUCUCUUGCGCGGCAGCGUGGUGCUAGCCGGACAACACAUCGGCGUGGGCAUGGCACAACCCUGAGCUGCCGGUGGAUGUACACGACGCUGCUUAGAUCCACCGUUGCCAUCUACAACGUGGAGAUUGAGGAGAGGUAAGGAGGUGGAAGGUGUGGGGCGGGGCGGGGCUGGUCGAGAUCAAGGGGGCGUCCAUUUAUAGAGUAGACGAGAGGAGAGGAGAGGGGAGCGUAGGCAGCGAUGGGAUGAACGGACGGAUGCGUCGGUUUGGGAAGAGGAUAGAACUAAUGGGGUGCCUAGUUUCAAGGAGGAAGACGAGGGAAUCAAGGGAGGCUCUCUUGAUGGAAGGAAGGAAGGAAGGAAAGAGGUGUAUUCAUCCAGCCGUGGAAAACGCUAGCUGCAUGCAGUAAUUAUUCCUUUAAUUUCCUUGUCGCCAGAUUGACGCACACGCGCGAUGGAUUCCCUCUCUGACUCUCUCUAUGGUAUGGUAUGGUAUGUACUGCACAAACGAUUUAGUCCCAGCGCUCCCAGAAAUUACGCCGGCCACGUAAAGGUAGCCAGGCACUUUCCAUGUGUGUAUGCAGUAACUUCUUCCCAUUUGCUCGUGUCAGUUUUUAUUUUUUUAGGGAAUUUGCUCGUGUCUGUAUCUUUAUUUUUAUCUGUUUGAAGGAAUUUGCUCAUCUAAGACAAGACUCGUUCUCUAUAUAGCCAGGUGGGUUUUUUCUGUUCACAAUUUGAUUUUCUCAUGUAAGAUAAGACACCAGGUUUGCAAGUGCAUUCCUAGCAUAAAAGGUUUUUCUGUUCACAAUUUGAUUUUCUCACGUAAGAUAAGACACCAGGUUUGCAAGUGCAUUCCUAGCAUAAAAACACCGGCUCCAAUCCAAUUACCAGGUUGGCAAGUUUCAAAGUCCCUGCAUUGAACAUUUUUUCAUAACUUGUUAGAUUAUAAUUGAAAAAACCCAGAGAACACUCAUUCAUUCUUGACACCGACAAACUCGGUACUCUCCUCUCCUAGGGCAAUGAAAAUUUUCUUGUUGUACCAUACAAAACACCGACAAACAGCUCAGGAAUUCCUUGAUGCAAUGACUAAUAUGAUCAACUUAACUCUUGAUGCAGUUAACCCAGAAAGAAAAUUCCCAUAACGAUGCACAUCAUUUCACAUCCCAACCUUCACAAUGAAGAUGUUACUUCCACCAGAUAUGAUCAAACAGGAACACGCAUGCAUGUGCGCGCGCACACACAGCGCAGUGCAAUACAUCUUCACCAAAACAAAGUUAAAUAUCUAUGUCAUCAACUACUUCUCAGAUGAGAUGAUAAAAAACAUCUCGAGUCCACUACACAUCCCAGGAAGCACAGGUACUUCGCGUCCUUCCAUCACAAACAUUACAACAUGACAGAGCCAAACUACUACAUACAUGGCUUAAUUCUGAAACCUAACCCAUCAAUGGAGAAAGCUCGAGGACGACGCCGCCAUCCAGUGCAUCUUUAUCAGCAGAGAAAGCCCGAGGACGACUGCACCAUCCAGUGCAUCUUCAUCAGCGGAGAGAGCCCGAGGACAACGACGCCAUCCAGUGCAUCUUCAUCAGCGAAGAAAGCACGAGGACGACGGCGCCAUCGUGUGCAUCUUCAAGCCCAAACCGCGUCAACUUCUGCAGCACCGCUUGGCAAGAGAAAAUGACCGGUGUCGCGCGCGAUGGAGAUUUUCCAUCAUGUCCGGUAGGUUUGAUGGACGAAAGGAGUAUCUUCCCGAGGAAUGCAAUCUGGGUGGACAUAAAAAGAUCAGUCUAGUGCAGAGGCAAUGUAAUGCAUCAGAGGAAUGUCAGAUUUCUCAGCAGUAAGCCACACAACAAUUCUCUUGUGUCAAAGGGAAUUUAUAGGAAUUAACAAGACAACAUCUUCCCCUAAAAACAAUGCAUACUUAUUCACCAGCCUAGGAAUGCAAAGUGCUCGUUCCAGUUCCACACAAUGAAAGUUAAGUGUUGGACCUGAUCAAGACAAGACAAAAUUGCCAUAGAUAGGCUCACUUGUGUGACCAGCAGAAGAAUUUUCGCUACAAGAUCUCAUCUUGGCUUGUCAAAUCUCAUACUAGACAAAUUGUUGGACACUAGUGAAAACAAGCAACAUCUCCGGGUAAUUGACGACCGGGACACGCAGGACAUGAGAGAGAGAGAGAGAGCAAAGAGAGAUACCUUGACGAUCUCCAUGGUGUCGGCAGCGGGGUCGGAGCAGCUGCUGCGUCCAUGGAAGAGGAGGCACACAGUGGUCUACGCCUGAGGACACCAACAUUAUCAAGUUAGUAUGUGUCGUUAGUAUCAACCUGAAGAUAAAUCUGCUGCAGAGUUUUCAGUUUUCUGAAGAAAGAAGGAACUAAAAGUUUCAGGUUUCUGCAGUUUAGUCGUCUCUGAACAUAAAUUGCAGCAAGCAAGCAAGCAAAUAUGGAUAGGCAUGAGAGGGAGUAAGGGCCACUGAUGAUGAAUGCUGAACUAGGAUGAGCAGAGCCUGCACUCACCACCCACAUAGAAGGCAAUAACAGAAUCCCUUCCCCUGGCAUGAGCUUCGGAUCAGCGGUGGCAUAUGAUCUUGCCUAUUGAGGAUCCUCCAUGGACAAGGGAAGGUGUCAUCAGACCACCGCAGUCCAAUUAGUGCUAUACGGCCUGCACAAGGAUCACAUGAGACAUGCAUGGUGAAUGCUACAGAAAAACAAGACAAGCGUUUGCUCAAUACAGAAAAACAAGACAAGCGUUUCCUCCAUCGUGGGAGCAGCGGCGACCCGGGAAUAAGCAGACCCGGAGGAGCGAAGCAGCGGUCUUCUAGGUCAAAUCGAAACAACCACACAAGCACUUGACAAAGCAGCAUCACAAGCUGCCAAAAUGCAACAUCACAAGCACUUGAGUUAUAGUCAAGACCGUCGACAAAAGGGAACAUCAGGCCAUAGUAAGGUUGCUGCGAUGGUGAUUCGAUAAAACAUCACAUACUUUUCUGUACACAGGGCUCCUCUUUUCGUCCUUGAGGGAGUUCUUCUCCUCCACCAAAUCCAUCAUCUCCUCUUUCAAAACAUUGUUAUCAGCGGGAUGGAGUGCUCCUUCCCUGAGGCGGGCGUCUGGAACGGCGGUUCAUAUCAUGUCCUCAAUGUCCUGCACUCCACCUUGGUCAUCAUUGAGGGUCUCUGUUGGGCAAACAUCAACGUCAAAGCAGAGAAAUGGAGUCACACCAAUGGACAUGGCAGCAUUUAAGAAAUGGAAAUACAUAACUAGUACUCCCUCUGUAAAGAAAUAUAAGAGCGUUUACAUCACCGCUUUAGUGAUCUAGACGCACUUAUAUUUGUUUACAGAGGGAGUAUAUGUGAUAGUGUUACCAGUGCAAGAGAGAGAAAUUGCAAUCUUACGCAGUUUGAAUAUCAUGUUAUCUUACUAUUACAAGUGUGUGUUUAUUAUAAACGACAUGGCAGGCAGCUCAGGUCUGCACCUGUCAUCAUUUUGCCCAUACAUAUACAUACAUACAGCAAGAGAGGCAAAACUUAGCAGAUUGGAAGGCUUGUUGUACAGGGGCGUGAUCACAAACGAAAUAGUAGAGUAGUAUUUCAGGAUGCUGCUAUAUAUUCUGUAGCAAACAAAGUUGUACGCUCCAUACAAAGUGAUGUAAUAAGACUAGACAUAAUUGCCAUAGAAAGGCUAGCAUGUGGGAAUCGCUACAAGAGCUCAUGUUGUCUUGUCAAAUCUCAUACUGGGCACACACACACAAAUUGUUGCACUAGUGAAAACAAGCAGCAUCUAUGGGUACGUAAUUGAUGGCCGGGACACACACGACAUAAGAUAUACCUUAAGGAGCUCCAUGGCGUGGACGCCCAUGGAAGAGGCGGCACACAACAGUCUGCGCCUGAGGACACCAACAUUAUCAAGUUAGUAUGCUUGGUUAGUAUCAUCAACCUGAAGAUAAAUCUGCUGCAGAGUUUUCAGUUUCCUGAAGAAGGAAGGAACUAAAAGUUUCAGAUUUCUGCAGUUUUGUCUGUCUGUGAAGAUAAGUUGCAGCAAGCAAGCAAGCAGGCAAAAUAUGGAGUAUCAAGUUUCCUAGUGCUCCGUCAAAUUGUAAGAUUUGCUAUGCAUGCUCGUGUCAGUAUUUUAUUUUAGUUUUUGAAGGAAUUUGCUCAUGUGAAGAUUUCGGUAUGAGAUACAUGGAGCUUUUUCAGAGUUGUUUUUUUCUUUCUGUAAUACAUGUGAAGACUUGGGUAUGAAAAAUGGAGCUUUUUUCAUAGUGAAAAGUGAUAUUUUUGGUGUCGUUUUGUUGUUGCUCUAAUCGGCAUGUAUCUCAUACUGGAAGACUUUGGUAAUUGAUGGUCGGGACAUGAGAGAGAGCAGACUGAGUUACCUUGACGGUCUCCAUGGCGUCCGCAGCGGCAGCGGGGUCUCGGAACAGCAACAUUACCAAGUUAGUAUCAACCUGAAGAAUAAUCUGCAGAGUUGUCAGUUUUUCUGAAGAAGGAAGUAAAAGUAUGAGAUUUUUUGUAGUUCUGUCUAGCUCCGUCCGAAUACAAGUUGCAGCAGCAAGCAAACACGGAUAGAUGGGCGUUGACAAGCUUACCGUGAUUAUUUUGCAGCCAGUGCCGAACAACGUCGUGCCUCGUUGGUCGAAGGGAGACACACACGAUGAGCCCCUUGUCCUCUGCAUUAACCGGGGAUGAUGCAGUACCGAAUCAAUCAUGCUGCUGCACAAGGACAUGAUAAAUAACAAAUCUUGAGUCAAAUGGAAAAUCUUGAGCUCCAAUCAUAAUGAGAGAAAAGAGGAAAUCAUGUCAAUGAUCCUGAAACAAUAGCAUAAGGCAAAAGAAUAGGAGUAUUUUAGCAUAAGGCAAUGAUCUUGAAAACAGCGGGCAAUCGAGCUGUCUAAGCCCAAACAAUAGCAAAUGUGGAGAACACAUUUGCAACACAGAGACACGCAUUGGUGAUUUCGUGCGGACAUGUCAAGAGCACAACACACACAUGGGGUUGAGAUGAACAUGAGAAGAGAACAUUACUACAGUAGAAAGCAUGAUGAUAUGUGGCAGCCUAUAUGAUUGGAGCUGUAGCAACAAGGGAGCUGAAUUACACGUCCUAACUAAACCCAGGACCAAUGGCUCGGUUAUGAGACAAUUGACAUGCAAGCCUAGCACAUAGGCAAGCAGAUUACUCUGAAUUUCCUCUCCAACACAUGUCUGAAUCUGGCUGUUGCUAUGUGUGGGCGUGUGUUGCGAAACUGAAACUAUGAAUUUCCUCUCGAAUACAAGUCUGAAUCUGGCCUACUAUCAUUCGUGUACCUCACCUCCCCCAAAUCGAUCUCUUAAUUUGUAGUUGCAAAACUGAAAGUUAAGUGUUGGAAUCAAUCGAGCCAAGACAAAACAAGCAUAGAUAGGCUCACUUGUGUGACCAGCAGAAGAAUCAUCGCUACAAGAGCUCAUUGUGUCUUGUUGAAUCUCAUACUCCCUCCGUCCCAAAAUAAGUGGCUCAACUUUGUUCAAACUUUAGUACAAAGUUGAGUCACUUUUUUUGGGACGGAGGGAGUACUACACACGCGCGCACACGCACACGCACGGUUGCACUAGUGAAAAGAGGCAACACCUCCGGGUAAUUGAUGGCCGGGACAUGAGAGAGAGCAGAGUGAGAUACCUGGACGGGCUCCAUGGCGUCCGCAGCGGCAGCGGGGUCGGAACAGCAACAUUGCCAAUUUAGUAUCAACCUGAAGAAUAAUCUGCAGACUUGUUAGUUUUUUCUGAAAAAGGAAGUAAAAGUAUGAGAUUUUUGCAGUUUUGUCUAGCUCCGUCUGAAUACAAGUUGCAGCAGCAAGCAAACACGGAUAGAUGGGCGUUGACAAGCAGAGCAGAGCAUACCUUCCAUGGCGACCUGGGAAGAAGCAGAGCCUCCUUGUAUGCCUGCGCGCUUGAUGCAUCAGGGAGUGCAGCGGAGGACCUCCAUGUCCAUGGAGAAGACCGGAGUUGUUGGUGACCCUUCCAUGGCGUCGUCCUGCUCCUCCUGGUAAUGGUCAUGGAGACGGGGGUGGGUCAGAGAGGGAGAAGAGACCAGACCGGGGAUGGGUUGGGAUGGGAUGGGAUGGGUGAAGAGGAGGGAUUCGUACCCAUGGCUGCGCCUCCUGCCUGCGGAUCCUGAUGGCCGCGGGCUAGGGUCCAUGGCUUGGCUCCUCCGCCGCCGCCGCCUCUCCUGGAUCAUGGAGGAGGAUGGUGCCGUGGAUCUUGGCGCGCAGCUCGAGCCGGGGACAUGCCCACGACCCUAUCCACGGGGAUUGGGAGGGGUUGCGCGCGGUAGCCGUGAAUCUGGCCGGAGAGGAGGAAGGACCGGAGUGAGGGGGUGUCGGCGGUGUGCUGCGUGCCGCCGAAACUCGCCGGAAUCGCGGCGGCGGCGAGGGGAGAGAGAUGGGUGGGGGAUGGGAAUGGGAUUCGCCUCUUUUCAAUAUUAUCUUUCCUUUCCUUUUCUCUUGUCUUCAAAACUUACUUUUGAGCAAGGAGACACAAAUUUUGAGAGACGAGCGCGCGUAAAUGCAGCGGACUCUUAAUUGGUCAAUGGACUUUACCCAUGGAUCGACACUGUCUAUUUAACCAAUCUCGUUCGUCCAUCGACAUCUGACGGCCCGCAGAAUCGAUCGUGGGGAGCUGGCCGGAAGGAAGAAGCACAGAUAUGCUUGGGUUGGAUCUCCAUGGUCUUUGCCCCAUCUCGUCCGCCCGUCCGUCGACAUCGGGUGGCCCGCGGAAUCAAUCGUGAGCAGCUGGCGGGGAUGGAUCGGUGGGAGUCUCCCUCAUUGGUCGGUAGCGAUUACCCACGGAUCGAUCGCCUCUCUGGCCAAUCCCAGCCAUGCGCCACAUCCAAACAUACGUGGGGGUUUCGUUUCGGUUGUUGCUCCAUCAUCGUGAAUGGUCGACCCACUGAUGGAUGCCUGGCGUGGGGCGGUGGCGAUGUGUUCAAUCCAUCGAGAGAUGGUCAUAGCUAGUCGCGGCGACAUGGGUCACAACACGUGUCUCUCGCCUAAGUCUAUGCAUGUAUGGGUCACAGCAUGUGUCUCUGGCCUAAGUAUGUAUGUACAUGUUUUUAUUUAUUUAUUCUCGAUCUGAAAAAAAUAAGAAUGGAUAGAUGUGCUCGCUUCCAUGAAAAAAAAUUGAUGGUGCAGCAAGCAAGCAAGCAAGCAGUCCGCGCGCGUGGGCGAAUUAUUCUACAUGAUAUAACAAAGGGAUCAAGCCAAAGGGAUAAACUGCAAUUAAGCCAAAGGGAUCAAGCAAAUACUUGUAUCACACAGGGAAGGUGGUUGAGUAGUGCUGUCCUGGACCUCAUCCCUUCCCCUCCUCCUCCUCCUCCUCCCUCUCCCAGUCGUACCUCUUCUUUACUUCCUCUACCUGUCACAGUUGCAAGUAAAUUGGAAGGCUCUGUUUUCAUUGCAAAUCACAGUUGCUCUCUACUCCAGUUUCUAGCACUCUUCUUGUAUCGUACUACUUGUCAUAAUGUACUAUAUCAAUAAGAUGCUUCAUUUACAAUGUAUUGUACUGGAGGCUACUCCAUUUAUAAUUUACUAUGCUUCUAAUAAUGUAUAUCAUUACUAGCGUCGAGUAUUGUAUUUACACCAAUGGAAAUAAGAUUACUGCAUUGAUACUUACUGCUUCUUUUUCGCGUAUCUACUGGUUUUUGCUAUGAUGGUAAUUUUAUUUCCAUAGUUACUAAUAAUAAAUAUUUUUUUUUCAUUUCUUAAUAAAUCUAACCAACUCUCAGGUAUAUACGCAUGUCUCAACUACUCCCUCCGUUUCUAAAUAUAAGAUUUUUUAGAGAUUACAAUAAAGAAUACAUAUGGAGCAAAAUGUGUGAAUCUACGCUAUGAAAUACGUCUAUAUACACCCGUACGUAGUCCUUAUUGAAAUCUCUAAAAUGUCUUAUAUUUAGAGACGGAGGGCGUAACAAGACUAUCCUAUGACCGAGUUGACCCCUAGAAACCAGAUUCCCAUUUCAAAAGCCUCCCGUGCAUGAAAAUUUUACCACAAACAUUGAGUCCUAAACUUCUUUUUUGGGUAUAUAUUGUAGAAAGAAUAGAGAGGAAGGUUGACAAAAUGAGGUGGGUUCUAUUGUGGUAUCGCUUGAGCCCCGUGGACGUAUUUAUAGGAGUACAUGAUCAACUUGGAGUAUAAGACAAGUUAGAACAAAUCCUAAUAUAUCCUAUAUUUUCUAAUAAUCACAAUACUCAACAUCCCUCCACAGUCACAAAGGUAGCGACGCAGACGGUGAGACAGGAGAAGAAUCCUAAGGUAAGCCGAUGGACACCAUCCCCCCUCCCUAGUCAUAACGAUCGAUGCAUAGCAGAAGAUGUGGCUGGAGUGAAACCGAUGAGAUUGCUCCAUCAAGUCGUCCCUUUGUGCCGAUGUCAAUCUAACCGAGAGCGUAGGAUGGUGUAUCCAUGUUUGAGGUAGCCAUGCGAGGGAUGACAUGGUCGAUGUCAACUCGGGGUGGUCGAUGUUGAGUUAGUCGCCAUGGCGCCGCAGGCGCAAGGAAGCGCCGUGGUAGUCUUCGGAGCAGUGUUGUCGAGGUAGUGGUGCGCCGGGAAGAAGACGGUGUUGAUGAGUUGUCACGCUAGGUUUGUCAAGGCCAGGGACACGUCAUAGACAAAGGCACGCGUCGGUGUUGCCAGCCUCGGGCAUGCUAGACGGACGAACUCGAUGUUGACGAGGUGCCACACCAAGCUUACCAGGCCCGAGGACACAUCAUGGACGAAGGCACACGUCGGUGUUGCCAGCACUUGGCAUGCCUAGAUGAGGAUCCGCAUGAGUUAUAUGCCAUUGUAACACCCCUAUGUAAGGAGCUAAAGUGAUCAUCAUAAGCUACUUUGAUUAACUAGUCUUGAUCAACGUUGAUUCAUAUCUUAUUUAAAUUCCACUUUAAAUCAAAUUCAAAUUGUAAGAGGAAUUAAGAAUUUCAGAAAUAAGAAAACUAAAAAGUUCACGCAAUGGCAAAUAAUCAUUGAAUAAUUGUCAUGGUGAAACCAAUAUUUUAUAUAAAGUAAUUAAAUACCCUAAAACAAUUAAAACACGGUACAAAACAAUAUUUUAAUUGCUUUUGAAAUUAUAAGAAUUCUAAAGUAAUGUAAAAGCCUCCCAAACUUUUCCUGGCAUUGUCCAAAAUUGCACUUUAAAUAAUGGGCCAAGUUCCUACUUUUACUAAACAUAUUUGCUAUUUAAAAUAAUUAAAAAACAGAAUUAAAUAAAUGAAAACAGAAAAAUAAAAAUAAAAAGAAAUAGUUUAAGAAAAAGAAAAGUGGCACUGUGUCGGCCCAGCCCACCGAUCGUGUUGGCUUCAACAUAGCUACAGUGGCCGACCGAGGGCACGAGCGCCGCUCGUCCCCGUCGGACCACCUCAUCAGCUUCGCCGUGGGAGGAUAAGUCUGCCACCCACACGGCCCCUCGGACUCCUCCCCUCUCACUCACUUACCCCCUAGACUAGAUCCCCCCUCUUCCUUUAGCUCCCUGCGUCGAACUGGAGAAGCGCCCGAUGCGACCGUCGCCGACGCCCCGUCGAUCCCGCGGCCAUCUUCACCCCUGCGCCUCCCCGUCAUGUCAUAGAGUGCCGCUGCAUGCUACCUCGAGCUGGAACUGGGGACCCCUGCAAUGCCGCCCCGACCUCUUCUUCCUCCUUGGGCACCACCGCAGUCGCCAUCGAUUCGGCGCCAUGAGCCUCCCCCGAGCCGACGUUUGCACCUCUACAGGCUCCCUGUGAGUUUCCGCUCGGAUCCCCUUCGUCUCCCCCAUCCUUCCGCGCCAUAGCUCGCCUCGCCGCCAUGGCCGCACCCAAUGUCACGGUAGAGCUCGCUGCCGUGGCCACUGCUCGCGUCCGAGCACCGCAUCGUGCUCAGCUUCUCCCUAGCAACCCAACGCCACCAUCCACUGCCUUUGUCGUGCCCCAUAGCGACGAAGAUCAGCAAACGCCACCACCGCCGCCGAUGAUGUUCCGCUCAACUCCGACCAUCUCAGCCACUCCCACCGACACCAAACAAUGCGACAUCGCUUGCUCUUUUGAACGAGCCAACCAACGGGGCCGGAGACUCCCUGUGCGCAUAUUCCGGCCAACUACGGCACGUCACCACCUUGAAAUCGAGUCGCUGGAACCCCUCUAGCACCGCCAUAGAUAUGGCUGGCUUGGGGCCCACCCAUGUGUCACUGCCAGUGGGCCCCAGGGGCCUAGCUGACCCGUUGACCCCGGUCAACUGUGCUGACUGGGCAGCACAGUCACUGACUGGUGGGCCACCCACCUAAUUAACUAAAAUGUUAAUUAAUUUAAUUGGUUAAAUUUAAUUAGACACUGACAAAAUGGGCCCUAAUAACUAAUUUGCUUAAUUACUUAAAUUGAAACCUAUUAAUUUUUAUUGAGUCACUAACAAUGGGGUUCCACUUGUCAGUUUGACUAGUCAACUGCCAAUGUUGACUACUCACUGGGCUUUGACUUGCCCCACAUGUCAGCCUAUGAAGCACAUCAUAACAUUUAGUAUUUAAUGUAUUUUCGAAUUAACUUAAUUACAAUUUUUUUGGAAAAUCAUUUAAACUCCGAAAAAUCAUAUAAAGUAAUAUAUAACUGAGAUGAAAAUAAGUUAUAUAUGAAAAUUUCUAAGAAAAAUAUAAAAAAUCCAAAAAUGAUAUCCACUCAUCUGUCCGAUAACUGCCAAACGCUGGGAAAACAUUUCUAGAUGUUUUCCCGCUUCGUCUGUAACGUGUAGCACUAUGUUAGAUCACCGCUAGGUCAGCAUAUUUCCAUGUCAUGCAUCAUGAUGCAUUUAUUUGCUUUAUAUUUGUUGUUUCUCCCCCUCUCCUCUCCGGUAGACCCCGAGACUGACGAUGGUCCUAGGUAUGACUACACACCUGACGAUCAGCCCUUUUUCAUAGAGCUUCCAGGCAAGAAAAAGCCCCUUGAUCAUUCCUAUAUCGCCCAUACUUUCUCUCUCAUGCUUGCAUUCGAUUUUGCUAAUGUUGUUGAUAACUCCUAUUGUGAUGCAUAGCCUGCUUUUGUAACCUGCUGUUGUUACUUUACCUGAUAUCCUAUAUGCUUAGUAUAGGUUAGUUAGUGAUCCAUCAGUGACCCUUCGCCUUGUCCCUGUUGCCCCCGCUUUAUUACCGAAUGAAUCGAUCAAUGUGAUCGACGUACUGAGACCAACACAUCACCGCACCCCCCCCUUAGUUGUACAACUCUGUAGAGAUACUACCGAGUGCCGAGGGUGAUACCUCGAAAUGCACUCCUGAUAAUAUCUCUGUAGUGUAGCUAAUCGGUUGUGGAUUAUGGAGGGUGAUUCCUCCUUCACCACUCCCAAUAUUGACUCUGUCGUGCAGUUCUUCAAGUGUGAACCUACCGUGGGUGAUUCCUCCAAGUUCACCUUGAUGGUUACAUCGAGUGGGAAUCGAUCAAGGGUGAUUCCUACAAUUCCUCCUUGGUGUUAUCGACACACACUUACCUUUACCUGUUCCCGUCAACUGUUUCUGUGGGACUGAAGGGACAGAUGGUACCACCCCAGUAGAGGUGGACCUGAGUUCCUGAUAGUCUCUUGUGACUGAGGAUGACCUGGAGGGUACCUGUGAGAUAAUUACGAGGCACGGCCGGGCAUUCUUGGCCCUUGCCGUAAGUUCGAGAGACAGAGCAAUAGGACCACGGAUCAUGGAUCAUUGAUCCUCUCCACGCUCUCCCAAGACACUAAUUGAUUUGGAUAUGUGCACUGUUCUAUAAUUCAUCCGAUUAAUCAGUAAAUUGGCUAGUUAAUCGCUACUCAUCAGGUGGCCGAAUCGAAUAACACCUAUUCAUCAUGUUAACUUGCCAGUCCGAUUAAAUGGUCUAUUAGACCGGUUAAAUGGUCUGUUAGACCGAUUAGUCGGUUGUUAGGCCGAUUAAUCGAUGUCGGCCCGCUAACUCAUGGGCAUACAAAGCCCAAUUAUUUGGCCCGUAACCCCUCUCAGCCCAUACAAAGCCCGAUUAUUUUAUUAAAGUCAAUUGUGCUAAUAAUAUGCAAAGCCCCAAGCUUGGGGAUGCUAAUUUUUAUACGUCCACUACUUAUUGCAAUUAUCAUGAUUCGGGUGAUUAUUCUUAUGAUAUUGAAAGUUUAUUUAAGCCUCAUGAUGAAUAUCGUUGUGAUAAUAUUGAAAAUGGGUUUGGAAGAUUGUCAACUCUAGGUAAUAAUGAUCCCACUAAUUUGUAGAAUGAUCCCAAGCUUGGAGACGCGACAAUAGUAGUGUAUCGUGAUGCAGAAGGAAACUACCUCAGCAGCUCUUCCCUGGCGUAACCAAUGUAGCAUUUUAGGAUUAUUUGUUUUCAUAAGAGCAAGUACAAUAGCAGGCUUAUAGCCUGCUUACAUGGCAAUUUUGUCGACAUGGAGGAGAGAGACAUGAAAAAGUAAGCGGAGUGAGCUCUCAUGCAAGAGCCUAACUAUAUGCGUGCUUCAAGGCAGAUGCAAUAAAUACGAAGAAAGAGAUAGAGAGAUGAGGAAAAAUAGUAAUCUUAUAGCCAACCUUAUAGCUAACCUUAUUGUAUGAGUGACUAUAUGAAUUGGCUAUAAAUGAUAUGACAACAUCUUAUAGCUAGCAAUUUGUUGUAUUAUUAAUCAUGCUCUAAUGUUCCUAAUGCAUCAAUACGAAGAGAGUACUAGUAAAGCAGUGACAAGUAAUGUGGAUAGAAGAGAGUAACGCAAUUUCACAAAUAUGACAACAAUCUCAUUAAUGAUAGCAUGUGGCUAUCUAGCCAGGGCCGAGUAAUAAAUGAGGGCCAUCAGGAAGUUCGCUGGCACGUUACGAGCUCAGAUUUAUUUGUUGAGCACCUUGCGAACGAUCAAUCACCAUACUCCCUUUAAAUUGUCAGUUUACAUAUCAAUUUUCAUGCAUUUUCACCACCAAAGGGAUUUUAGACACGUUUGGUUUAAUGCCCAAUUAAUUAGGGCGUGACAACCGCAAUCAAUCCCACAAAUUUCUCUCCAUGCAGGUGUGUAUGCGAGGUAGAAUAAAUGCAUGCAUGUGUGUACGUGUUAAUUUCCCAAAUUGUUAGGCGCCGUGGUAUAACCAUAGAUGAUAUUUUUCAGUUUAAUCGCUAAUCAUUUGGUUUCAGAGAUUGUUGAAGCGCGCCGGACUGUGACAAGAGAGUAUUUCACGCCUGUCCAUGCACAGGAUUUUUUAUACUAUCUAUGUCUUGGUUACAGGUCACCGUAUUUUGGAUCAUUUCUUAAUCAUGAUUUGAACUAAUAAAAUCUAAGCUAUACAUUAAAAAAUAAUAUCAUUGGAAACUACAUUCAAAUAUGAAUCCAACAAUAUUAUUUGAUUUGUUGUGACAUGCAUUGACAAUUUGCUAGUCAAAUAUGUGAUUAAAUUUUGACUUAAAAUAUGGGAGGGACUAAUAAACCCUACUCCAAAGUCGAAAGUAUUUUUUUGCGCCUACUCAAAAGUUGGCGAUACUUAUUUUCACAACCGUCUAUAGGUGAGCAAUAAAGGUGCAAUAAAGACCGUCCCAUCCCCUGUAUCAGCCAAAGAUUGAAUUAUAUUAUAAUGGCAUCUAUGCAGCUCAACUACCGCGUGCCAAGCCCAUGCGUGAGUAAAUACGGCAGGCGCAGCUCAAUCCAUCAAGCCAUGGCAGACUUGCUCCUCCUAACCCUGCUUCCCUUGGCUCUCCUCUUCCUCCUCCUCCACCAUGCAUCGCCAAUCAAAGCCCUUCUCACGAGGGCCAAGUCGGUUCUGGCACCGGAGCUCUCCACGGUGUGGAAGCCACAGCCAGCUAGCAUCUUCGUCACGGACCCCGAGACGGCGCACAGCCUUCUCGUGCGUGGCAGCGCCGCUGGCUCCUUCUCCAACCGCCCACCGUCCAUUUCUCCCAGCGCCAUCCUCUCGCGCCGUCAAUACCAGAACAUCACCUCCGCUCCCUACGGUGAGCACUGGCGCGCCAUUCGUCACAACCUCACAUCGGAGGUCCUCCACCCAACGCAGCUCCACCGGCACGCGUCAGCGCGCCGCCGUGCACUACAUGGACUCGUCGUGGACCUCGCCGAGCAGAGGAAAGACGGCGUGGUUCACGCGGCGGAGAGCAUCCGCUACGCUAUGUUUGUCCUGGUGGCCAACAUGUGUUUCGGCGACGACAUCGACAAUAACCGCGUCCGUGCCAUGGCCGACGCUCAGAGUGACCUCGUCAAGUCCCUAUCUACGGCGCGCGUGUUCGCGCACGCCAUGCUCCCCGCACUGACCAGGCUCAUUUAUCGUAAUCGGUGGAAGAAGCUAGCCGCCCUGCGACAGCAGCAGGAGCAGACGUACCUACCACUCAUCGACUCCCGUCGCGGCCGGCACCGGCGACCCAGCGAGACGCCGGUGUAUGUGGACACGCUCAUCGAUCUCAAGGUGCCGGACGACCACAGUCAGGACCCAAGGCGGCAUCGAAGAAGGCUGUCCGAUGGUGAACUCGUCGGCAUGUGCUCCUAGUUCCUUGGUGCUGGAACUGAAACGACAGCAUCAGCGCUGCAGUGGAUCAUGGCCAACUUGGUGAAGCGUCCCGACAUACAGGAGGCCGUCCGGAAGGAGAUCAAUGCCGUCGUGGGUGCGGACGCCGAUGAAGUCAGCGAGGUUGUUCUUGGGAAGCUGGAGUACCUGCACGCUGUCAUCAUGGAGGCACUCCGGCUGCAUCCGCCGACGUCUUUUGCGUUCAGGCAGGUGAUGGAAGAGGAUCAUGUGGUUCACAAUGGCCAGCGUAUUCCAGUGGGCACAAAAGUGUACUUCCCACUGGCUGCUAUAGCACGAGACAGGAUAGCGUGGGAUAACCCUGACGAGUUCAAGCCACAACGGUUCCUGUCCUGCAAGGAUGCAUCCCAAGGAACCGACGGCACGAUCAAAAUGAUGCCUUUCGGCGGUGGUCGGAGGAUGUGCCCUGGUAGGGGUGUCGCAAUGCUGCACUUAAGCUACUUCACCGCCAACCUUGUGAGGGACUUCCGGUGGAGGGAGGGAGAAGGUGAGCUUGCUGUCGAUCUCCAGCCGCAUGUUGAGAUCUUCACUGUCAUGAAGCGGCCAUUGCGUGCUCACCUAGAGCUUGAAAGGACAGAGAUCAAAACUAGUUAAUUAGCUGGGCUGAUCAAGGUUUCUUGGUUGUACUGUGUUUGCUAAAUGCUAAUAACGAACCAUAUGAAUGUUUUUUGAGCGUCAGUUGAUUCCUCCCCCGUACGCACGCUAAGUGUCGAGCGAAGACGAAGCGUGGCCUGCGAGGACUUGCCAAGAAUGAAUCGGAGCAGGCAACAAAGCCGCUACAUCAUAGGCGGAGGUGAGAUAGAGGCUUUACUAGUUUGGGUGAUGGGCGGUUCCCGGCAUAAAGAACAAAUGGAAUACAUGAUUAUGUUAUCGGUUAAUGCCGUAAUAGUUGUGGUUAAGUCAGCAAUUCCUCAACCCAUGCACUUGAGCAGGCUAGGUAUUUCUUUUAUGAACAUUAUUAUGAAGAUCAUUAAAAUUGUUAACCAUUAAAAACACUUUGUCAAUAGGGAAAAAUAAUAUAUGCAUGAUGAAUGUUAUGCAUAUUUAUAAUUCCGUUUAACAUUUGUAAAUCCACCAAUUAAAUCAUGCUCCUACCUUUAAAAAUAAUCCAGGACCUAUAAUGUACAUGUUAUUUACAUAAAUAGUAAGAUAUUUUAAAUUAAUCAAUCUGGAUACAAAAGCAUAUAUUAAUGUUUGUAGCUUAGCUACCCCAUAGUGUGCGAUGCUCCCUAUUUAUAUCCAUGCAAAACCUUAUACAGUAGGAUACAUGAUCUGUGGCAGAUGAAACUAGCUCCAAUACACUUGUUCAAGUUUUGUUGUGUACAACACCCAUGGCAGAUGAAACUUGUCAAUCUCUACUUGUCGAGUUGACAGUCAUGUCAAUGCGAAAGAAGGCAUAGCUGUCAGCUUGUCACCCUAAAAUCUGAGCAUGUUGACAAUGGAGGUAGGUGAAUUCGUGAUAGAAGAGGAAGAAGAAAAUAAUAAUUGUGUUAUAUCAAAGUAUACAAAUGAGCUUUGUUUCUCAAAAUAAACAUCCUGAAUUCUACAAGGAUAAAAAUAGCAACAAAUAAACCAAAGUCAUCGUCUUAGUAAAUUCUAUUUUCUUUACUAGGUUAAUGUCACGCUUGUGGCAGGGAAGGGAUAGGACACAUCACAUGCAUAUCCAUUAUCCAUGAUGCAAGUGUAUGAACAUGCGUGAAGGAUGUGGGACACCGAAGAAUUAAGUAAGGCUCUAAAGUGUGGGCUAUAAAUUGGCCUAUACAUCAUUCUCAACAUGGUGCAGAAUGGCCAGACUGUCUUAGCUAUACCUUUGCUGGUUUGUCAGGUCAUUAUAACGGGUAGAUGCAGGUUAGUUAAUACAGAUGGAUGCAACGCUACUCCUAUAGAUAUUAUUAUAUGUGAGAUCGAUCGGAUGUGUACUUGUUUGAAUGGUUAUUCUUGCUUGUCAAGCCACUCUUUAUUUGUCUUUUCACAUUCAUAAUAGCUAAACAUCAGUCGCCUGAAAAUCCAAUUUGGUUUGUUCGAUUUUCGCUAGAAGGAAGCAGGUGCCAGAGGGAAGGAAGAAGCAGCUGCUGACUCGCCGGAGUGAAGGAAGGAGCUCCCUAGGAGGCUACCCCAUCAUCUAUCGUUGAUGAAGGGGGGAGGUAGGGGUGGCAGCACGGCGGUGGUGCAAGUUCGCCGGAGAAAAAACUGGUCAUUGCCGGGGCUGGAGGGAUGGCCAGGGGCAGCAGCAUGUCGGUGGGAGGAGGAUGAGGGGUGGGCGGGGCGGUGAGGCUGAGCAGGAGCGCCGCUGGCCGCGGGUGGUGGUGGUCGACGGUUCGGCCGGUGGUCCAUCUGGCGGUUGGAUGGAGAAGAAGAAAGUUGUCUGGAGGAUAAAGAAGUAAUCUGCACCGCCUGUUUUCCAUCCCAUGGCUGAAACGAAAUCAAAAGAACAUAACUGAAAAUUUAGUCGACUUACCACUAGCCAUUCCCUUCUACAUUCUAUGCAGGGCCGGCCCUGAGGGGGGGCAGAGGGGGCGGCCGCCCCGGGCCCCCAGGAUGCAGGGGCCCCCACCCAGGGUACGUAUACAUUAGCCAGCUAGGCUAAGCCCACUACGCACUAGGACAUGGGCUGAACAUGGAGACGCAGGCUGUGUCUAGCCUAAGGCACACAGCGGCUCGUUCCUCGACUCCUCAUCCGAUGUGUAGCUCGUAGCUGUAGCUUUGUCCGCAUGCCUGUUUGGAUGCCUAAUUAUUCCCUUCCGAGUUGGUCAGAUCUAAUUGCGAGUUCGCUUCUUCAAGAGGAUCGCGAUCCUAAUCGCGAGUCGCCGUUUUAUCGGCGACCUUCGCUCCCCAAUCUCCACUGGAGAUGUCAUCCGUCGUCGCCAAGCGUAGACGUACAUCCAAUCCAGACCGCAUCCUCCAACAGAUCCCAGGUUUUAAUUACUAGUAUUCCCUAUCAGCUAAUUAAGUAAUUUAUCUUUGCAUACAUGAUGCCUAUAUUGCGCACAGCAAAGUGUCCUGUGUAUUGCUAUGGAUCCAAACUUGACUGAUACUUGUUCAAAAACUUUUUAAAAAACCUGGUUUUGUUAGAUAUAUUAGUAAAAAUAUGUUAGGUUUCACCCAGUGUAUAUAUCAUUUCUGUUACCAUAAAAAAAUGUUGUGCUAAUCGCUAAGCUAAUGAACUGCUGCAAUGCAGGGAGAUGAUUUUGAAAGCGAGCUUGGUUCAGGGUCUUCCAUUCAUGUUCUAUCAGGGCAACAGUUUUGGUAAUGGCCACUUCACUUGUCACGUUGUACUCAUUGAUGUAACACUCUACAGUGCUUGCCAUAUCCCCCUUGCAUUUUCGACGCUGUAUGAUGACAUCAAUAAUCAUCUUUAUGUAAGUAUGUAUCAAUUUAAUAAUCUUGCAUGCACUCACAAUGAUAGUACAAACUUGGUAACUGAGCCCUGCCCCCUUUUCCAUAGGUGCCAACACAUUUCGAUGUGUACAAAUUUAUAAAAAAAAUAGACCAAUGAAGUUAAGGUAGCAUCAUAAAAAUGACAUUGCUAAAAAAUAAUUCUAAGUAUAAUCCAUACUAUGAUAUUUUUUGUCACUAAAUCACAUUUUAGCACUCAAAUUGUUGGUCAAAAUUAUAUCUCAGUAUGCUUGAAAUUGAACUUCUUACAUGUGUGAAAGGAGCAAGUAACAUGCAUGCAAAAAAAUAAUUUUGAAAUAUUAUAUAUAUAUACCUCAAAUGCACCGAUAUCAUUCAUGAAACGGGAAAUCUUCCCAACUGAUAUGACGACAUCCGGGACACUAGCAGCCCAUUUGAGCGCUGUCUUCAUCAUUGCAUCACUCAUUCCAGCCAUCAUACUCACACAUAUCGUUGGCACACCAAUGUUUAGACUAGUCAACUUGACCUGAUCUACAAAGCUUGGCUUGUGGUUCCUGUGUGACCAUUUCGCUUCUUGUAGGUAACCAGUCACGUUAUUUUGGACCUGCACACAAACAAAGAGAUGUAAUCCCAAAAUUAACGAGAAGAGAGAGAGAGAGAGAGAGAGAGAGAGAGAGAGAGAGAGAGAGAGAUGUUGUGACAGAAAAGGGUACAUGAACUUACCGCUUUUUUCAGGUGUGCUAUAUCGUAGUUCGUAUUGGCUAGCAUUUCAGCCUCAAUAUUCUCAAAUGUCCUCAGCAUCUCCAUAUAGAACUUCUUCAAGUACUCCGGCAGGAGAAAAAUGGCGCUCUUAUCCCAUCUUGAAGGCCAAUUCACAAAAGCAAUCUUAAUACAAGUUAUCGUAGUUUGAAAAUUCUUUGUUUGCAUGUUAACCUAACCUUUUAUUUUUCUAUACUCUUUAUCUUUCUUCAACACAGUAAGAACCACUAGUUUCACUUUGCUCCAUGAGGCAAAUAGUGUAACAUGACAUCAAAAUUUCAUUAUAGGCAAUAUAUCUCAUUUGUUACUGCAUUUAGAUUUUCUUUCAUCCAUAUCUUAUUAUGGCAACUUAUAUGUUUGUGUUAAUAAAAUAAUAAUCUAAUCAUGCAUCACAUUUUCAUUUGAAAUUGCAAUUGUUACCAGAUAGUAGUGAGCAUUAGCUCAUUACUUGUAUGUACCAAUGAGUGCUAUUGUGUUAGGACUUAUGAAAAUUUCAUGUCAACAUGGAAUUUUAGCUGUGGAUCUGCCCGCGCGCGUGGAUGGGGUGGGGGGCACCGGGCAAAUUGAUAAUUCACCAUCGGAUUCAGCUCGUCCACCUCUGGAUGCCGUGAUUAUCCAAAGAAUAGUAAUAUGCUCCUGGUUUGAAGCAUUAUUUGUAUACCAUUUUUUUCUUGAUAGAAUUGCACUCUUAUGGUCACGGCAAUGCAGGGUGUUCAUUUACUUCUUCUUAAAUACUAAAAUAGUUAUUAUCCAGUACAUACAUGUUCGUAAUUACUUUAUUACUUCGAACAUCAUGGAAAAAUCACGUUGCGCACAUAUUUAUGACUGUGAUUGCGAUUGAUUCUAAGGACGUAUUGAUAUGAUAUGGAAUCGCUAUCUUAGUGGAAUAUACAUUAGAUGCAUUGACAAUUUGAGAGAUAAAAUGUAGAGCUAAAUCAAUCCCACCUUUGUAUUGCUUCAUGUAGCUUCCAACUGUCCUCUAGGGUGGCAUGGUUAUCAUAUAUGUCAUCUAAUGUGGUAAUUAGUACAAUCAUCUUUGUGAUCAUACUUCGAGUGAGCUCAAAUUUUGUGUCAUAGUACAACACAGAGGCCCAUGUAUAACCCUCCACCACACGAUCGCGGAUAAAGCUUAGCUCGAUAUAUCCGAAAAAAUGCUUCCACCACCUGUGAAUUAAUUAAGCAAUGUUAUAUGAACUAGUACAUAUAUAGUCCACAUAGAAUAUAACAUCGCUAGCCCCAUUAAGAGAUAAAAGAACAUUGGUCAAUUAUUACUAAAAGCAUGUGCAUUACUCUAUCACUACACCAUUUAUGUAAUUAUCCUACAAUGCACAGAAAACAACGAAACACUAAAGCAUCAUGAACCAUUAAUGAAUAUGCAUUCUCAUAUUGAUGAAAAAAGGCAACCACGUAAGCUCUUAAUUUAGAUGACGUUAAGCACUAGAAAUGUAGUGGUAACUAGACUUUUGGUUUUUUGUUUGUUUGAAGAUGUAGUAUGCGAGGGCAACCACCCGUGAAUCAUUAUUGGGUUAUAUAUUCUGUUUAUAUAAGAAAGAUAAAUAACAUACCUGGUAAUAGCUUUGAGCUCCUUCAAGUGGACAUUUUGCUGAAGGUUGAAAUCCAAUUUGGCAAGCUCCAGUAGGAUUGGGUUAUGCUCCUCUUGUUCGUACUCUAGGAUAUAAUGUAGCAUUUCCACCCUCUUAUUUGUCCUUGGCAUUGGUAUCUGAAGGGCAUGUUGGACUUGUUGAGCAAGUGGGGUCUUUAAACUACCACUACAUGACUCAAGAUGAUGCCUUGCAAAAGCUAUGGCUUCUUCAAGUGCUGGCUCACCAUGAAUUAGAAGAUGAGAUGCAUUGUAUAGACAUAAUAGUGUCCUGGGUUCAUUUGUUAUAUCAUUAAUGAAGCUUCCAUCUUCACUUUUGAAUCGAUUGAAAACAUCUGUAAUCAAUAAAUAAAUGUUGGUGUUCUCGUGACCACAUUGUCAAUGGAGCUUCUAUUGUUGUAGACAUGUCGUCCACAUUAUGAAAUAUUUUGCAAAUAAGGUCACCAAUCUAAUCUUGAUAACUCAAUUUCUUAGCCAGUUAAAAAUUUGCAUAUCAUGAUUUUUCUUCCAUAAUUUUUCGUAACCAACUAUGCAUAACAAGAAAAAAUUGUUAGGAUUAUAUAUACCUGGAGAUACACAGUAUCCAUGUUCCCUCAGCAAGCGAAACCGAAGGGCAACUUCAUAGAGGUUGUAGUUACUAAAUUCACUCUUCAGGAUUUGCCACAUAGCGGUGUCAAUCUGGUCUUCAAAGAGGUGAUCGAUUCCGAGAUGUUGUAGUUUAUCCACUAAGGACAUUUUUACCACUGUGUCAUUGCUGGAUUUAAACAACAUACAUAUGUCUUCCUUCAGUUUUUUUGCCCUAAGCGUCAUCCACUGCUUGGAUUUCUGCAAUGCAAGCAUUGAACAUUUUUAAUUAACCAAAAGGGACAAGGGUUAGCUAGGUAAAAAAAUGUCGCCAAAACCAAAAAUAGUUGAAAAAAUCUAACAACUCGUAUCUCCAGUGAAAGAAAAUGGACCAAAAGUACAUGACUGUAUAGAAUAACCAUAUAUCCUUUCACUGAGUCCAACUUUCCAACAUAUGCCAACCAAAGGCUACCCACAUGUAUCUUCCAAGGGUGUCGGUCGUGGCCAGCAUAUUUAAUUUCAAAAGCAUGCAUGUGGUUUCAAGUUGUUUCCACUCAAGCAUGGAGUUACACUAGACGAUUUACUUAUGACUAUGAGUGGUGUUGAUGAUAUACAAAAUAGACAUCCAAAAUAUGACAAAUUUCUACCGCCGGAUAUGUGAAAUAUAAAGUCUGUACACAUAUUCAGAUACUAUAAGAAGUGUCGACUAGUGAAGUACACGCAAUAAGCAACCGGUUGCCAUGGAUCUCUAGAGGAGCACGGAUGGUAAUUAGAAAUGUGUUCCUACUUGGGCCCGCAAGUGGUGGGUGCAUGGUGUACAUUUUGGCACCUCUUGGGCUGGCCCAGCGUAGGCCGGAGUAGUAGAUACUAGUACAAAAACGCAUACAAUAGUUACAAAUAAAUACCUCUGUGCAUGGUGACAUUUUGUGCCAUAAAUAGUUAGCUUUUAUUAUAUACCUGUAACGGCGGUGGCUCAUAUCCAGCAAAGAAGUCAAUCCAUGGUGAGGGCUCGUAGCUGAACGCAGGAGUAGCAGCAUUGUCGGACGCCAUAGAAAUUAACAGUUGCUUCUUUGUUUCAUAGGUUUAGUAGCUUGGGAUAUAGAUAGCUUUGUUUGGGGAGGAAGGAGAAUGUGUGCGUGAGGCCUUUAAAUAAUGUCCACGCAAUGGCAGGUCCAUGCAUAUUUCUCAUCGUUAGCAGCCGGCCGGCCGAACUAUAAAGGCGACUGCAUGCACUACUAAUCUACCUACCUUCCGGUUGAUUAUCCGGUAGUGCCUUUAGACCCACCCGAUUGAUGGACAUAAAAUCAUCUAUUUCCAACGUGAAGAAAUCUAUUUUAGCUUGCUAUAUUUGUGGCUUGCACUGUUCCUUAGUCAUUUUCUCUGUUUUUUACAUGUCACAUAGUAUUGUCAUGUUUAUGUUCAGAAUUUACAUCCACAUACUUGUAACCAUCCUCUAUAUACAUGAAUAUUUUGUAUUCAUUUAUUUUGAAAAUUGAAUAUUUAUCUUAUUUUUUGGCAGUUUGGAUAUACCUCAGAUCAGAAUAUUCUAGCCCUUUCUGGGUGCGGUUGUUUGUUGUACAUAUACUUAAUAGAAAAAAACUGGUUGCCAAAUUUACAUUCAACUUGUGUUGUAAUCCAAAAUAUCACACUAAUUUAAACUUGAUAGAGCAUGUAAAAAUAACAAUUCAAAACUAUGUUAAUUUGUGUAGAAUGUACAAAGAAAAAUAAUGGACCUGCCAAAGUUAAAUCAAAGUUUACUUUCAGGAAUGUAUUUCUUGUCGCAUGUAUUAUAUUUAUCUUCAUAGGAUGGAUCGUUGGUCAAAGACCAUGGCAGCCCCUAGAUUGCAUCUCAUAGCAGACGCACCAGGAGCAUUACAGAGUUAGCUCAAUGCAUGCAAUUGGCGUGACAAUGUAUAGUCAGCAAAACACUGAUGCCAAUUGUUGUGAUCACUCAUCAUGCAUGCAGGUCUCUUAUGCAUAGAGCCAAUAAUCCAUUGUACAUCAUUUUUCGAUUAUACUACAUCAAGUUUAAGAUGAAUGCAUGAUGCGUAUUAGCAGUCGGGCGAAUUAUACUAGAUAGUCCCUCUUCUGAUUUAUAAGGCCCAAGUGUAUCCCUAAAUUAAUCAUUUAAUCAAAGUAACACCAAAUGUAUAUCACAAAUGGUAUAUCUUUAGAAGUUUUCUAUGGAAUAUUUUUAUUGUGAUAUGUAGUCACAUGUGCCUGCUCCACCAUCAGAGACCCAGCGAGUACAAAAAAACUCUAGAUAGCUAACACUAAUAAUUUAGGGCAUGCAUUCAUUACCAUCGUUAUGCCAUGUUAUUAAAGUAUCAUAGCUUGACGGCAACUCCCCCUACCUAACCAUAGCUGCCCGGUCCAAGAUCUUAACUAUUUUUACCUGUGAUCCAUCGCCUCUACUAAGUCGUGAGGUUGGGAGAUGCAAAUAUUAUAGCUUUUAUUUGAGGUCUUUUUUUUCUUGACUAUGUCAACAACACCAGCGCCUUGCGAAAUACUAGUUCUCCUUCUCCUUAAGUUAUCCUUCUAUGUUGAUCUAGUUUUCAGGAUCAUGUGGUCUAGUAAACAAUGCUAGGGAUUUUCGUUCAUGGUGUGUUGAAUAAACUUUGUGCCCUAUUCCAGAUGGGGAGGGAAUUCAAGAGUUUUUAUUUGCUGAAGAUAAAGAUAAAACAUUUUUUGCUAAAUAAAAAGACAAGCCCACACAUGAGAUACCUUCGGGAACAUUUAUCCUUGGUCAAAUACAACGGCCCGCAAAUUGCAGCGAUGUUUCGUAUAAUUGAAGUUUCAUGGAUCUUAUAGCAGUCUCUCAUGGAUCUUAUAGCAUCGUUGGCUCGGCAGCGGUGGCGGCCGAUUCCCUCGAGACUAAGGCAUAGUUGAGGAUUUACCGCCUGGGCCGGUUGAUCCGGCAGCCAUGAGGUGAGGCGGUAGGACCAGUGAUAUGUAUUUGUCAGUGUGACGGCUCUCGUUGCCAUUCAGUAGUUGCGGUGGUGCGGCAGUGCGAGCGACGGAGGGCGCGGUGGAUCUGACUUUUCAGCGGUACAGUGGUGGUGUCUUUGGCCGGAAGCGGCCGGAUUCGAACGGAUUUGGUAGCAGCAGCUGAGUGGGAGGGGAGGCUUUUCUGCAUGUUCACCUAAGGGAAUGUUCCGGAUGGUGGUUUGACUGCACGCGGCUGCGUUUUUGUUUCGCGGCUGCGCAUGGUGUUGUAUAGUUGCAACACAAGAGGGUGUAUUUUAGGGCUGCCUCUAGUUAGGACCACAAAAAUAUAGAGAUUGGGAAGCUGUUGGAGUACCGUUUUUAUGUCAAAAUGUCGUAAAGAGCAUUUUCUUUGCGCCUCUACUAUAUUUUAAAUCACGUAUUGGAGAUGCUUUAUGUGUGUUCAUUUUCUCCAUAGGUGUCGCCGCCUCCUUCAAAUACUUGGCCCUAAGUGUAUGCAUAUGAGGGCAAAUAUUGGUGGUGCACGAGUCAGGUGAAGGUGCGACCUGGUGCAGCUUAAGCCAUUUGCGAGCGGGUGCAUGGGACGGGUCCUUGACACUUAGGCUGGUCUGGCUCAGCCAUUCGACCGGUUUGGGUGCAGAGAAAAGGAUGGAAAGAGGGAAACUUUGACAUGGCGUAACCAUGACGGGGCUUUUCUUCACCCUCGAUUUAGCAGAUUUUGUCUCCUACAAAACUAUUGGUGCAGGAAUUCAAAAGUUUUAGUUUUCUCUAAGAUGAAGCCGUUGUGUAGGUAAUAUGGUACUGGUUCCUAUUUUGCAUGUCUGCCGUGGUUGUGGUUGUGGAAAUUACUUCAUCUAUCGUUUAGUAGAGAAUUUUCUGGGUCUUGUAAUUCGUUUGGUAACCGUUCUUUUGUCUGGUUUAUCAGCCUAAUGCAAUGUGCCAGUUUCUCAGCAUAGGCCGAGUAGGUGGGUUUCUUUUCGUUUGGACGUGUGGUGCUUAUGAGAUCGCAAACUGACUACAAAGAAAAGGACAUGUACGCGGUGUAAUUUGUGCACUGCUUCUCUUGCCACAUGUUUUAUUGUUAUCUUUAUAUAUAUGAUUGAUACUUUGUCAAAGAUAACAUCGUCUAGAUUGCAUCCACUUUUCAUAGCAGCCGCACCAGCUGGAACAGUAUAAGGCACAUACCAUCGUGAGUGUGACAAUCAGGCCUAUCUUUAUGUAGCUGUGACCACUCAACGCAUGCAUGCGUCGACGUUUCUCACCGUCAAGUAGCAGCCGGAGGAAUCCGGUAUAUGAUCUUGUGCGUACUGGGAAUUCGGUGCGACGUCCACUAGAUCGACUUUAAGAUCUGCUCUUCACUGGGAAUGUUAGCAGCCGGUUGAAUCAUUUUUAGUAUACAUGCCAUGACGUCUUUAUGUUCUGCCCCACUAGUUCAAGAUCCAUGCAUGCAUUCAUACUCUAUUUUUAGCAGCCGAUAGGUGUCACCUUCAACUACAAUGUAUUAUUAGAGGGUAAUAUAUAUGGACGAAAACGUCACAGGACAGUCGGACAUCAACAAAUUACCAUUAGAUUAGAUAGACACGUCUCACCUCCCUGCGUGCCCGCACACUUUGUACCAUGCUAAUUAAUUGUAUGUGAGUAAUUUAAUGUGUUGCUACCUUGGAAAUGUAGUUGCAUUCAGACACAAGAGGAACAUAAAGUAUUUGUAAGGGCCUCCUUUAAGUUGAAAGGAUAAUCCUCCAUCUGCGCCAAACGAAGCUAGCAAUCACAUUGCGCCAUGAAUCUAAAUUUGGCCUCGCGAGGGUGAGCUAACUCCUAUUCAGAUGGCCACGGGUCUAAGCGGGGAAAAAGAAGAGAAAUAAAGGACAACUACCAUGCAGCCUACACUCGAACCCAUGGUGAGGAUGUGAGGCAAAAGAAUAGGAAAAGACUCUGUGUUGUGGCCCUAGAAAGCUCUAAGGAUCAGUUUUGUUUGCAUCCUCGUUGUUUCAAGACUGGCCUGGAGCACGCAUGUGAUCUUCCUGGGCGGUGUUUGUUUAGUUCCUGGAAAAGAUCGUAGUGGCCGGGCCUGGAUAACCAAACAUGACCAGCUAUUAGUCUACCAGGCUUCUGAAUUCCUGGUCCUGCGCACCGGCUAAUAGCUGCCUGGCCUCUAAUACUAGUAUAGGGACUUGUGCCAACCAGUAGGACUCUCUUUAGUUUUUGUGUGGACAUUUAUUCCUUAGUACGAGUACAUCAGUCCAGGUAGGAACCAAACACAUCUCUGCCUAGCUUGCCUGACCAGGCACGAAAGAGCAAAUUCCCAGGUAGAGUACAGGCAGCAAUAUUCUUCAGGCAUGGUGUCCAGGGUAGUAACCAAACUAGCCCUAAAUAAAAAUAUCUAUGACCAAACAUUAUGCAUGUACGUAGGAGGCAAAACUAGGCGUCAAACUGACUUCUAACGUCGGCUCAAUAUCAAAAACAUCAUAUAUAUUCUUGUAAACCUGGUAGAGUAUGUGACAAAAUUAAAAAUCAAUUAAAACAACAAAUUCCUGGUAGCUAGCAUUCAUAACUAAAAGGUACCUUUCUUUUGCUAUUUUCAGGUCUUGUAGUUCAGUUAGUAAUCGAUGUUUUGCCUGAUUUAUUAGUUUAAUGGAAUAUGUAGGUUUUACGUCAUAGUUCGAGUACGACAGUGCUUUCUUGUAACAAGUUUUAGUGUUAUCUUCGUAUGAUUGAUACUAGGCCAAAGACAAUGCUGCCUAGAUUGCAUAGAUGUUUCACAGCAGCCGCUCCAACCAAAACAUUGCAUGGCUAGAUUACAGAAAGGCACAGACCAAUCAUGGGCGUGACAAUGCAUAUAGUAAUCAGGUAUAUCUUGCACGUACUUCGUGGGUGUGACACACAUUAGAUGCAUGCAUGGCGCAUGUUAGCAGCCGGACGAAUGCUGGUGGGAUGCAUGCGAGUUCAAGACAAUCUGCUCAAUAAUUGCGCUAAUGCAUUCAUGUUUGUUGCUUUGUUAGCAGCCGGCGGAGUCACAUUCAACUAUAAUGUUUUAUUUAGAUAUACGGAUGAAAACAUCACAAGGCAGUCACCACUCAAUAGUAUAGUAUUAAGAUUGACACCGCAGUCACCAUUCAUAUAGUCAUUUGCGGUGGCAACUAAAAGAUAUAAUAAAUUUGUUGAGAAAUAUAGGUGCGCUUUGACACAAGAAGAGCAUAAAUAUUUGAAUGCGCCUUCUUUGGGUUAGGGCCAUAGAUAUCUUGUUCCAUGUCCACCAACCGAACCUAGCAAUCACAUUCUUCCAUAGAUCUAAACAAAGAAAGAUAGAAUUAAAAUAUGAUAAGUGGUAGCAUAGUGUCUGUUAGUGGUCUGCCCAUGAUGCAUUAAGCAGCACUAUCAGCUUGGUGGGCAAUUAAACAAGACAUGAGAGAGAGAGAGAGAGAGAGAGAGAGAAAACAAGUGUUGGGUCUAUGCAAUUACCGUAGUCCUUUCAGAAAAUGAGUGACUGAGAUAAUUGUUUUUCUGUGAAAUCUUAUGAGUAGGGCGCACAUUUCCUUUUGAUUCAUAACAAAAAAACAGUUUAUUUUAUGAGAAAAUGUUGGUCAAUAGACUAAACCAGAUGUGAACAGUGCAAAAGCUCAGAGAGUAGAAAAACAUCAAGCUACAUUUGGCCUACAGCAUGCCAAGUCAGUAACCUAGUGCUGCUUGCACGUUUGACGCACCCAUGAAUGCUUGGGCGAGGCCAUUACUGUUAGCAAAGUCAGUCCAAAGGAACCGGAUCUAAUUUGAUAAACCUAGCAGUACAUCUUCCAAAAGGACCCAAAAGAAACAAAUAAGAAGAAAUUAUAGGUCAGUCUUUGCAUUUUACACGGAGGAUAUCAGACCAUGAAAUUAGUUUGAAAUUUGGUCCAUACAACAUGCAUCAAUACAGUAACUAACCCAUCGUCACCAGGGGCAAUUUAAAAAGUGCAAACUUCGUGUUUUGGUACAAUCAAUAGUUUGUGUCAUCCACCAUAAUAUAUUGCAAGUUCAACGAGGUUCUUUUAUUCUUAUUGGUGCAAUGAUACAUAUUGGUAUACAUCAACAAAAGUACAGACAUAUCUACGUGGCAAUGCACGUCCAUCUAUGUCUAUGUGGCAUGGAAACCUCCAUGGGAAAUAGGUAUCAAUUGUAGGUCAUAUUUUCUUCCUACGAUGAUCCCAUAUUUCUCGGUCAUGUCCAAAAAUUCCGGGUUUGCCUUGCCAGGAAGCACCCAGUCGAAGUGGUAGAGAAGAUUUGCCAAGGCGAUCUCCAUAGUUGACGUGCCGAAUAGUAUCCCAGGGCACUGCCUCCGACCAACACCCAGUCGAAUGGGGUGAAUUCAAAGUAUGUCCCAUGGUAAUCCAUGUUAUUGUUCUCAAACGUUUCAGGCUUAAACUCUUCAGGACUUUCCCAACAAUUUGGAUCCCUCGAAACUGCAAACGCGUUAAUGUAUACAUUGGUGCCUUCAAGCAUGUCAAAACCCAUAACUUUACGGUCUUCCCUGGCCCUACGGGGGAUCAAAGGACCUGGUGGAUGCAGUCUAAGAACCUCCUAAAUGAUCAUCCACAUGUAAUGGAGUCCAGCGAGGUCACUAUUAGUAAUCACAGCUCGACCUUGACCUAGCACCUCUCGGAUCUCAAUCUGUGCUUUGGCCAUGGCUUCGGGAUGACGGACGAGCUCAGACAUUGCCCACUCCAAGGCAACUCCCGUGGUCUGUGUGGCACCUGCAAAUAUGUCCUGAAAAAUAUUAUUGUGGUAUGCAUGUUUAUAUAUUAUUUCUGCAUAUGUAGUAGUACGCAACAAAUAAUCAAUUUCAGACACAACAAUUUACGUUUAUAAAUCUAUGAAACAAGUUGAGACUAACAGAUUUAUGAAAUGACGAAGCUAGCUUUUUUUGCAUUAAAACUUUGCAGAUAUGAUAUCACAUCGGUAGAUUAAUAAGAAGCAUAAAGAAAAUUACUCACAAAUAAGACGGCACCUAUACUCUCCGUGGUCAUAGGGAAUGUGAACGCGUCCUUCUCCUGGAGCCUGAGUAGCACGUCCAGCAAGUCAUCAUCGUCGGUGCUGGAGGCACCGUCCUGUGUGGCAGCUCGCGUUGCCUUAUGCCCCUCGAUGACGUCGGCGUUGAUACGUUGGAUGUGGCCAUAGCUCCUCCUCAUGUGGCGCUCUCCCUUGCACAGCCACCGCACCAGCCGCGAUGACGGGAAGAGGUCGACGAGGCAGAAACCACCUAGCAGCACGAACGCCUCAUCCAGCUCCCAGAGGUACUCCUCCUGCUGCGGGAACUUGCCGCCAAACACCGCCCGCGACACCACGUCGUUGCUGAGCGCCAUCACCUUCUCGCUGACGUUGACGACGGCACCCAUGGAUGCCGCGUCUGCGACAUAAUGGAGAAGGCUGCCCACCUGGUCUGGCCUGAUACCGUCCAUACGCCUCACCUGCUUGGAGCUGAGGAGCUCCAUGGUGCAGACCUUGCGCAUCUGGCGCCAUGGGUCACCGUAGGGGGCGAAGACGAUGCCCCUCCCGCCGCAGCCGAAGAUGUCCAGCGUCGCGCUGCGAGGCCGGCCAACAAAGGCAAGGUCAUUGGUCUUCAUCACCAGCGCCGCCGCCUCGGCGCUGGAGACGAUCACCGUUGGGACCUCGCCGAGCAUAAGGUGCAUCAGCGGCCCAUGCCGGCGAGACAUCUCCAUCAUCUUGCGGUGCGGGAGCACGCUGGCGACGUGGUGGAGGCUUCCGAUGAAGGGAAGAGUCCAUGGCCCAGGAGGCAGCUGUGUCUUUCUCUUGCCCCCAGAGAGCAUGCGAAACCAGAGGGCCACAAGCGUGCAUAGAGCUAUGAAACACAAACUUAACCAGCCCUCCAUGGAAGGCUACAAGCUGUUCGCAAGUGCAGCUUGGAGUGAGACCCGGUAUAUUUAUGUGACCACCUACAAGUUCUGUUAAAACUCUGGACCUGCUGACUCAUGAACUUCCUAGUGUAUGCAACUAUAUACAAGUCGAGAUUUAUUGGUGUAGAGAACUAAAUUGGUGGCGGCUAGAUUGUUGAUGACAAAAUUUAGAGAUAGUAUGACAAAAUUUAAAUUAUUGGCGGCUAGAUUGCUGAUGACAAAAAUAGUGUACAGUACUAGACCUCUUUCUUCGCUCUAAAUUAUAUAAAUUCCUAGGUUUGCUAUCAGGCAUACUUUACUAUCAUCAUCAAAUGUACUUUGGUCGUGUUGUAUGUAUUAGCUCAUGAAUUUUUCUACAGAGAAAUUUAACAAGGGAAAACACAAUAACUUCAAUUACUUUGAAAUGGAGAAAGUGGAGUUCGAUACUUCUAAUGACUUUUGCACUAACCCAGGGAGACCAAUUUGCAAUCUUUCAUACUCAGCUAGCAGCCAGAAAAGAGAAACCUUAUCUGCCGGAAGCUUCGCCACAUAGCCGCCAGAAAAAGAGCAUGUAUGUUUUAGUAUUAAAAGAUAUGUCCGGCGGAAAAAACAACUUGUAUGCGUUUUGAAGGAAGAUGCAAUCACAAACCAAACCAGACCCAUAGUGCUAUAAACCAGAACAAUAUUGCCAGAAGCUUCACCACAUAGCUUCCGAAUUCUUUUGUGCAAGAUGCUUGAGUUCGUAAUGCCCGUGCUAAAUUUGGUGAAGUUUGGACAUUCGAUGAGCCAUGUCAAAAAAGACAAAAUGACCUCCGAACAAUGCAGAACAUCAAACUUGCUCACAUGCCUGAUUGUUUUUUGCAGACAGCUCCUAAAAUGUCCAAACUUCACCACAUUUGGCUUACUAGGUCUGGAGAGUUUACAGUUAAAUCAAUGUAUCUUGAUGUUAUUAAUUCAACCUCUCUUCCUAGUUCCAAAUAUGCUUGGGCAGUCAAAGUUCCUCUGAAAAUUAAAGUGUUUAUGUGGUUUGUACAUAAAAGAGUUAUUUAACCAAGGACAAUUUGGUAAAGCAAAAUUGGACAUGACCUACUAGGUGUAGUUUCUGUGAUCAGGAUGAAACCAUCAAACACCUUUUUCUUGAUUGCCCGUUGGCCAAGGUUCUAUGAUGGACGGUCCACAUUGCCUAUAAUAUUACUCCUCCGAGUUCUAUCAGCACGUUAUUUGGAACGUGGCUUAACGGGAUAGAGUCCGAAACAGCGAGACACAUCCGCGUAGGAGUAUGUACUUUAUUAUGGGCAGUCUGAAACUGCAGAAACGAUUUGGUUUUUAACAGAACAAUAAAUAUUCAUUUUUUGCAGGUUAUCUUCCGAGCCACUGCAUUGAUCCGUAUGUGGUCGCUACUCACUCCGACGGAGGCCGGAGAGCAUUUGGUUACUGGAUCUAUCCGGUGGGAGAUGGUAGCGCGGGAUAUUUUCAACCGGUUUGGAUGGCGGUCAUGUAAUAGGAUAGGCAAUUAGUUUACCUAUCUUUCUUUUGCCAGCCGGUUGUGGCGUCUUUUGGCUAGUGUCGUAAUUUUUCUAUGGCUCUUUGUGAGCUUUUCUUUACUUUCAUUACAGACCUUAAGACCUUGUUGAACCUAUUUGCUUAUUUAUAAAGUUGUCCGUAUGCAUCGUUCUGAUGCAGAGGCCGGGGAGUCCCCCCUUUUCGAAAAAAAUACAAGCUUAGUUUGAAAACAUAUAUCAAAAUUACCAUUUAAAAGAAUGCAUAUGUUCAUUUUUUUACAUGUAUACAAGCUUAGUUUGGAAAAACACGCAUGGCACCGGAGGCGGUGGGCGUGUAUAUAUAUAUAUGCAUUCUUUUAAAUGGUAAUUUUGAUAUUUGUUUUUCCAAACUAAGCUUGUAUUUUUUUAGAAACGAUAAAGUUCUUCAUAAAUCCAUUGAAACAUUCUCUAGCAACGCUCAUGAGGAGCAUAUGAGUUCCCUUUUAAUACACAGGCUCGAACUUAUUGUAUUCUGAAUACAUUUCCAUCUAUUCAUUUUUCCCAUGUAAACACGCAGUUGGGCACCAUGUUGCAUCAUUCAACUAUUCUUUAUUACCUCAUCCAGAAAUGUUUCUUUCUGGUUUCCUUGAUUUAACAUAACAAGAUACUUUUUAUAACUUAUCCGCGCAUGUAUAUGCUCAGAUUGUGGUGACCACAUGUCUCCUACGUACUCCCUCCGUUCCUAAAUAUAAGUCUUUGUAGAGAUUCCACUAUGGACUACAUACGGAGCAAAAUGAGUGAACCCGCACUCUAAAAUGCAUCUAUAUACAUCCGUAUGUGGUUUAUAGUGAAAUCUCUACAAAGACUUAUAUUUAGGAACAGAGGGAGUACUAACUAAAGUUUGAUGGAUUAUUGCAUGAUUGCGAUGCUUAUCUGCUCAUUUAUUUUUACAGUUGGUGAUCAGAUCGGAUUCGAGGAUCAUCGUCUCUCAUGUGUUACGUAUUAGUGAUCCUACAUGAUAGUGGAGAAUGUACGAAUAUGCAGCGUUGACAGUAACAAGGAAAAAUGGAUGUUUUAUUUUGUUUGUUUGGCUCUGAGAUAUAUUAAAAUUGGACAUAUCCAGGUCUGACUUGUUUUUUCAUAGAGGACACAGCUGCCUACUUGGACAUAUUUGGCCUUUAACCAUAUCUUUUGUUUGUCGCCUUCCAUGUUAUUAUUUUGAUAAAGUUUGAUUUCUUCCUUUCCUAUGCUGUAGAUACUUCUUCUCUUGCAACUGAAAGUACUUCUUCUGAUUACAGUGAGGCGGCUUGAUUAAUCAUUGGCCUCAUGGCAAAAUUGGGGACGGAGGAGGGAGGUGGCUUCAUAUAAGCAUGACUCCAAAAGAUCAGGGUAUGUAUGCCAGCAUGCACUGGAGUUGUUGGAUAAGUUCCUUUUUGUCAAAACACAUUUCAUUUUGUUAUUAGAAUGCUGGCCUGGUGUACACUGAUCAGUUGUGGUAUUCUUUCCCUGUGCAGGAGAUCAAACCGAAGAAAGAUAACACUCAACGCAACAUGCUCGUGUCGAUGAUAUGGGUGCAGAGGAAGAGUGUGUGGAUGAUCAGUGAGAGCAGGUACGUGCUUACCAGCCAGCGCAAGAGCAUCUGGUGGGCCCGGUAGAUCCCCAGGGAGGAGUAGGCGGGCGUAUAUUGUCCAUUUCUUCUGUAAAAAAAUGUCACUCUACACAAUAUAAUUGUUUAGAACAACACAUACUCGACUAAUCAUCCUUUAUAAAUCAACAGGCUUGUACGAGAUGUUAAAAUGUGUUCCUAUCUGUCUACCAUUAUUCCUCUAUUUUAUAAGUGUUAAUUUCAUUGAUUUCUUACUUAUAUGUAUAUACUGAUUGCAGAUUUGCUAGAAUGUCACUUUGCAAGACAUAUGAUCCAAUCCAUGUUUUGUCCUUACAAAUAGAUAAAUGCAUGAAGGCAUUGAGAUAGGUGGUGCAGAUGCUUACUUGUUGUCAACAUUAGAUGGUGGUUUGGUAAGUGACUAUUUUGAAAAAUAUUUUCUCAGUCUAACAUGUACACUAUAUUCACAUAGUAGCCUUGCUUCUGCACCCCAUCUCUCUCUAUAGCCUGUAUCUGCACCGCUCUUUGAUCUAAUUUUUGUCCCAAAAUCUUAGGCAGUUUGUUCCCUAUAAAAUAACAUGUAGCAUCAAAAUUUGGAUUUUCAAAAGGUUCUUACAAACUGAAUUUUAUCGAUACCACAUUCAUGAUAAUUUGUCAAUUUGUGUUUGCUUCCAAACACCCUGGCAUAUUAUAAUUUUGAAUAGGAGAGUCACUAGUAUACCUCUACUUGACUAGCUCAUUGAUCAAAGAUGGUUAUGUUUCCUAACCAUAUACAUGAGUUGUUAUUUGAUUAACGGGAUCACAUCAUUAGGAGAAUGAUGUGUUUGACUUGACCCAUUCCGUUAGCUUAGCACUUGAUCGUUUUAGUAUUCUGCUAUUGCUUUCUUCAUGACUUAUACAUGUUCCUAUAACUAUGAGAUUAUGCAACUCCCUUUUACCGGAGGAACACUUUGUGUGCUACCAAACGUCACAACGUAUCUGGGUGAUUAUAAAGGUGCUCUUGUACUUGUUGGGUUGGUGUAUUUCGAGACUAGGUUUUGUCACUCCGAUUGUCGGAGAGGUAUCUCUGGGCCAUCUCGGUAAUGCACAUCACUAUAAGCCUUGCAACCAUUGUAACUAAUGAGUUAGUUGCGGGAUGAUGUAUUACGGAACGAGUAAAGAGACUUUCCGGUAACGAGAUUGAACUAGGUAUUUAGAUACCGACGAUCGAAUCUCGGGCAAGUAACAUACCGAUUUCAAAGGGAACAACGUAUGUUGUUAUGCGGUUUGACCGAUAAAGAUCUUCAUAGAAUAUGUAGGAGCAUCCAGGUUCCGCUAUUGGUUCUGCGUGUAAUGCCUUUUGUACUAACCCCAUCGCUGAGACCAAUUUGCAAUAUUCGUAGCCAGACAAGAGAAAACGGCCCAAACUUUCAUACUGUAUACUCACUUAAUUUUUACAUUUAUAUAUACCUGCAGAGUCCAGAAAUGUAAGUUAUCAGUACCACUACCACUGCACUUGCAAAGCUGCCUGCCAUGGAGGGGUGGUUCAGCUUGUGUUUCAUUGCACUAGGCACGCCGAUUGCCCUUUGGCUUCUCAAGCUCGCCGGCGCCGGCGGCAAGAACAAACCACACAAGCACCAGCUGCCGCCAGGGCCAUGGACACUCCCGAUAAUCGGCAGCCUCCACCACGUGGUUAGCCUCGUCCCACACCGGCAAAUCACGCAGUUGUGUCGCCGAUAUGGGCCAAUGAUGCACCUGAAGCUAGGCGAGGUCGACGCCGUGGUGGUCUCCAGCGCCGAGGCGGUGGCGCAGGUGAUGAAGACCAACGAUCUCGCGUUCGCCACCAGGCCAGGCACGCCGAUGCAGGACAUCGCCGGCUGUGGCGGCAGGGGCAUCAUCUUCGCCCCCUACGGCGACCACUGGCGCCAGAUGCGCAAGGUCUGCAUUGUGGAGCUGCUCAGCUCCAUGCAGGUCAGGCGCAUGGAGAGCAUCCGGCCAGAGGAGGUUGGCAACCUCCUGGCCGACAUCGCCACUGCUGCGGCGGCCAGCGACAGCAUCAACAUCAGUGAGAAGAUGAUGGAGGUCAGCAACAACGUCAUGCCGCGGGCGGUGUUCGGCGGCAGGUUCACGCUGCAGGACGAGUACAUCCGCGAGUUAGACGUGGUGCUCACCCUGCUAGGCGGCUUCUGCCUCGUCGACCUCUUCCCGUUGUUGCGGUUGGCGCGGUGGCUCAGCUUCGGCGCACGGCGCAUGAAGAGGAGCUACAGCCACAUGCAAUGCAUCAUCGUCAACGUGAUCGAGGAGCGCAAGGCCGCGCGAGCUGCUGGUGAUGGCGCCUCAAGCACCCACGACGAGGACCUGCUGGACGUGCUGCUCAGGCUACAGAAGGAUGAUUCGUUGGCAUUCCCUCUAACCACAGAGAGCAUAUGCGCCAUCUUAUUUGUGAGUAUUUUUAACAAAAGAAACUUUUUUUUACUGCUAGCUGAUGCAAACAACGGCACAAAUUUUGCAUAUGACACGAGAUAGGAAAGAUUGAUUACUUUUGUUCCGACAAACUUAAAUCAUUAACCAUUUAUUUAACAUUAUCUAUGUCAUACAUUUCAAGAUUAUUUCUUUCUGCUCAGAAUUUCUGGUAAUCUACCAGUUACCGGAAAUUUUGAUGACCCCCCAGAAACUGUGGUAACAUUCAAUAAGAUUCAAAUGACCUCAUAAACAUGUGAAUGAUAGUGUGAAUGAAUUCAAGCCGGUCUUUUGCUUUCCAAUCACUAUUGCAAAGACACGUGUAGCAGAUCCAAAUACAAGAUAAUAUAAGGAAAAAAACAUACUUGACAAACCAAAGACCUAGACAUUGAUGUUAUCUCUCUCUCUCUCUCUCUCUCUCUCUCUCUCUCUCUGUCUCUCUCUCAAAUCAUACCGCGUGCUUGUUGUCUAGAAAAAGAGGAUCGAUCUUAAGUUCUCCACCAAUAAAUAUUUACCCUUAAAAAACAAUAAAUAUUUAAUGUUCUACAAUAAUAACACAACACUUGAUACAUAUAUAAAUGGAAGAAUUCUCAUAUUCCCUUUGAAUAGGUCAAUUUACAUACCGAAAUGCCGAACACGAAGGACCCCACAACGACCACGGUGGUGCUAGCGACAAGUAACCAAACUAAAAAUAGUGUAAAACCGAGACGGGAUUCCAGCAAUAAAAAUCAUUCUCAUGCAUUAUUACAAACCCCAUCCACAAUGUUUUGAAAAUGAAAAAUAAUGAAAUUAAAAGGAUAAUCCAACAGACGUAACUGACGAUGUACCUCAAUCCCCAUCCACACAAUAAAGGACACAUGCCACUCCGGAACUGCAACAUAACGGAAUUUCAUCAAUUCCAAAAGCUAGAAUUAUAAUGGCGAGUAGAAGCUCAACAAACAAAAGAAGUCAUGCCUCCUACUAGCCAUCCAACAAGCAUUCUUACUCUCCUAUGUGGACAUCAAAGGAAAAAAAUGUAAAACCCAAAGCACCAAUUGCUACCAGAAAGAUAGGGAUAUUAUUAAAGCCAAAUAGACUUCACGGCUACAAGCUAUUUAGAGAAAGUGUUAGAGCACUGACAUGAAAAGAAUAUGAGAUCAAUAUGACUAAUUAAAAAAUGGACAAGACAACUCUUGGCUUAAAAUACCAUUAAUCAAGCAAGCUUUACAACUACAGGCUAUUUAGAGCAAGUGUAGGAGCGCCGACGAGAACACAAUAUGAGUUCAACAAUACGAGUUCAAUAUGGCCAUUAUUUUUUAAUCACAAGAAAUGAGGUUCUAAUGGCUGAUAGAAGAUGAACAUACAAAAAGAAGGUCAUGCAAAAUUCUGAUUCUUUUUAAAAUAUUUGGUUAUCACCGUCUAGACGCAACACAGUUUUAAGUAAGUGGAAAGAAAUAAUCCACACUGGUUUCAUGUUGAAUAGCAUGUACAAGAAUCAAAUAGAAGUGCAUGCUAGCAACAAGGAUAGAGGGAUCGGAUCAACUAGAAAUAAAAAAAAGUCAACAAUGCCCUAGACAGUCGCAACCAACAAUGGAAGAAUUUUCCAUUUUAGGCUCAAGGUAUCGCAAACUUCAAUUCAAAAAGUCCCACAUCAAGAAAAUCGGCUUUUUACGCUAUCAUGCUAAAAAAAACAGUAUACUUAAAGCACCCAUAGGCGAUGCUGAGGGUUCUAUUCUAUAAAUCAUGUUCUCAAAUUUGGUGAUUAUGAGCACUAGGAUUUGAUUAACCGGUAUGUUUUCUAUCAUCUAACUAGUGCUUGUAGCAGAACUGUUAUCUACUUGAACCUUGUACAAAAAACUAGCGUGGUUGCAUCAUGAUAGUGUUGUCACCCUUAAGGGCGUGUGAAAAAACAAAUAAAAUUACAGGUGAAAAAUAACAUAUACAUCCACUUCUUGUUUUUCUCAUCAUUUGGCUUAUGUCAAUGAUACCAAAAGUGAAAAAAAAACUAGUGAGAAUCAAUAUUUAUGUUUUGCACAUAAAGAUGAACAAGGACACUCAACUGGAAAUAUGGUAAAAAAGAUGAGCAUAAACUAACCGCACUCUUAAAAUGAUUCAGAAAACAAGCACAAGAUGAAACCAAGAACUAUAUAUGUGAUGACAUCAUUUUUUUCUCCAACAAGCCUGCUUAUUCUCUUAUGUAAUCAUCAAAUGGACAAAAAAUAAUUCAAUCUCAAACCCAAAGCACCAACUGCCACCAAAAAGGUAGGGAUUUUAUCAAGGCCAAAUAUACUUCUGGCUACAAACUUUUUAGAGAAAGUGUUAGAGCGGUGACAUGAACGCGGUAUGAGAUCAACAUGACCAAUUAGUAGACGGACAACACAACUCUUGACUAAAAACACCAUUAAUCAACCAGGCUAAAAAUCGCUCAUUACAACUAAAUGGUCUAUAAAGAGUUAGGCUACUUCAACACAUUCAGACUAUUUUUGUUGUCUCGGUUUUACUAUUAAUUUUCAGUAAGAAAUAAGGUUAUAUACGCCCGCAAGGGCAAACCAUCCUUUACGCAUUUGUAUGUAUCGUAUUGUACAUACACAAACAUUUGUUCAUACUUCCAUACUGCAAUGUACUUACACUACUUUACUUUCUUUGGGGCAGAACUUAGGUCAGAGUAACUGUAAUUCGUUCCAAACACUGCUCGGCCGGUUUGCUAGCAGUGCGUGUGUGCAAAUUGUUUCCUGGCUGACCUCUUGAUUUUAUAUCCAUGAUGUACUGGUGGUUUGGGAGUUACUUCUUUUUCUUAUGAAAUUUAUCUCAUGAGUUUUCUGGUGUAGUCCGCAGCCAACUUGCACGUUUCAGAAUUUACUUACAUGAGUUUUUUGGUUGCAGUCUGCAUGCAACCUUUGGAUUUCAGAACUUACCUCUAGAGUUUUCUUGUUGUAGUCUACGUGAAACCUUCAGGUUUCAGAAUUUACCUCCGGAGUUUUCUCGGUGUAGUAUGCAUGUAACUUUCAGGUUUCAGAAUUUACCUCCGGAGUUUUCCGGCUGUAGUCUGCAUGCGACUUUCACGUUUGAGAAUGCGAUUAUGUCAACUUCAUCUAGGUCUGCACUACAAAGAGAACAACCUUUAGUAUGUAAGAUUUAUAAACUUGUUCAAGAAAAAAAAUCAAUUUUUUGUCCCAAAAGCAACCCAGCCAGAAAGCUGGAGUUGCUCUACGCAGUAGAAAACGCCCACUGUUUAGUUUUCAUAAUAAUAAAAAGGGCACUAUAUGUAUACAUUAGUUUGCAAGGUCAGCUGCAAACAGCAACAAAAAAUAAUAAUAUGAGGAUCAACAGACACAUGAUUGAUUAAACAUUUAAGGAGUUCAGACAAAGAUGUGUAGCGUGAUCCUGUUCGGUAGGUAGGAAAUCUUCAAGAAACAAGGCCUAGCUGGGUCAGUUCAUAAAGUUGUUAAAAUUGUAAUAUAGCCUUCCAUCUUGUAGGACCAAGCCUCCUUAUCAAAUUUGUAAUGCACAAGAGAAGACCAUGGUUGGGAUCAAAAUAUUACACUUACUAAUAAUCGUUUUAUUUAUGCAACCAGAGCCUGCUUAUCCUUUGGAAAAAAAAUACUAGUACUUACUAAUAAUCUUUUUAUUUAUGCAACCGGAUCCUUUGUUGGACCCUGACAAAAUCCCUUCCAUGAGCAUAUAUGUCGCGCGGUUAUUAAAAAAAGAGAAAAGAGAUACGCGAUGCCUCCCACUCAGACCCAACAACACCCCUGCCUCCCACCCCUCUUGGCCCCCAACAUCAUCCAUGAAAGCAAACUAAAAAAUGAGUACGAUACAGAUUGAGAAAUGCCUGAUGCUAUUGAGCAUAGGAACAAGACAGAAUGAGAAUACAAACAUGAAAUGCAGAUUGGAGAAAAAAAUAUUGAAUGAUGAAAAUGUCAAACAUAGUUACAGACAUAAUACUAAAAACUGAUUACUAAUAAUGAUUAUGUACAAUUAUGUUACUCAUUAGAGGACAGAAAAUAAACAUCCUAACUUACCUAAUGUCCACCAGCAACAUCAAGAUGCGCAAUUACACAAAAAUUAACUAAAGUGAGGGCACCUUGUUCUUUUCCCUAAAGAAUUGAUACUUCUUAUUCUUUCGUGAAGACGUGUUAGUAACUUGUUCUUUUCUGAAAAAGGUAAAAAACAAAUCAAUACUGAGCAGAUAUUUUACAAAGUGAUAUCAUGUAAAAAAACUUUUGUAUUUACAAAAACACAGAGCAAAUCUUGGCUGAAAAAUGUCUAAUAAUCAUCGUGGGGAGAAAGAGGAACAGAGAGGGUAGCUCCACAAAUUGUAGUGACAAGAAAAAUAAAAACACAAAAACUAACAGCUCACAGUUAAUAAGAUGAUAAAGAGCCGAAAAUAAGCUUCAAAUGGUUUACCUUUUGUUGCUAGUCUCCUCCGUCCGUCCCACUUGUCGGAGGAAUGGAUGUAUGUUAUAGAUACAUUCAUUUUUAUGCAUUUCUCUGGCAAGUAUUUCCGGAUGGAGGGAGUAUUAAAUAAGAUUGAGAAAACUAAAGAGAGACUAGCUAAGAAGAAAUGAAGAAGAUUGAAAGUAGGAACCUAAGAGACCGAGAAAGAGAGACUGAACAAAAGAAUGAGAAAAUAAAGAGUGAACAGAUGUAACUGUGAACCAGAGAAAACAGAAAAAAGAAUGAGAUACUCAUGGAAUUGCAAAAACUAAAAAAAAUGGAAGAAUGAGGAUAAAAACAUAAAAACACUAACCAAAUACUAAAUGACAAAGACCUAUGAGGAACAUGACUGAAGAAGUAUGUAAAUCAUGUCACUCCCUCCCUAUUUAAAGAAACAUGACUGAUAACUGAUACAAAACAGAAAAGAUGAACUUAUAAUAAGAACUAAACCCACAUGCUCAUACAGAAUGACUGAAAAUUGAAUGAAAUAAAUUAAAGAUAAAAUGAACUAUAAUAAGAACAUGAAAAUGAGUGUGAUAAACAAACUAAAGAUACUCAAUCUGAACAAUGAUAAUACACUGCCAUUAAUAUAUGACGAUAAAUGACGAAUUAUGGUAUUAAUGACUAAAUGAAGAUAUCUAAAGGGAAAAUGAAGACUAAAGAUGAAAAUAAGACUGAUACAUAGGCUAAGAAAUACUAAAACAGAGAAAAAUGAAAAUUAAAUAGAAUGAAAGUACAACACACUCAAUAUGACUGAAAGAGGAAUAAUGUAGAAAUAUGAAUGAGAAAAUUAAUGAGUAGUGAAGAAAGAACACUGAAUAGUGACUGAAGCAAUACAUCUGAGAGAUAAAACAAAAAGGAGACACCGCGAGGGAACAAAAAAAUUGUUCAUCAGUGGAUGUAGUGCUUUCCAUACAACUCUCGCUGUUUGACGAACCAUCAUCAUGAUCAUAUGCGUACGUAGCAUCCACAUGACGACAUCUGCCCCAUAGAAUCCACAACCCUGCUGCUGCCAAAAAAGAUGAAAAAGAAACAAUAAACUCAUAUGCUGGGGUGCGAGUGAGAUUUCAAAUAACACUGACCGAAACCAAAAAAAAUGCACACAUGGAAACAAAAGAAUGUCGAGUUUCUGAAUCCUGGACUGCAAGUGUCAAAUAAUUCAGUAAGAAAAAUAGAUAGUGGCUGUUCCGGGUUUACGAAAAAAAUAAGAAGUGCGAAAAACUAUAAAAAGUACUCUUGAAAAAUCUUUCCACUACUCGUCGCACUGCCGCGAAAACACAAACCCCACCAUUGCUGAGAAUAAAAAAAGUAAUGGGCUGCUACACACAUCUGUACUGACCGCAGAAAUCCUACACAUAUAUGACGGACAGUGAAGUAAACUUUCAUCCAUCAGGUCUUGAUGGAAUGACCUGACUGCCCCAUCAUAACAAAUGGAAUUAAAACAUGCAUGAUAAUUGGGAUUUAGCAGUUCCAGCAUAAGCACGCUUGCCUAAGCUGGGACAAAGACCAUAAGCACACAUGACACAUUCAGAAGUACAAGGAUCACAAUCCUAAAAUCCCUUUUUUGGGUUUCAUAUUGGGAUCUUGCAACUACCCAAAAAUGGGGGUAGCAGGCAGGACGUGGAAUUACCGCAGCGAUGGUACAUACAUACAUAAAACAAAGCACACACUCUGUAACUCUGUCCUUAUUGCUAAUCUUCUUCUUACCCAAUGGAGCUUCAGAUCCCCAUAACUAAGCUCGAUUUCACACCAUAAUCUGAAAAACAAAACAAAUCUAAUAUAUAUGCAAAAUUUUGCCAUAACACAGUACCUCAGAAGACCGAAAGUCCCUUGCGAAUAUAAAUGUGCCGACCUCCAUGGCAGGAACAAAAUCAACACAGAUGGCCUGAAUGAACUGACGCUGAGCAAGCCAACUCGGGGGAGGCAAUGAAAAGCCGGGGAGGAGGAUGUUGGAAACGCUGGCCGUAACUUACGCCAGCCCAUAUGGGCGACGGCUGGUUCCGGCCUCCCCGCCUGCUGCUGACAAACCCCAACGGGAGAGCUCCGCCAACCCGCUCUCCGUACCACCCUUUCUCCUUCCUCCCUCUGAUCCCCGGUAGCUGGUCACGCUUCAUGGCUGGGACGUGGGUCCACUGCUCGUCAACAUGGGAUCCGUGCCCUAGCACCCCCCCCCCCCCUAGGUGAGAGGGAGUAAGGGCAACAUUUCUAUGGCUUCUGCUUGAAAUGUUGACCUCACUGUUACAGCUUUAAAACCAAAACAUGAAGCCAUAGAAAGACAUGAGUAACAUCGAAACGAUGAAUCGAUCAAAUGUUGAUGUGCUACCUUUUCUCAAUCAAACACGUGCCUCGUAGGACAAGGACAUACCUGUGUAUCGAUCUUGCCAGGCUUACGGUUUUUAGCGUUGCUGCUUGUCCGACGACUUGCUGUUCAUAUCUUGUGUUGGAUGCCUAGUAGAGACAUCAACAUCAUCACUACAACAUGUUCGGACACAAAAGAGAAGCCAUCAGUUGGCGUGGCAAGAUUUCUAUGAAGAAGAAGAAAACAAGAUUAGAUCAAGAAACAACUAUCAGUUGGCGUGGCAAGAUUUCUAUCAAAAAGAAGAAGAAAUAUUAGAUCAAGAAACAGCAUGCAUGCUCUUACAUAUAAGGCGGAUCAACGAGUGCUAGGCGGCAGGCACAUGCAUGGCCGGCAAACCAUGAUCGGUCUAAGGGCCACCACGCACAGCUGCGCCGGGCAUGUCGACUGGUCUUAACUCGCUCCGCAUCUCUUGCACGGCAGCGUGGUGCUAGCCGGACAACACAUCGGCGUGGGCAUGGCACAACCCUGAGCUGCCGGUGGAUGUACAUGACGCUGCUUAGAUCGACCGUCGCCAUCUACAACGUGGAGAUUGAGGAGAGGGAAGGAGGAGGAAGGUGUGGGGCGGGGCGGGGCCGGGCUGGUCGAGAUCAAGGGGGCGUCCAUUUAUAGAGGAGAGGAGAGGAGAGGGGGGUCGUGGGCAGCGAUGAGAUGACUGAGCCGGGGACGCGGGGAGGCAUCGGAUGGGAGUGUGAUCCGCGUGAGGCGUGUGGAUUGGAUCGCAUGCGGAGCGGGGGAGGAAGGGAGGGAGGCGGCGCGUGGAUGCAUGGGGUAGUUAAAUGCGGUGUCGAUUGAAGGUUUCCAGGAGGAGGAAGCAUGCGUCGGUUUGGGAAGAGGAUAGAAUUAAUGGGUGCCUAGUUUCAAGGAGGAAGACGAGGGAAUCAAGGGAGGGUCUCUUGAAGGAAGGAAGGAAAGAGGUGUAUUCAUCCAGCCGUGGAAAACGCUAGCUGCAUGCAGUAAUUAUUCCUUUAAUUUCCUUCCUUGUCGCCAGAUUGACGCAUACGCGCGACGGAUUCCCUCUCUGACUCUCUCUAUGGUAUGGUAUGAUAUGUACAGCACAAACGAUUUAGUCCCAGCGCUCUCAGAAAUUACGCCAGCCACGUAAAGGUAGCCAGGCACUUUCCAUGCGUUCAAAUGAUUUAGUAUCAAGUUUCCUAGUGUCCCUCAAUUUGUAAGAUUUUAUUAUGUAUGCAGUAACUUCUUCCCAUUUGCUCGUGUCAGUUUUUAUUUUUUUAGGGAAUUUGCUCGUGUCUAUAUCUUUAUUUUUAUCUGUUUGAAGGAAUUUGCUCAUCUAAGACAAGACUCGUUCUCUAUAUAGCCAGGUGGGUUUUUUCUGUUCACAAUUUGAUUUUCUCAUGUAAGAUAAGACACCAGGUUUGCAAGUGCAUUCCUAGCAUAAAAGGUUUUUCUGUUCACAAUUUGAUUUUCUCACAUAAGAUAAGACACCAGGUUUGCAAGUGCAUUCCUAGCAUAAAAACACCGGCUCCAAUCCAAUUACCAGGUUGGCAAGUUUCAAAGUCCCUGCAUUGAACAUUUUUUCAUAACUUGUUAGAUUAUAAUUGAAAAAACCCAGAGAACACUCAGUCAUUCUUGACACCGACAAACUCGGUACUCUCCUCUCCUAGGACAAUGAAAAUUUUCUUGUUGUACCAUACAAAACACCGACAAAUAGCUCAGGAAUUCCUUGAUGCAAUUAAUAAUAUGAUCAACUUAACUCUUGAUGCAGUUAACCCAGAAAGAAAAUUCCCAUAACGAUGCACAUCAUUUCACAUCCCAACCUUCACAAUGAAGAUGUUACUUCCACCAGAUAUGAUCAAAUAGGAACACGCAUGCAUGUGCGCGCGCACACACAGCGCAGUGCAAUACAUCUUCACCAAAACAAAGUUAAAUAUCUAUGUCAUCAACUACUUCUCAGAUGAGGUGAUAAAAAACAUCUCGAGUCCACUACACAUCCCAGGAAGCACAGGUACUUCGCGUCCUUCCAUCACAAACAUUACAACAUGAUAGAGCCAAACUACUACAUACAUGGCUUAAUUCUGAAACCUAACCCAUCAAUGGAGAAAGCUCAAGGACGACGCCGCCAUCCAGUGCAUCUUUAUCAGCGGAGAAAGCCCGAGGACGACUGCACCAUCCAGUGCAUCUUCAUCAGCGGAGAGAGCCCGAGGACAACGACGCCAUCCAGUGCAUCUUCAUCAGCGAAGAAAGCACGAGGACGACGGCGCCAUCGUGUGCAUCUUCAAGCCCAAACCGCGUCAACUUCUGCAGCACCGCUUGGCAAGAGAAAAUGACCGGUGUCGUGCGCGAUGGAGAUUUUCCAUCAUGUCCGAUAGGUUUGAUGGACGAAAGGAGUAUCUUCCCGAGGAAUGCAAUCUGGGUGGACAUAAAAAGACCAGUCUAGUGCAGAGGCAAUGUAAUGCAUCAGAGGAAUGUUAGAUUUCUCAGCAGUAAGCCACACAACAAUUCUCUUGUGUCAAAGGGAAUUUACAGGAAUUAACAAGACAACAUCUUCCCCUAAAAACAAUGCAUACUUAUUCACCAGCCUAGGAAUGCAAAAUGCUCGUUCCAGUUCCACACAAUGAAAGUUAAGUGUUGGACCUUAUCAAGACAAGACAAAAUUGCCAUAGAUAGGCUCACUUGUGUGACCAGCAGAAGAAUUUUCGCUACAAGAUCUCAUCUUGGCUUGUCAAAUCUCAUACUAGACAAAUUGUUGGACACUAGUGAAAACAAGCAACAUCUCCGGGUAAUUGACGACCGGGACACGCAGGACAUGAGAGAGAGAGAGAGAGCAAAGAGAGAUACCUUGACGAUCUCCAUGGCGUCGGCAGCGGGGUCGGAGCAGCUGCUGCGUCCAUGGAAGAGGCGGC